UCGUGGUCCUUGAGCACGUGACGGGCCAUGGAAGAUGAGGUGACCACGAUGGCAAGCUUGCUUCCGAGCCAGAGCUUGAAAAUCGGGCCAUGGGUUCGGGCCAACCUGGCGAAGUAAGUGUGAAGUUCCGGGUCGAGAGAUAGAAGGUUCCCGAAGAUGGGGAGGCCCGGUGGGCCUGGUGGCAGUGGUGGGCUCUGGGCUUUCGGUUUAAGGAAGCAGAGCCGUGCGUACCAAGUGGUGGCUGAAAUGACCAAGGUUGCUACGAUCAGGUUUGUGGUGUCACUACACCAAUCCUUCAAGUUCAGGUAUUGAAGCAAAGUUGAGAGCUGAAUCAUGGUGCAAUAACUAUUAGUGUUGAGAUUUCAGAAAGGAAAUAGUUGAAGGAUAAAUCAUAAGAUGUGGAGAUAAGGUAAUAUAGAGAAUAUGUCUUCUUUUUUUUUUUUUGAAACAAUAUAAUAUGUCAGUCCAAUGAAAUAUCAUAAUUUUUUUUUUCAUUUCAAAAAAAAAAUUAGGUUUUUAAAAUCUAUUUACCGGGUUCAUUUAUCAUACACAACUUUUAUCUUGUGCAAGGUUACACAACCCUAGAAUUACAUGCUAUAGCAGGUCAAGCAGGUCUUUUACUUUUAAAAAUAAAUAUUGAUGUAUUUUCAUUUAAAAAAAAUUACUGAUGCAUUUUCACACUUGGUUUUGGCCCACCCAUCCUCCUCUCAACUCUGCCGGUCAUCUGCCAUCGCCGUCGCCGCCACCGCCACCAGAUCUUCAGCUCCCUCACCCACCAAUCACCACCCAUCCCUUUCUCCUUCCCCUAGAACCCAAGAACACCGCCACUGAAAACCCCACACCCAACUACACCACCACCAGCCGUAAACUCAUCUACUCCCCUUCCUUUCCCCCAAUCCCUCCUCCUCUACUCCCUCUCACCAGAUCUAAACCCAAAGAACCCAACCUCAACCGUCGAACAAAAGAGGGAAGAUGGGAGAGGGGUGACCCUGUGGUGGAGACGCGAACGACGUCAGCCAUGGCCUCGAUGGUUUCGCGAAGACUGAAACAGUGGAGAUGCGGUGCUGCGUGACGACGCCUAGGGCAGAGAUUGUUCGAUUUCAGCGGAGUGGUGGCUUCCAGGAUCUCGACGGUGGAGGAAGCCAUUGGCGGUGAAGAGAAGCUCGGGGUCUAGUGAGAUGGUUCAUCCGUUAUUGGGUCGGUGAUGGUGAUUGUUGGUUCGAGGGAUUCAGGUUUGAUGGCUAUUCUCCUUCGUCUCCUUUCUCCUUGGUUGUGGUUUUGAUUCAGCUGUGGAGGCUGGGCUUGGGAUGGUGAUUGGCUCUGUUUUUGGUGGUGGAUAAGUGGCUGAGUUUAUGGGUGGUGGUGGUGCUUUUGGGUGGGUUAUUGUCGUGGUGUUGUUGUUGGAUUCCAGGGGAAGGAGGAAGAAGGGGGAGAGAAGGAAAAAAGGUGGAGGAAGGGAGGGCUGGUGAUUGGCGGGGGGGAGGAGAAGAAGAUCUGGCGGCGGCAGUGGUGGCGGCGUGGAGGUUGACGGGAGGACAAGUGGUGGGGAGGGGAGAGGAAAUAAACACAUAAAUGUUUAAAUUAAAAAUAGAUUUUAAAUUAAAAAUAAAAUUUUAAAUAGGUUACCUGUAAAGCAACCUAUAAUAACAGGUAAAACUAGGACUUGUGCAACCUUGCACAAGCAAAUUUUUGUGUACAGUAAAUGAACCCGGCAAAAAAAAUCAUAGGUGUUAAGGAUAAAAUCAUUUGUUAAGGAUAAAAGUGUUUCAUCAAUAAAAAAGAUCAAAAAAAUAUAAUUUUUAUCCACUUCAUGACAAUACGAUAAACCUCAUUCAUUUAAGUUCUUAGUCACCAUAAAUAACAAUAUUUACCAACCAGUGAAUGUAAAGGUGAGAGUUCGUUUAUAUUUUGUAGAAAAACUUAUUAGCUAGUGGCCUAUUAGCUAGCGACCAAUUAGUCAGUUGUCAACUGGCCCCUUCAAGAUGUUAUUCUAUGCUAAAUAGAUUUUUAAAAGAGUUAGUACUUAGUAGGUUAAAUCAAGCCGUUUAAAAAGUUAGGUUAGACCAUAAAAUUCAGUCUUCAAUCUCGAAUUUAAAUAAAAAUCAAGCUUAGACCACAUAAAGCCUUACUUAAUCUAUUUUCACCCUUGUAUAUACACAUGCAAGAGAUGAUACAAGGGCGCAUGCUCUUUGCAUCCUUAAAAUUGUAAGGGGAAUCAAAUUGAGUCCCUGAAAAUUUUUCGCAUUAAAUUGGAUCCCUAGAAUAUUCUUUUUAAUAAAUUCAAGUUAUUUUGCUCAAUUUUGACCGGUCAACGGUCUAGUGGCAAGCCUAGUCAGCUGAGGAUGACCACAUUGACUUUUUCACAUCAAUUUUAGUCUUUGACAAAUAUUUUAAUCAAUUUAAGUCCUUGUUCUUCCACCUUGAAAAAUAUUUGUUGUUGCCUUUGAUUUUCUAGGUUUGGAAGAACAAGGUGAAUAUGAACAUAUAGNNNNNNNNNNNNNNNNNNNNNNNNNNNNNNNNNNNNNNNNNNNNNNNNNNNNNNNNNNNNNNNNNNNNNNNNNNNNNNNNNNNNNNNNNNNNNNNNNNNNNNNNNNNNNNNNNNNNNNNNNNNNNNNNNNNNNNNNNNNNNNNNNNNNNNNNNNNNNNNNNNNNNNNNNNNNNNNNNNNNNNNNNNNNNNNNNNNNNNNNNNNNNNNNNNNNNNNNNNNNNNNNNNNNNNNNNNNNNNNNNNNNNNNNNNNNNNNNNNNNNNNNNNNNNNNNNNNNNNNNNNNNNNNNNNNNNNNNNNNNNNNNNNNNNNNNNNNNNNNNNNNNNNNNNNNNNNNNNNNNNNNNNNNNNNNNNNNNNNNNNNNNNNNNNNNNNNNNNNNNNNNNNNNNNNNNNNNNNNNNNNNNNNNNNNNNNNNNNNNNNNNNNNNNNNNNNNNNNNNNNNNNNNNNNNNNNNNNNNNNNNNNNNNNNNNNNNNNNNNNNNNNNNNNNNNNNNNNNNNNNNNNNNNNNNNNNNNNNNNNNNNNNNNNNNNNNNNNNNNNNNNNNNNNNNNNNNNNNNNNNNNNNNNNNNNNNNNNNNNNNNNNNNNNNNNNNNNNNNNNNNNNNNNNNNNNNNNNNNNNNNNNNNNNNNNNNNNNNNNNNNNNNNNNNNNNNNNNNNNNNNNNNNNNNNNNNNNNNNNNNNNNNNNNNNNNNNNNNNNNNNNNNNNNNNNNNNNNNNNNNNNNNNNNNNNNNNNNNNNNNNNNNNNNNNNNNNNNNNNNNNNNNNNNNNNNNNNNNNNNNNNNNNNNNNNNNNNNNNNNNNNNNNNNNNNNNNNNNNNNNNNNNNNNNNNNNNNNNNNNNNNNNNNNNNNNNNNNNNNNNNNNNNNNNNNNNNNNNNNNNNNNNNNNNNNNNNNNNNNNNNNNNNNNNNNNNNNNNNNNNNNNNNNNNNNNNNNNNNNNNNNNNNNNNNNNNNNNNNNNNNNNNNNNNNNNNNNNNNNNNNNNNNNNNNNNNNNNNNNNAAGCUUGAAAGGACGAAUGAGAUUCGGGCCAUGUUGUGGUGUUGUAUGGAUCGAGACAUUCUCUGGAGUCAUUUGGGGAUUAGGAGAUCCCGAGAACUUAUAGGAUUUGCGAUAAGACUAAAAAGGAUAUUAUUUUGAAAAGAAAACUCAUAAGACAUUAAACAACCUCUAAAUCUUUAAAUAAAGAUAAUAAACUCGAAAGGAAGCUUUGGAUGCAGAUCAUAGUUUUGGAAAACGAGAAUUGUCGUCGGAUCCCAGCAUUGAGAAAGUUGAGGGGCUUCGAGUAUGUAGAUGUUGUGGUGCUGUUGGAGCAGCGUUUGUUGUUGUGCUGUUGGAGCAGCUAUUGUGGUUGUGCUGUUGGAGCAGCUAUGUUGUUGGGCGUAUCUUCGACUUUGCGGCGCGAAUCCGUAUGUCCAAACCCGACGGUUUGGGCCGAUUCGGCAAUAAUUGUUGACACGCGCGAAUCCGUAUAUUCAAUCCGAUGGAUUGGAUCGAUUCGGCGGUAGUCACUCAGGCUCGCGUGAAUUCGUAUGUUCAAUCCGAGGGAUUGGAUCGAUUCAGCGACAACUUUUCGACACGCGCGAAUCCGUAUAUUCAAUCCGAUGGAUUGGAUCGAUUCGGCGGUAGUCACUCAGGCUCGCGUGAAUCCGUAUGUUCAAUCCGAGGGAUUGGAUCGAUUCAGCGACAACUUUUCGACACGCGCGAAUCCGUAUAUUCAAUCCGAUGGAUUGGAUCGAUUCGGCGGUAGUCACUCAGGCUCGCGUGAAUCCGUAUGUUCAAUCCGAGGGAUUGGAUCGAUUCAGCGACAACUUUUCGACACGCGCGAAUCCGUAUAUUCAAUCCGAUGGAUUGGAUCGAUUCGGCGGUAGUCACUCAGGCUCGCGUGAAUCCGUAUGUUCAAUCCGAGGGAUUGGAUCGAUUCAGCGACAACUUUUCGACACGCGCGAAUCCGUAUAUUCAAUCCGAUGGAUUGGAUCGAUUCGGCGGUAGUCACUCAGGCACGCGUGAAUCCGUAUGUUCAAUCCGAGGGAUUGGAUCGAUUCAGCGAUAACCUUUCGACUCGCGCGGAUCCGUAUGUUCAAUCCGAUGGAUUGGAUCGAUUCGGCGAUAGUCAUUGGACACGCGCAAUGUCCGUAUGUUCGACUCUUUUGAGUGAACCGACUUGGCGUUGUCAUUUGUUGCGUGUGCGAGUCCGUAUGUUCAACCCAGGGGGUUGGAUCGACUUGACAUGCCUAAUUGUUGGGCUAUCCUGGGGAUAAGUCCGGGAAACCGGGAGUUUCCGAGUAUGUGAUACUCUUUGCUUGUUGAGCAGUUGUGACCAUCGAAUUGAGAUGAGUCGGAUGAUCCGGAGAUCAUUAUGAGUUACUAUGUGGAUGUGAAGAAGUGUCUUUUGUCGCAGAAUCGACUUUACCUUAGGGUAAGCUUUUAGAGACUUUAAUUUACCUAGAACACGUGGCGACGUGACGAGUGAGAGUCGGAGACGUUGUUUGACUAAUCAUCCUGCAUUCAUGCAUACUGAUUUAGUUGUCGAGUGUGAUUGUUAAUUGUUAAUCCUAUUUGGAACAUGUUAAUUGUUAUUAUUGCUGUUAAGUUCAUUAUGGAAAAUGCAACCCUAGGAUGUUAUCCCUAGCUAUAAGCCUAAGUGGCUAUUCUCUUAUCUAUAUCUAUUGGUGCUAUUAUUUAUGUAAUUCUUUGGAGUUGACCCUCGCGUCUUCUGUGUGUGCUUUGGCGGACAAACGCCCUUUGUCAGAUGUCUUUGGCGGACUGGUUCACGACGGUUCACCCUUCGGGGGAAACUAGAGUUGGGAUGCUGGAACAGGAGCGCAUCGCGAUAGCGAGCGGAGGACGGAUGGUGUACAUAGACUAGGUCGUUCUGAAUUCAGGUUCGGGCGACGAUCAUGCUAGCAUGUAGGUUUUAGUGCUGGUGUGAGCUCCUCGAGAUGAGAUUAUUGUAGGAGUAGAGUCUUAGCUCUGGACGUCAUUUGUUUUCUUUAGGGACAGGGUAGUUUCCCACCUAUAGCUUUUUGUGUGGUUCUUUACGGGAAUCACAGAGAGUUGGUUGGACUUAGGAGGUCUUGCUUCAGGCCGAUGGGCCAGCCUAUUCUCAGUUUUGAGGGAUGGUGUUGCGGACACUUGACCUUUCUUUUGGAUUAUACCUUUUGCCUACGGGCGUUCUUUUCUACUACUUUCCGUCACUGGAGGUUACUCGUGACGAGGUUGGGUACUUACAGCGGGGGGGUUGUAAAUAUAUAUUGGAUAAUAGUUUUAUUGCUUUUUGCAUUUGGGUUUUAUUUAAUUCAGUCUUGUCUUAGUUAUUAUCAAAAAAAAAAUAUUUACGUUUUUCCGCAUUAAGUUUACUUUUGGUUACUAAAGUGACACCACCGAAAUCGGGGUGUUACAUUGUGGUAUCAGAGCACAGUCGAGUCUUUCGGGAGUUGUUGGGGAAUAGGUCUUCUGUGCUAGGUUGUGUGACUCUGCAAAGAGUGAAAAAUUGAUUGUCUGCAAGCGAUUUUUCGCUUAAAAAUUGAUUGAAGUUAUUGCUUAAUCAUAUUGUAUAGUUAUGGAAAUGCUAUCUUAUGAUGAGUACUAACUGUUUGUCUAACUAAACAGAGGACAUGGUGAACAUGAAUCAACUCGCUGGGGCAAUGACUGCUGUGGCCCAGGAAAUGACAAAUCAAACAGUGGAGAACGCUCAGUGGCGUGCUGACAAGGCUGAACGUGAGCGACAUAAGCGUGAGAGGGAGUUAGCCCUAGACCAGAACAGGGGACUGAAUGAUUUUAGAAGGCAGGAUCCACCCAAGUUCACGGGCGGGACUGACCCAGACAAUGCGGAUCUAUGGAUCCAAGAGAUUGAGAAGAUUUUCGAAGUACUGCAGACUGCUGAAGGGGCUAAGGUGGGCCUGGCAACUUAUCUACUGCUGGGCGAUGCUGAGUACUGGUGGAAGGGUACCAGAGGAAUUAUGGAAGCUAACGACGAGGAAGUGAAUUGGAUCUCCUUUCAAACUGCAUUCUUGGAAAAGUAUUUUCCAACUAGUGCUCGGGACGAGCGGGAGGCACAGUUUCUGACACUCCGACAAGGGAGCAUGUCUGUACCUGAAUUUGCUUCUAAAUUGGAGUCUUUGGCCAAACACUUCCAAUUUUUCACCGACCAUGUCGAUGAGCGCUACAUGUGUAAGCGUUUCGUCAAUGGACUGAGGCCAGAUAUCGAGGACUCUGUGAGGCCAUUGGGAAUUAUGCGUUUCCAAGCUUUGGUUGAGAAGGCAACAGAAGUUGAACUUAUGAAGAACAAGAGGAUGAAUAGAACAGGCACUGGGGGACCAAUGAGGUCGAACUUCCAAAAUAAUCAUGGGAUAGAGAGAUUCCGACAGAAGAAGCCGUAUCAACGUUCUGUGGCGGAAGGUUUUACCUCGGGGCAGUAUAAGCCCAUAAAUGCUGCCGGAGGAACAGGAAACAAGACUUCGGGUCAAGGAGUGACGUGUUACAGGUGCAAGAAGGUGGGGCACUACACUAACAAGUGUCCAAACGGAAGACCUCUAUGUUUCAACUGCAACCGUCUGGGGCAUCAAGCCAAGGAUUGCAAUGUAACCAAGGUUAAGCCAUCUGUGCAUACGGUGAGGGGAAGACGUUCUACUGCACGGGGAAGAGUCCAUGUCUUGUGCGGCGAGGGAGCUGAUGGAUUAGUCAGAGGAGAGCGCAAGAACGAUGGUAACUUUCUAUCUAUUCUUUCUCAUUUUAGUAUAAUAUACCCUUCGUCACCCCCGUAGCGUGUGCAACACGUCUGAACUUGCUUUUACCGCUUAUCGUUGACCUUAUAGUUAUUACGCCUAUGAAUACCUUAUUUGACCGUAGCUCGUAUUUUAGCUAUAGAAGUACACGAGGUUUAAGAUAACACGUUAAGCUUAGAAAGUAGUCUUGUACCGAUGCGUUUAAAAGGAAGCUAGAAGCUGAAGAAUGAAUCUCAUAGAGAUUUCUUAUGGAUAGUAUACGUAUGAUGUCGAGGGUGUGUAGUUCCGUAGCGACAUCAUUGAAGAAUUAAUAUCAAGAUUUUUGUGACUAUUGGAUGAUAGGAACACAUUGUCUGUUCCAGUGGGUUUUUCUAAAUUUCACCUUCAAUGUAUUAGGCUUGAUCAACUUAAUAUUGAGGGGGUGAUAUUCGGAAUCAGAGCUGGCUAUGGACUUUGAUAGAAGGAUGUGUAAGAUGAAUUUGAAUUGAUCGAGGAUUAGUCGGAUUUGGGAGGAAAGUUCGUGUUAAGUAAUUGAUUUUCUUUGGGAAGGAGUUAUCGUUGUAAGAGAUGAAUAUUCUUUUAGGAAAUGUUGGAGAGCUACAGAGCAUCAGAGAUCCAAACUUGGAAAAGGUUUAGGUUUUAAGUCUAUUAAUUCUUGUCAUAAGUGUAUAGGACUUGAAGUUUGUCAUAAUUUGAUUGGGAGAUUAAGAAGUUGAUUGACGAGAUGGUGAUCAAGUUACAGAAAAGGGAAGUGUUAGUAUUAAGAUGAACACUUGAGGUUGUCAUAUUUGGACAAGUUGCUUAAAGUCUAAGAGUGAAUGAAACUUGUUAUGGAUUUCGGUGAUACAAGCUAGAGAUUAGCGAGUGAAUUUUGCUAAGUGGAAUGAGAAUUUUAGGGUAAAGAUUGACUUCAGAAGCUGGAGAUCAUAUUCGAGUAAGAGUUUUAGUGGUGUUAUCAUUGAUGAUUGUAGUAAAACCUCGGCAAGUGAAAGAUGAUAUGUCUGUUGAGACGCCGUUGGUCAACCUUGGGACUAGAAGAGUGAAAAAAAAAAAAAAAAAAAAAAAAAAAUCGAAGGGAAAGCAGAGUGUUUUAGUGAAAAUUAUUUGGAAUAAAGACACGGACGGUGUUACGUGAGAGUUAGAGGAAAAGAUCAAGGAAUAAUAUCCAGAACUAUUACUGACCCUUAAGUUUCGAGGACGAAACUUUCUUUUUGGAGGGUAGUAAUGUAAGACCCAAGAUUUUAAGCUUAGAAUUAGUGGAAGAGAUUUCCAUUUACGAUUAGGAUUGAUGUAAUGUGAAGGGAAACCUGAACGAAAGUUUAUUAAAUGAAAUAUAUUUAUGAAGGAGAAAGUUCAGGAAAAGUUCAAGGAUUGCAUUAUGAUCGAUAAAAGUUAUAGCACGAACGUUUUACGCUUAAACCUAGGUCAGAACCCCUAGUAUAUCGCUAAUUUUCACUUUUAGGCACGACGGAAGUUAAUUCCAAAAAUCUUCAGAGAAAUGUUAGAACUUCUCUUUUUCCAUAUAUCACCAUCAUUUCGAGGCGAAACUCUAGGAUCUGCGAACGUCCGAUUCCAAUCAUCGGAAGUUUGCCGAAACCGAAUCCCUGGUAUUUCAAAACCCUAGAAUUUCUCGACAAUGAAGACUUUAUCUGUUCAGAGCUUCAAAUGAAUAUUCUACACGCGUACACCCAUUUCUCUUGAUGAUUUCAAUCUUUCUUCAGAAGGAAGUUUUCCAUUCCGACAUUCGAUGCAAAAAGCAACUUAUCGGGUAAAAUAGUUUUACACCGACUUUGCACCGACUUUGCAUUAGUUGCCAAAAAUACAAGGAGACAUCUUCUUAGCUUAGGAAUUCCUUUGCCAAAACCUAUCUUAGAAUUCAUGGAGAAUGAUGCCGGAAAAAUCAGAUUCGCGAAACUUUCAUUUUCCCGCGAAUUACCAUUUUCUAUAUAUAGCAAAGAAAGGAAGAAAAACUCAAAUUCUCCUCCAUUUCUCUCUUCAAACCCGCGAGCUUCAACAAGGAAGAAGGAAGAAGAGUUUUCUUCAUUACUUGCUUGAUCGUUGAUCCGUUAGUCGCUGCUUCAAGGUUUCGAGGUAUAGUCGCUAAUCCUUACCUCUGAUCGCUUUUUCCAUAGCUUUUCUGUAGAGUUUUCUGAGCGGAUAGUUUAUGGGUUUUUGCAAAACUAUCCUGAAUCUUUCAUUUCUGAUUCUAAACCUCUUCUAUAUGUGCCCAAGAUCACUUCUGCCGGAUUAGAUUUUCCGUUAUGUCGCCGGAAUUCCGCCGGAAUCAAUUCUAGCCUAAAAUACCCAUUUAUGUAGUUUUUGAGUAAAGUUCCAACCUUUAGGCUGUAAACUAUCGCCUUAGCUUAGUGUUAGUAGGAUUAGUUGUCAUAAACGUCGUUAGUAACGUCCCUGCAAAAUUUUAUUUUUGAGAUUUCAGUUUUGAAAAUCCUAAGUUAAAAAUCAUUACCAAAAUACCCCUGCGACAGUUUUUGAUCCGAUAAUUUUUCCGAGUUCAGAAUACCCUUAGUUACGGCUUAUGAAAGCAUAGGAACCAAGUUUGAUCGAAGAAAAAUCGAGCCCCAUAAUUAGCCAAAGUGGCCGAGCCCUAUUAAGGGGGAGGAAGAAAUUUCCUUUUUCCGAAAACUUGUCUUUCGCGCUAGAUUAUCGUACCUUAGAGUAUAGAUUACUUCGAGUAACCUUAGUACGUAUCGAUAACUUAGUUUUCGAUUGAUUCUGAUAGUAUUUCUGUGAUUUUGUUUUAAAGGAACUUUUGAGGAAUUUCCCGAGGAGCAACACUUUGAGUGCGAGGAAGCACUAGUGGAUCAUACUGGAGAACCUUCAGGUGAGGGCAUCUCACUGAAUCUCUAGUUAAUGCUUAGGGUCGAUGUUUCGACAUUGUUUAUGUAAGACCCAAGUUUUUAAGCUUAUGUUAAGUGAAUAAACUUUUUAUUCACGAUUAGGGUUGAUGUAAUGUGAAGGGAAACCUGAACGAAAGUUUAUUAAAUGAAAUAUAUUUAUGAAGGAGAAAGUUCAGGAAAAGUUCAAGGAUUUCAUUAUGAUCGAUAAAAGUUAUAGCACGAACGUUUUACGCUUAAACCUAGGUCAGAAACCCUAGUAUAUAGCUAAUUUUCACUUUUAGGCACGCUGGCAGUUAAUUCCAAAAAUCUUCAGAGAAAUGUUAGAAUUUCUCUUCUUCCAUAUAUAACAAUCGUUUCGAGGCGAAACUCUAGGAUCUACGAACGUCCGAUUCCAAUCAUCGGAAGUUUGCCGAAACCGAAUCCCUGGUAUUUCAAAACCCUAGAAUUUCCCGACUUUGAGGACUUUAUCUAUUCAGAGCUUCAAAUGAAUAUUCCACACGCGUACACCCAUUUCUCUUGAUGAUUUCAAUCUUUCUUCAGAAGGAAGUUUUCCAUUCCGACAUUCGAGGCAAAAAGCAACUUAUCGGGUAAAAUAGUUUUACACCGACUUUGCACCGACUUUGCAUUAGUUGCCAAAAAUACAAGGAGACAUCUUCUUAGCUUGGGAAUUCCUUUGCCAAAACCUAUCUUAGAAUUCAUGGUGAAUGACGCCGGAAAAAUCGGAUUCGCGGAACUUUCAUUUUCCCGCGAAUUUCCACCUUCUAUAUAUAGCAAACAAAGGAAGAAAAAACACAAUUUUCCUCCAUUUUCUCUCCUCUAAACCGCGGCCAAGAACAAGGAAGAAGGAAGAAGAGUUUUUCUUCAUCGUUUGCUUGAUCGUCGAUCAAUCAGUUGCUACUUCAAGGUUUCGAGGUAUAGUCGCUAAUCCUUACCUCCGAUCGCUUUUUCCAUAGCUUUUCUGUAGAGUUUUCUGAGCGGAUAGUUUAUGGGUUUUUGCAAAACUAUCCUGAAUCUUUCAUUUCUGAUUCUAAACCUCUUCUAUGUAUGCCCAAGAUCACUUCUGCCGGAUUAGAUUUUCCGUUAUGUCGCCGGAAUUCCGCCGGAAUCAAUUUGAACCUAAAAUACCCAUUUUAUGUAGUUUUUGAGUAAAGUUCCAACCUCUAGGCUGAAAACUAUCGCCUUAGUUUAGUGUUAGUAGGAUUAGUUGUCAUAAACGUCAUUAGUAACGUCCCUGCAAAAUUUUAUUUUUGGGAUUUCAGUUUUGAAAAUCCUAAGUUAAAAAUCAUGACCAAAAUACCCCUGCGACAGUUUUUGAUCCGAUAAUUUUUCCGAGUUCAGAAUACCCUUAGUUACGGCUUAUGAAAGCAUAGGAACCAAGUUUGAUCGAAGAAAAAUCGAACCCUACAAUUACCUAUAGUGGCCGAGAGCUAUAAGGGGGGAGGAGGAAAUUUCCUUUUCCGAAAACAUGUCUUUUCGCGCUAGAUUAUCGUACCUUAGAGUAUAGAUUACUUCGAGUAACCUUAGUAAGUAUCGAUAGCUUAGUUUCCGAUAGAUUCUGAUUGAUUUUUGUGGUUUUGUUCUAAAGGUGAUUUUGAGGAAUUUCCUGAGGAUCAACACCUUGCUUGUGAAGAAGAGUUUGAAGUUUUUGCUGGAGAACCUUCAGGUGAGGGCUUCUCACUGAAUCUCUAGUUAAUGCUUAGGGUCGAUAUUUCGACAUUGUUUACUGUUUAUGCACUGAGAUUGUGUGUGAUUGAAAAUGUUUUCUGAGGCUUCGGCUGACAAUGUAGAUGAUUCAUCUACUGAAUGUUUUUGAAGAUUGACUUACAUGCUAUGUGCUAUGUGGGUAAUCUAGGAUGUGUGGUGCAUGCUUUAUAUGCUAAGUGCUAAGUGUUUAUGAUGCGAUUUAUUGAUAUAUGACAUGUUGUUGAUUGUGAUGAUUUAAAUAUGCUUUACACUGAAAAUCUGAGAUUCUGAAUGGUGAGAAUAGCGGGCAGGUCAUGCCGAUUUUAUUUUGAGAGUUUUGAGAAAGUUUGAUAGGACGAACGAGGUUCGGGCCUUGUAUAGGGUUUAUGGAUCGAGACAUUCUCUGGAGUCAUUUGGGGAUUCGAAGAUCCCGAGAACUUAUAGGAAUUGCGAUAAGACUAAAAAUGAUAUUAUUUUGAAAAGAAAAUUCAUAAGACAUUAAACAACCUCUAAAUCUUUAAGUAAGGGUAAUAAUCUCGAAAGGAGGCUUUGGAUGAAAAUCAUAGUUUGGAAAACGAGAAGUGUCGUCGGAUCCAAGUGUUGAGUCUGUUGUUGUUGUGCUGUUGGAGCAGCGUUGGUUGUUGUGCUGUUGGAGCAGCGUUGGUUGUUGUGCUGUUGGAGCAGCGUUGGUUGUUGUGCUGUUGGAGCAGCGAUGUUGUUGGGCUAUCCUGGGGAUAAGUCCGGGGAACCGUUAGUUCCCGAGUAUGUGAUACUCUUGUGCUGUUGGAGCAGCGAUGUGUGUUGUGAAGUGUGUCUUUUGUCGCAGAAUCGACUUUACCUUAGGGUAAGCUUUUAGAGACUUUAACUUCCCUAGAACACGUGGCGACGUGUCGAGUGAGGACGGAGACGUUGUUUGACUAAUCAUUUUGCAUACAUGCAACAUUAAUGAGGUAUUAACACAGGACGUACUCUGGACCUCGUCGGUUUCCAAAAUGGUCAUAAGACCCGGAAUGCCGUGAAAGAGCGUUUGUAGACGUCUCUUGUAGCAGACCGAAAUGGCAGACCUACGGGUUACGGCUGAUCUGGCUACCUUGGUUUGGUGUAAGAGACACGCGGGCGGAAAUGGUCCCACCGUUGCUGGUGCUAGGAUUGAUCCGUUGAUGUCCAUCCCAGAGGCACGCGAGCGGAAAUGGUCCCACCGUUGCUGGUGCUAGGAUUGACUCGUUGUUGUCCAUACCUUUGCUUGGUGUAAGAGGCACGCGGGCAGAAAUGGUCCCACCGUUGCUGGUGCUAGGAUUGAUCCGUUUUGAUGCCCAUCCGUUUCCGGAUUGCAUAUUGGUUGACUGGGUUAACCUGCAUACAUAUCACGCAACAUGCAUACUGACUUAGUUGAUGAGUGUGGUUGCUAUUUGAUAAACUUACUUGGAACAUGCUAAAUGUUAUUAUUGUCAUUAUGAUUUGGUGGAACAUGCAACCCUAGGAAUGAUAUCUCUAGUUAUAAGCCUAAGUGGCUAUAUAUUAUUUGUACCUAUUGGGUUUAUUAUCUACAUAGUUCUUUAGAGUUGACCCUCGCGUCUUCUGUGUGUGUUUUGGCGGACAACGCCUUUUGUCAGAUGAGUAUUGCGGACUGGUUCACCAUGGUUUACCCUUCGGGGGAAACUAGGUUGGGAUGCUGGAACAGGAGCGCGUCGCGGUAGCGAGAGGAUGACGGAUGGUGUACAUAGACUAGGUCGUUCUGGAUUUCGAAUUCGGACGACGAUCAUGCUAGCAUGUAGGUUUUGGUGCUGGUGUGAGCUCCUCAAGAUGGGAUUAGUGUAGGAGUAGAGUCUUAGCUCUGAACAUCAUUUGUUUCUUUUGGGACAGGGUAGCUUCCCACCUAUAGCUUUUGUGUGGUUUCUUAACAGGAAUCACAGAGAGUUGGUUGGACUUAGGAGGUCUUGCUUCAGGCCGAUGGGCCAGCUGAUUUUCAGUUUUGAGGGAUGGUGUUGCGGACACUUCACCUUUAUUUUCAGUCUGUACAUAUUGCCUUCGGGCGCUACACUUUUCUUUCCGUCACUGGAGGUUUACUCGUGACGAGGUUAGUACUACAGCGGGGGCUGUUUAUGUAUCAUAUAUUAGUUCUGAUUUUGUUAUUGUUGGGUUUUAUUUAAUUCAGUCUCGUCUUAGUUAUUAUCAAAAAAAAAUAUUCACGUUUUUCCGCAUUAAGUUUACUUUUGGUUACUAAAGUGACGCCACCGAAAUCGGGGUGUUACAUUGUGGUAUCAGAGCACGGUCGAGUCUUUCGGGAGUUGUUGGGGAAUAGGUCUUCUGUGCUAGGUUGUGUGACUCUGCAAAGAGUGAAAAUUGAUUGUCUGCAAGCGAUUUUUCGCUUAAAAAUUGAUUGAAGUUAUUGCUUACUCAUAUUGUAUAGUUAUACUAGAUGCUAUCUUAUGAUGAGUACUAACUGUUUGUUUAACUUAACAGAACAUGGUGAAUACUAAUCAGCUAGCUGAGAUGAUGGCCACUAUGGCCCAAGCGGUAACAGCGCAAGCCCAAGCGGUAACAGCACAGGCAAACGAUAAUGCCAUGAGGCGUGCUACUGAAGAAGCACGUGAACAACAUCAGCGCCAGAGGGAAAUAACUCUGGACCAGAACAAAGGCCUCAAUGACUUCAGGAGGCAAAACCCACCAAAGUUCUCUGGUGGUACUGAUCCAGACGCAGCGGAUCUCUGGAUCCAGGAAAUCGAGAAGAUUUUCGGUGUUCUGCAGACUGUAGAGGGUGCCAAGGUGGGCAUGGCGACUUAUCUUCUGCUGGGAGAUGCUGAAUACUGGUGGAAGGGCACCAGGGGGAUCAUGGAAGCUAACCAUGAAGAAAUUAACUGGAACUCGUUCCGGACCGCAUUCUUGGAAAAGUAUUUUCCGACAAGUGCCCGGGAUGAGAGGGAGGCGCAGUUUUUGACACUCCGUCAGGGAGGUAUGUCUGUACCGGAAUUUGCUUCGAAGCUGGAGUCUUUGGCGAAGCAUUUUCAAUUCUUUAAUGAUCAUGUUGACGAGCGCUACAUGUGCAAGCGCUUCGUGAAUGGACUGAGGCCGGAUAUUGAGGACUCAGUGAGGCCACUAGGAAUCAUGCGAUUCCAAUCAUUGGUGGAGAAAGCCACGGAAGUGGAGCUGAUGAAGAACCGGAGGUUGAACCGGGCUGGAACUGGAGGGCCGAUGAGAUCAGGUUCUCAAAAUUUUCAAGACAAGGGGAAGUUUCAGAGCAGGAAACCAUAUCAGCGUCCUGCUGGAGGAGGGAUUACUUCAGGAUCUUACAGACCCAUGACGGGUACUGCUGGUGGUUCUGGAGAUCGGACUUUGAACAGGGAGGUGACCUGUUUCAGAUGUGAGAAGCCGGGGCACUAUGCUAAUGCUUGUCCCGACAAGAGGCCCAAAUGCUUUAAUUGUAACAGAAUGGGGCAUAAUGCCGAUCAGUGUAGAGCACCCAAGACGGAGCCAACCGUGAACACUGCUCGUGGAAAACGUUCUGCUGCUAAAGCAAGAGUUUACACCAUGGACGGUGAGAGAGCUGAAGGAUUUGUCAGAGGAGAGCGCAAGAACGAUGGUAACCUUCUAACCAAUCUUUCUUAUUUCAGUAUAAUAUUGUUCCAUUUCUCUCGUAACGUGUGCAAACACACCUAUCUUGCUUACAUCGUUUAAGCUUUGACCUUAUAGUUAGUACGCCUAUUAAUACCUUACUUGACCGUAGCUCGUAUUUUAACUAUAGAAGUACACGAGGUUUAGGAUAACAUGCUAAGCCUAGGAAGUAGUCUUCCACCGGUGCGUUUAAACGGAAGUAUAUUGCGGAUCUGACACAUGCUAUCGAGCUGGAUGACAGUAAGUUGAAGGAUGAGAUGACGAGAUGACUAGCUAAAUUCCUUGAAGUAUAGUUAUGAUUGGAUUCCUAGGGGAUAAAUCUCAUUUUAUGCGAAGUGUUAGGGAUUUCAGUAAGUCUGAGUUGGUUUGAGCGAGGAGGGUUUUGAGGACGAAGACGAUAAUAAUGAAUUGUAGAUAUUAAGAUGAAGGUUAGCUUAUAAGUUAUUGAUAAGUUAAUGUUAAAGGGGAUGAGUCUUGUGAUGCACAAGGUAUUAAGACUCAAGUUGAGCAUUCACUCCGGAGCAUAGAGAUGUACCGAGUUUCUAAUCAACAUUUUGGACGAACAAAAGCAAAGGAACGAGUGGUUAAUGUUGUGCAAUUGCAUGAAUGCCAACAAGUAUUACUUCAAACGGAGACUCAACGCAAGUGGUCGAACCGGACAACAUAGAGUUGGAAGAUGAUAUGUCUUUUGAGACGCCGUCGAAUCAACAUUGGGACUAGAAGAGUGAAACAAUCGAAGGGAAAGUAGAGUGCUUUAGUAAGAGUUAUUUGGAACAAAGACACGGACGGUGCUAUAUGGGUAUUAGAAGAAAAGAUCAAGGAAUAAUAUCCAGAACUUUUACGGACCCUUAAGUUUCGAGGACGAAACUUUCUUUUUGGAGGGUAGUAAUGUAAGACCCAAGUUUUUAAGCUUAUGUUAAGUGAAUAAACUUUUUAUUCACGAUUAGGGUUGAUGUAAUGUGAAGGGAAACCUGAACGAAAGUUUAUUAAAUGAAAUAUAUUUAUGAAGGAGAAAGUUCAGGAAAAGUUCAAGGAUUUCAUUAUGAUCGAUAAAAGUUAUAGCACGAACGUUUUACGCUUAAACCUAGGUCAGAAACCCUAGUAUAUAGCUAAUUUUCACUUUUAGGCACGCUGGCAGUUAAUUCCAAAAAUCUUCAGAGAAAUGUUAGAAAUUCUCUUCUUCCAUAUAUAACAAUCGUUUUGAGGCGAAACUCUAGGAUCUACGAACGUCCGAUUCCAAUCAUCGGAAGUUUGCCGAAACCGAAUCCCUGGUAUUUCAAAACCCUAGAAUUUCCCGACUUUGAGGACUUUAUCUAUUCAGAGCUUCAAAUGAAUAUUCCACACGCGUACACCCAUUUCUCUUGAUGAUUUCAAUCUUUCUUCAGAAGGAAGUUUUCCAUUCCGACAUUCGAGGCAAAAAGCAACUUAUCGGGUAAAAUAGUUUUACACCGACUUUGCACCGACUUUGCAUUAGUUGCCAAAAAUACAAGGAGACAUCUUCUUAGCUUGGGAAUUCCUUUGCCAAAACCUAUCUUAGAAUUCAUGGUGAAUGAUGCCGGAAAAAUCGGAUUCGCGGAACUUUCAUUUUCCCGCGAAUUUCCACCUUCUAUAUAUAGCAAACAAAGGAAGAAAAAACACAAUUUUCCUCCAUUUUCUCUCCUCUAAACCGCGGCCAAGAACAAGGAAGAAGGAAGAAGAGUUUUUCUUCAUCGUUUGCUUGAUCGUCGAUCAAUCAGUUGCUACUUCAAGGUUUCGAGGUAUAGUCGCUAAUCCUUACCUCCGAUCGCUUUUUCCAUAGCUUUUCUGUAGAGUUUUCUGAGCGGAUAGUUUAUGGGUUUUUGCAAAACUAUCCUGAAUCUUUCAUUUCUGAUUCUAAACCUCUUCUAUGUAUGCCCAAGAUCACUUCUGCCGGAUUAGAUUUUCCGUUAUGUCGCCGGAAUUCCGCCGGAAUCAAUUUGAACCUAAAAUACCCAUUUUAUGUAGUUUUUGAGUAAAGUUCCAACCUCUAGGCUGAAAACUAUCGCCUUAGCUUAGUGUUAGUAGGAUUAGUUGUCAUAAACGUCGUUAGUAACGUCCCUGCAAAAUUUUAUUUUUGGGAUUUCAGUUUUGAAAAUCCUAAGUUAAAAAUCAUGACCAAAAUACCCCUGCGACAGUUUUUGAUCCGAUAAUUUUUCCGAGUUCAGAAUACCCUUAGUUACGGCUUAUGAAAGCAUAGGAACCAAGUUUGAUCGAAGAAAAAUCGAACCCUACAAUUACCUAUAGUGGCCGAGAGCUAUAAGGGGGGAGGAGGAAAUUUCCUUUUCCGAAAACUUGUCUUUUCGCGCUAGAUUAUCGUACCUUAGAGUAUAGAUUACUUCGAGUAACCUUAGUAAGUAUCGAUAGCUUAGUUUCCGAUAGAUUCUGAUUGAUUUUUGUGGUUUUGUUCUAAAGGUGAUUUUGAGGAAUUUCCUGAGGAUCAACACCUUGCUUGUGAAGAAGAGUUUGAAGUUUUUGCUGGAGAACCUUCAGGUGAGGGCUUCUCACUGAAUCUCUAGUUAAUGCUUAGGGUCGAUAUUUCGACAUUGUUUACUGUUUAUGCACUGAGAUUGUGUGUGAUUGAAAAUGUUUUCUGAGGCUUCGGCUGACAAUGUAGAUGAUUCAUCUACUGAAUGUUUUUGAAGAUUGACUUACAUGCUAUGUGCUAUGUGGGUAAUCUAGGAUGUGUGGUGCAUGCUUUAUAUGCUAAGUGCUAAGUGUUUAUGAUGCGAUUUAUUGAUAUAUGACAUGUUGUUGAUUGUGAUGAUUUAAAUAUGCUUUACACUGAAAAUCUGAGAUUCUGAAUGGUGAGAAUAGCGGGCAGGUCAUGCCGAUUUUAUUUUGAGAGUUUUGAGAAAGUUUGAUAGGACGAACGAGGUUCGGGCCUUGUAUAGGGUUUAUGGAUCGAGACAUUCUCUGGAGUCACUUGGGGAUUCGAAGAUCCCGAGAACUUAUAGGAAUUGCGAUAAGACUAAAAAUGAUAUUAUUUUGAAAAGAAAAUUCAUAAGACAUUAAACAACCUCUAAAUCUUUAAGUAAGGGUAAUAAUCUCGAAAGGAGGCUUUGGAUGAAAAUCAUAGUUUGGAAAACGAGAAGUGUCGUCGGAUCCAAGUGUUGAGUCUGUUGUUGUUGUGCUGUUGGAGCAGCGUUGGUUGUUGUGCUGUUGGAGCAGCGUUGGUUGUUGUGCUGUUGGAGCAGCGUUGGUUGUUGUGCUGUUGGAGCAGCGAUGUUGUUGGGCUAUCCUGGGGAUAAGUCCGGGGAACCGUUAGUUCCCGAGUAUGUGAUACUCUUGUGCUGUUGGAGCAGCGAUGUGUGUUGUGAAGUGUGUCUUUUGUCGCAGAAUCGACUUUACCUUAGGGUAAGCUUUUAGAGACUUUAACUUCCCUAGAACACGUGGCGACGUGUCGAGUGAGGACGGAGACGUUGUUUGACUAAUCAUUUUGCAUACAUGCAACAUUAAUGAGGUAUUAACACAGGACGUACUCUGGACCUCGUCGGUUUCCAAAAUGGUCAUAAGACCCGGAAUGCCGUGAAAGAGCGUUUGUAGACGUCUCUUGUAGCAGACCGAAAUGGCAGACCUACGGGUUACGGCUGAUCUGGCUACCUUGGUUUGGUGUAAGAGACACGCGGGCGGAAAUGGUCCCACCGUUGCUGGUGCUAGGAUUGAUCCGUUGAUGUCCAUCCCAGAGGCACGCGAGCGGAAAUGGUCCCACCGUUGCUGGUGCUAGGAUUGACUCGUUGUUGUCCAUACCUUUGCUUGGUGUAAGAGGCACGCGGGCAGAAAUGGUCCCACCGUUGCUGGUGCUAGGAUUGAUCCGUUUUGAUGCCCAUCCGUUUCCGGAUUGCAUAUUGGUUGACUGGGUUAACCUGCAUACAUAUCACGCAACAUGCAUACUGACUUAGUUGAUGAGUGUGGUUGCUAUUUGAUAAACUUACUUGGAACAUGCUAAAUGUUAUUAUUGUCAUUAUGAUUUGGUGGAACAUGCAACCCUAGGAAUGAUAUCUCUAGUUAUAAGCCUAAGUGGCUAUAUAUUAUUUGUACCUAUUGGGUUUAUUAUCUACAUAGUUCUUUAGAGUUGACCCUCGCGUCUUCUGUGUGUGUUUUGGCGGACAACGCCUUUUGUCAGAUGAGUAUUGCGGACUGGUUCACCAUGGUUUACCCUUCGGGGGAAACUAGGUUGGGAUGCUGGAACAGGAGCGCGUCCCGGUAGCGAGAGGAUGACGGAUGGUGUACAUAGACUAGGUCGUUCUGGAUUUCGAAUUCGGACGACGAUCAUGCUAGCAUGUAGGUUUUGGUGCUGGUGUGAGCUCCUCAAGAUGGGAUUAGUGUAGGAGUAGAGUCUUAGCUCUGAACAUCAUUUGUUUCUUUUGGGACAGGGUAGUUUCCCACCUAUAGCUUUUGUGUGGUUUCUUAACAGGAAUCACAGAGAGUUGGUUGGACUUAGGAGGUCUUGCUUCAGGCCGAUGGGCCAGCUGAUUUUCAGUUUUGAGGGAUGGUGUUGCGGACACUUCACCUUUAUUUUCAGUCUGUACAUAUUGCCUUCGGGCGCUACACUUUUCUUUCCGUCACUGGAGGUUUACUCGUGACGAGGUUAGUACUACAGCGGGGGCUGUUUAUGUAUCAUAUAUUAGUUCUGAUUUUGUUAUUGUUGGGUUUUAUUUAAUUCAGUCUCGUCUUAGUUAUUAUCAAAAAAAAAUAUUCACGUUUUUCCGCAUUAAGUUUACUUUUGGUUACUAAAGUGACGCCACCGAAAUCGGGGUGUUACAGUUUACUGUUUAUGCACUGAGAUUGUGUGUGAUUGAAAAUGUUUUCUGAGGCUUCGGCUGACAAUGUAGAUGAUUCAUCUACUGAAUGUUUUUGAAGAUUGACUUACAUGCUAUGUGCUAUGUGGGUAAUCUAGGAUGUGUGGUGCAUGCUUUAUUGAGAAAGUUGAGGGGCUUCGAGUAUGUAGAUGUUGUGGUGCUGUUGGAGCAGCGUUUGUUGUUGUGCUGUUGGAGCAGCUAUUGUGGUUGUGCUGUUGGAGCAGCUAUGUUGUUGGGCGUAUCUUCGACUUUGCGGCGCGAAUCCGUAUGUCCAAACCCGACGGUUUGGGCCGAUUCGGCAAUAAUUGUUGACACGCGCGAAUCCGUAUAUUCAAUCCGAUGGAUUGGAUCGAUUCGGCGGUAGUCACUCAGGCUCGCGUGAAUUCGUAUGUUCAAUCCGAGGGAUUGGAUCGAUUCAGCGACAACUUUUCGACACGCGCGAAUCCGUAUAUUCAAUCCGAUGGAUUGGAUCGAUUCGGCGGUAGUCACUCAGGCUCGCGUGAAUCCGUAUGUUCAAUCCGAGGGAUUGGAUCGAUUCAGCGACAAUUUUUCGACACGCGCGAAUCCGUAUAUUCAAUCCGAUGGAUUGGAUCGAUUCGGCGGUAGUCACUCAGGCUCGCGUGAAUCCGUAUGUUCAAUCCGAGGGAUUGGAUCGAUUCAGCGACAACUUUUCGACACGCGCGAAUCCGUAUAUUCAAUCCGAUGGAUUGGAUCGAUUCGGCGGUAGUCACUCAGGCUCGCGUGAAUCCGUAUGUUCAAUCCGAGGGAUUGGAUCGAUUCAGCGACAACUUUUCGACACGCGCGAAUCCGUAUAUUCAAUCCGAUGGAUUGGAUCGAUUCGGCGGUAGUCACUCAGGCACGCGUGAAUCCGUAUGUUCAAUCCGAGGGAUUGGAUCGAUUCAGCGAUAACCUUUCGACUCGCGCGGAUCCGUAUGUUCAAUCCGAUGGAUUGGAUCGAUUCGGCGAUAGUCAUUGGACACGCGCAAUGUCCGUAUGUUCGACUCUUUUGAGUGAACCGACUUGGCGUUGUCAUUUGUUGCGUGUGCGAGUCCGUAUGUUCAACCCAGGGGGUUGGAUCGACUUGACAUGCCUAAUUGUUGGGCUAUCCUGGGGAUAAGUCCGGGAAACCGGGAGUUUCCGAGUAUGUGAUACUCUUUGCUUGUUGAGCAGUUGUGACCAUCGAAUUGAGAUGAGUCGGAUGAUCCGGAGAUCAUCAUGAGUUACUAUGUGGAUGUGAAGAAGUGUCUUUUGUCGCAGAAUCGACUUUACCUUAGGGUAAGCUUUUAGAGACUUUAAUUUACCUAGAACACGUGGCGACGUGACGAGUGAGAGUCGGAGACGUUGUUUGACUAAUCAUCCUGCAUUCAUGCAUACUGAUUUAGUUGUCGAGUGUGAUUGUUAAUUGUUAAUCCUAUUUGGAACAUGUUAAUUGUUAUUAUUGCUGUUAAGUUCAUUAUGGAAAAUGCAACCCUAGGAUGUUAUCCCUAGCUAUAAGCCUAAGUGGCUAUUCUCUUAUCUAUAUCUAUUGGUGCUAUUAUUUAUGUAAUUCUUUGGAGUUGACCCUCGCGUCUUCUGUGUGUGCUUUGGCGGACAAACGCCCUUUGUGAGAUGUCUUUGGCGGACUGGUUCACGACGGUUCACCCUUCGGGGGAAACUAGAGUUGGGAUGCUGGAACAGGAGCGCAUCGCGAUAGCGAGCGGAGGACGGAUGGUGUACAUAGACUAGGUCGUUCUGAAUUCAGGUUCGGGCGACGAUCAUGCUAGCAUGUAGGUUUUAGUGCUGGUGUGAGCUCCUCGAGAUGGGAUUAUUGUAGGAGUAGAGUCUUAGCUCUGGACGUCAUUUGUUUUCUUUGGGGACAGGGUAGUUUCCCACCUAUAGCUUUUUGUGUGGUUCUUUACGGGAAUCACAGAGAGUUGGUUGGACUUAGGAGGUCUUGCUUCAGGCCGAUGGGCCAGCCUAUUCUCAGUUUUGAGGGAUGGUGUUGCGGACACUUGACCUUUCUUUUGGAUUAUACCUUUUGCCUACGGGCGUUCUUUUCUACUACUUUCCGUCACUGGAGGUUACUCGUGACGAGGUUGGGUACUUACAGCGGGGGGGUUGUAAAUAUAUAUUGGAUAAUAGUUUUAUUGCUUAUCGCAUUUGGGUUUUAUUUAAUUCAGUCUUGUCUUAGUUAUUAUCAAAAAACAAAUAUUUAUGUUUUUCCGCAUUAAGUUUACUUUUGGUUACUAAAGUGACGCCACCGAAAUCGGGGUGUUACAGGUGGAUUCCAAAAUGGUCAUAAGACCCGGAUUUCCAUAAAAGAACACUACGGUGAUUCUUAGUAGCAGACGGAAAUGGCAGACCUUCGGGUUCACUAAUGAUCUGACUACACUUUGUGUGGUGUAAGAGACACGCGAGCGAAAAUGGUCCCACCGUUGCUGGUGUAAGACCCAAGUUUUUAAGCUUAGAAUAAGUGGAAGAGAUUUCCAUUUACGAUUAGGCUUGACGUAUCGUGAAGGAAAAACCUGAACAAGAGUUUAUCGAAUGAAAUAAAUUUAUGAAGGAGAAAGUUCAGGAAAAGUCUAAGGAUUGUAUCCGAAUCGGUAAAAGGUAUAGCACGAUCGAUUCACUUAAGCCUAGGACAAGAACCUUAGGAAAAGACUAAGUUCCACCCUUGGAACACUGUAGGAAUUUAUUCCAAAAAAAACUUCAGAGAAAUGUUAGAACUUCUGUUUUUCCAUAUAUCACAAUCGUUUCGAGGCGAAACUCUAGAAUCUACGAACGUCCGAUUCCAAUCAUCGGAAGUUUGCCGAAACCAAAACCGCUGAUUCAAGAUGGUUCGUCGUUCGGGGAGGAUCCUAAGCACAAUGACUGCUACUGAGCCUUCGACGUGGACCCGGACUUCAUGCAUGAUUGGAUGAGGGUCGAUGUUAGGAGUGUAUUAUAUGGGGGGAUUGUUUUCACAACUCUGAUUGUCAUUUCCCAUUUGGGGCUGACUUAUCUUCUUGAAAACUGUAUUCAUAAAACUCAUGGCUCUGACCAUGGGAUGAACUUAUUCGCCUGCGGGCACUAUCUCCAAUCACUUUAUGUUUAUUAUCUUUGGGUUGAGUCUUCAUUAUGUUAAGUCUUAUAUUUGAAAAGAAAACGAAAAAAAAAUAUUUACGCAUUUUCCGCACUAUUGAUUUAAAGUCACUAAAGUGGCACCACCGAAAUCGGGGUGUUACAUUGUGGUAUCAGAGCUUAUCGAGUCUUUCGGGAGUCUUUGGGGAAUUGGUCUUCUGUGCUAGGUUGUGUGACUCUGCAAAGAGUAAAAAAAAUUGAUUGUCUGCCAAGCGAUUUUUCGCUUAGAAUUGAUUGAAGUUAGUGCUUAAUCAUAUUGUAUAGCAUGUUAGACGCUAUCUUAUGAUGAGUACUAACUGUUUGAUUGACUUAACAGAACCUAGAUGUUAUCCUAGGGAUGGAUUGGUUGUCUCACUAUCAUUGUCUUUUGGACGAACAAAAGCAAAGGAGCAAGUGGUCGAACCGGACAACAUAGAGCUGGAAGAUGAAAGGUCUUUUGAGACGCCGUCGAACCAGCAUUGGGGCUAGAAGAGUGAAACAAUCGAAGAGAAAGCAGAGUGUUUUAGUGAAAGUUAUUUAGAACAAAGACACGGACGGUGCUAUAUGGGUAAUAGAGGAGAAGAUCAAGGAAUAAUAUCCAGAACUUUUUACUGAUCCUUAAGUUUCGAGGACGAAACUUUCUUUUUGGAGGGUAGUAAUGUAAGACCCAAGUUUUUAAGCUUAGAAUAAGUGGAAGAGAUUUCCAUUUACGAUUAGGCUUGACGUAUCGUGAAGGAAAAACCUGAACAAGAGUUUAUCGAAUGAAAUAAAUUUAUGAAGGAGAAAGUUCAGGAAAAGUCUAAGGAUUGUAUCCGAAUCGAUAAAAGGUAUAGCACGAUCGAUUCACUUAAGCCUAGGACAAGAACCUUAGGAAAAGACUAAGUUCCACCCUUGGAACACUGUAGGAAUUUAUUCCAAAAAAAACUUCAGAGAAAUGUUAGAACUUCUCUUUUUCCAUAUAUCACAAUCGUUUCGAGGCGAAACUCUAGAAUCUACGAACGUCCGAUUCCAAUCAUCGGAAGUUUGCCGAAACCAAAACCGCUGAUUCAAGAUGGUUCGUCGUUCGGGGAGGAUCCUGAGCACAAUGACUGCUACUGAGCCUUCGACGUGGACCCGGACUUCAUGCAUGAUCGGAUGAGGGUCGAUGUUAGGAGUGUAUUAUAUGGGGGGAUUGUUUUCACAACUCUGAUUGUCAUUUCCCAUUUGGGGCUGACUUAUCUUCUUGAAAACUGUAUUCAUAAAACUCAUGGCUCUGACCAUGGGAUGAACUUAUUCGCCUGCGGGCACUAUCUCCAAUCACUUUAUGUUUAUUAUCUUUGGGUUGAGUCUUCAUUAUGUUAAGUCUUAUAUUUGAAAAGAAAACGAAAAAAAAAUAUUUACGCAUUUUCCGCACUAUUGAUUUAAAGUCACUAAAGUGGCACCACCGAAAUCGGGGUGUUACAGCUGGUGCUAGGAUUGACUCGUUAGUGCCCAUCCGUUCCGGAAUGCAUUUGUUAACCAGCAUUGCAUUUCAUGCAACAUGCAUACUGACUUAGUUGCUGAGUGUGAUUGAUAAUUGUUAAUCUUAUCUGAUGCAUGUUAAUGGUUAUUACUGUCUUUUAUAUUCAUUGUGAAAUAUACAACCCUAGGAUGCUAUCUCUAACUUAUAAGCCUAAGUAGCUAUCUCUAUCUGUAUCUAUUGGAUUUAUUAUUUACGUAAUUCUUUGGAGUUGACCCUCGCGUCUUCUGUGUGUGCUUUGGCGGACUACGCCUUUUGUCAGAUGUCCAUGGCGGACUGAUUCACGAUGGUUCAUCCUUCGGGGGGAACUAGGUUUGAGGCCAGCACCGGAGCGGAUCGCGAUAGCGAGAGGAGAACGGAUGGUGUACAUAGACUAGGUCGUUCUGGAUUCAGAUUCGGACGACGAUCAAGCUAGCAUGUAGGUUUUAGUGCUGGUGUGAGCUCCUCGAGAUGAGAUUAGUGUAGGAGUAGAGUCUUAGCUCUGACCGUUAUGUUUUCUUUUGGGAACAGGGUAGUUUCCCGCCGAUAGCUUUUUGUGUGGUUUCUUUACGGGAAUCACAGAGAGUUGGUUGGACUUAGGAGGUCUUGUUUUAGGCCGAUGGGCCAGCUUAUUCUCAUUUUUGAGGGAUAGUGUUGCGAACACUUGACCUUUCUUUUGGUUUGUACUUCUUGCCUACGGGCGUUCCUUUCUACUACUUUCCGUCACUGGAGGUUACUCGUGACGAGGUUGGGUACUUACAGCGGGGGCUGUAAUUUAUAUUGUAUAUUAGUUCUAGUAUCUUUUGUCGUCUAGUUUUAUUUCUUUCAGUCUUUGGUUCCAUUAUCAAAAAAAAAAAUAUUCACGUUUUUCCGCAUUAAAUUUAUUUUUGUUACUAAAGUGACGCCACCGAAAUCGGGGUGUUACAUAUAACGUAUGUGUGUAUUAUAUAAUUUUUUAAUCUAUUAUAGUUUAGAAAAAAUAAUUUGAAGAAACAUAAUAGAUUAAAAUAAUUAUAACUAAAGUUGACUAAAUUUAAAUUUACUAAAUAAUAUUUUACGAUAUUAAAAUUAGAAAGACAUUAGCGGGUUAUACCAACAUUAACCAAAUUCAUCCAAUCCGUGUCAAACUAGAAUUUUAGUCAUUGUAGUGUUUCUUCAGUUUGUUAUAAGAAAAACAGUUUAAUGGAUAUGCACUGUGAGUUAGGCCUAGCCAGAACACCGACCGAACCCGGCGGUUCGGUUUGGUUUGGUUUGGUUCGCGGGUGGUUCGGGUGCAAAAAACCGGAUUUAGGUGGUUUGGUCUGGUCAGUUUCGGUUUGAACUCCAGACCAACCGAACCAGGUCUGAGAAAAAAACCAGCCCAGCCCAAUACUAACCUUAGUCUUUUUAGCCCAACCCACUAUAAAUACCCUCUCUUAACCCUCAACCUCUCAACUUCCAAACCCUAGUUGUCUCUCUCAACCUCUCAUGACUUUCAACCUCUAGUGUCUCUCUCAAUCUCUCAUCACUCUCAACCCUAAACCUAGCCGCCACACUCUCCCAACCUUCUUCUCUGAAUGCCUCCUGUAAGACCAAGAUUUGGUCAGGUUGUACAACUCUAUGUUUUAAUGAUAACAAGUUUAUUAUUAUGUAUGAACAAUUAUGAUACUCUAACGUUUGUCUCUUUAAGUUGUGACAAACAGGCUAUGACUCUGAUUCAAAGACGCUAUACUAAUCAGAAGUUGAAGACCAAGAGUAACCAGCACAACGCUUCUGCACAUAACUACGUUCUUCUGAAUGGUAGAAAACGCUUCAGAUCCUCUGAAAAUUAUAAGCUCUGAUGAGGACUUUGAACAUUCCAAGCUCUGAAGUUCUGAAGACCAGAUGUUCUGAGGAACGAUCCAGAAGCUGAAGACUCGGAAGCUCUAAAGUCCAAGAGUAAGCUGGCUCUCAAGACCAGAAGCACUUCAUGCUCUGAAGGCCAGAUGUUCUGAUGAACGGUCCAGAAGUAGAAGUUCUGAUGAUCUGAAGAUCCAAGCUUCGCUCUGACUCUGAUCACACGAGCUUCACAAGUUCCAACAUGAAGCGACGCCCAAGAUCAAGAGUCAACUAGGCUAAGGCAUUGUCACUGUCAUUCGUACAAAAGCUAAUGUACUAUUCUGACUGCCUCACCUACGACGAUCAGCCACAGCAGGCUCUGGAAAUUCUAGAACUGCCCUCCAACGGACAGAUUCAUCCAACGGAUACACAUUCUUUACCUUAGAGUAUUUAAAGGCUGAAGACUGAAGAAAUCAACUAAGAAACUUUGCACAUCCAAGUGAAAUACUCUCAGCGAAUAUCUUAGCAAUAUUUCUUCUUUGCUCUUAGUGUGUUUACUUCUGCUUAUUAAGAAGCAUUUCUUUGUAAACUGAACUCUUUCACAAACUUUGUUUGUAGAUUCCUUGAGAGACCAGUGAGGUCAGAAUUCUUGAGAAGACUAAGGCAAGGUUGUCUUAGUGCUGCUAGUUCAUUGUAUUGUUAGUCACUGAGCAGGUUGCUAGUGCAGUUGUAACAAUCAUUGAAUAGUGAAUUGCCUUCAUUCUAAGAAGGAAGAAAUCACCUUAACGGGUGGACUGGAUUAGCUUGAGGGAUUUAUCGAGUGAAUCAGGAUAAAAUCAUUGUGUGCUUUUCUCUUUCCCUUACCUCUUACAUCUUGUGAUCUUUAGUCCGAAAAGAUUAUCUUGAAAUCUUAGAGGGGAAAUUCAAAAAGCUCCAAACCCUAUUCAAACCCCCCCCCCCUUUCUAGUGUUUUUCAUACCUUCACCUCCGUCCAUCGCACCACCACCUCCUUCUCAUUCUCUUCGAUCCAGUGCCAUCACCACGAUCCAGCGAUGCAAAACCUUUUCCUUCUCUGAGGUCCAGAUCCGCCAACACCCUCGCACCACCAUCGUGCCAUCAAAUACCGCUGCACCAUCACCUUAGAUCUAGGUUCUUCCAUCUGUUUUCCUUUUUUGUUGUAAAAAUAUCUGCUAAAUGAUGAUUUAAGAUCAGAUCUGUUAAUUUUUUUUUCAAUCUUCAUCUCCUGUUUUGGAUUUUUCUCAAUCUUUUCAGCUUUGCAGGUGUUGUGAUUGUCUGCAUUUUAUCUAAGUGUGUUUUAUAACAACAUGUCGGACACGAUGUUGUAACAUCUUGACUAUGACAUUUGUCCCUCCGAAUCUGUUGUGAGUUGGCUAAGUAAUCUGUGAAGCUUUGUAUUGAUUACGUGGUAUUUAAGUUAGGGUUUUGAUGGAAGCUUAUGUGCGCCGUUCAAGGAAUAUAUCAAGGGUGAUCAAAUCAGUUUCAAGGGAUUUGAUCUGAGAUAUUUGUGGAAGUUUUUAUCUGCAACUAAAACGCAUCUUUGGAGAUUUUCUGCAGAUUUGUUUUAUUUACAACUUCCUGUUUUAGUGUGGACUAUUGUGCUCGCUCAAGCCCAUUGAAGACAAGCCUGGUCGACUACUACUGAUGGAGACAAAAACCUAGUUGCUAGGUGUGCUUCGUGUUGAGUGAAUUAGGUUUACUCUUGUUAGUUCACACUUGUGAUUUUUCUCUCAGCAGCUUUAUGUUAUUGUUCUAAACUGAGAGUUGUUUUGUGAGUUGUUUGAUCUUGAGAUCGUCUUCACUCUUGUUAAAAGAGUUCAAUCAUCAUGGCAGUGAUUGUGUGUGAGAAAGUGAAAGGGGCUCUCAUACUUAGGGGGGACUAAGUAAUAAGCCACGGGUAGAGAUAGGUAGAAAAGGCACUGAACUGGGGCAGUUCAAUUAAGACCUUUUGUGUACAAUUUCUCUAUUUUAUGAGAACAAAUAUAUUAUAUUAAUAACAAAGAUAGAUCAUGAGAACAAUCCUCUCAUGUAGAUUGAAUGACAAAGUUAUACCAAUAAAAACAUUCACCCCAAGCCCAAGCUUAAAUAACAAUGAGCCUAACCACCCCUUGAACUAUUUUGGUGUAGAAGACAGCUAUGCACAGCCUCAUUAAAACCCCAUUGGGAAAAACCCAGUGGGAAAAACCCAUUGGGAAAAAGCCAACACCAAAAAUAGACACUAAUAAUGAACUUUGAAUUCACAUCAGAUCUUGAUACACAGUAGCAAAAGAAGCUAGAACAGAAACCAUAUAGGAAUUAAUCCAAGCUGUUGCAUAUAUUCAUUCCUUUGACAGAACUUCCUCUUCAUGCCUUCUUUAAUAUACCCACCAAGGACCAUGACACGAAGCCAAAAAUAUUCCAUGAACCUCAGACAUAAACCAUUGUACAGACCGCAACUCUUUCAUAUUUCCAUAGAAAACCAGAGUUUUCCCCAGCCAAAAAACAGAUGAGCAACGACUCUUUUAGCCAAUUUAUCUGCAAUAGAAACUAAAAGCACACCAAAGCUCAACCAAGACCUUCAUUCUUUUUUACCCUUGGCGAACAAUAAGCUCAAUCCCUCACCAAUUGGUCCAUAACCUCCUGGAGCUCUCUCACAAGGCUGGUGACUCUAUCAGAUAUAGCAAUAGCACUCCUCCCCUUCCAACGCUAAAUUUUCUUAUACAAUGAUUUCAGUUUCUCAUGGAACGUGCCUCCUGCCCCACCUACCACCAAGAAGAAAGCCAUCAGGAUUUACCAAGGAGUUAAAAUCAUCAUCCAACAUCCAGCAGUGGUAAAACCUGAAAGGAUUUGGACCAAAGUCCACUGAACCCAUGGCCAGAGAUACAGCUCUGUGUUCAGAUAACCCCCAACUCUCCGCAUAUUGAUUCACCUCGUCAAGUUCACGAAGUAUCUCUUCACAGAUCAACCAUCGGCCUAACCGGCUCCAAAUGACAUCUUGUCUCGAUUUAAACCAUGUGAACUCAAUAUUUUCUAAAGGAAAGUCUAUUAGGUUCAACCCCAAAGUAAAAUCACACAAAUUGUGAUCAACAACCCCCAUCCAAGCCCCAACCUCUGAUCCUAAAUUACAUUUGUUACAGUAAUAUAAACAAGGUCCCAGCAAGAUAGUGAGCCCCCUGCAUAACCUUCCACCAAAACCUCAACGAAACUGAGAUUGAAAGAUUUAUCAAAAAGAUCCCCAAUUCCUCCUUUGUUAACUCCAAGCUUAGUCUCUUGAGUCAAGAUUACCUCAACUUUCCCUUCCAUAAUGCGACUUCCACAGCUUUACGUUUCUCAGCACUACCCAACCCCCUAGCAUUCCAAGAAACCCUCCUCCGUGGACGACCCAUUCAAUCAUCCAGUACAGGUUGGUCCUCUUCCAGUUAUUUUGCUAACCCUUUAAUAGCUUCUUCGCCGCUGCCGGGAAAAACUAGCCCAACGGAUUUUCCCAGGAUCCAAGCCUUUGUGGCUCUAGUAAAAUAUUUGUCAGAGCCACUCCUUGUAGCUGUUGCUUGCAAUUCUGCAAAGCCAAGGUCAAUUCCCCCAAACCCCUCCGAGAUUUCCCUAAGGAUGGAGGGACCAACUUUAGAUUUUGGUUUUCUACCCAUUUUCUUCUUGACCUGUCCCGGUUUAGCACAAUCCAGCUCCAAACACUCCAGAGAUUUGAGUUUCGAGGUCUGGCUAACACCUUGCUUUGCCCUUUUCAACCCUUCCUCGUCAUCGAGCACACUCGAUUAAUAGUGGAUUAUCUUUCUCGGGUGAAAACCCUCCAGACGUAGGUGACAUUGCACCGAACUGGGUUAACAAUCUUCUGUGUCUUGUUUGUUAUUUUUGUUCUUAAACUUGCUUAUCUGAACAUUAUAUUUUGUGUUAUGAUAUACAAGAUGUCAUGGACAUCUGGUAGAACAUCUAUCCGCGUGUGUCAGAAUUUCAAUUGGCAUCAGAGCAGGCACCCUGUUCUGGUUGGGUGAGCUCCAGGGAAAUACUAUUAUGGUAAGAUGGACAACGAAAAAGAUGUGGGAUCGAUUCAUAGGCCACCUAUACUUUAUGGGACUAAUUAUGACUAUUGGAAGGCACGCAUGGUUGCUUUUCUCAUAUCAAUUGAUGGCAAGACCUACAAGUCAUUUCUCAAAGGAUGGAAGCACCCUGUCAAGACUACUCAAGAAGGAACCUUAACCACUGAACUGAAACCAGAAGAAGACUGGAAUAAGGAGGAAGAUGAAGAAGUUGUUGCUAAUUCAAAGGUUGUCAAUGCUAUCUUUAAUGGCGUUGAUAAGAAUAUGUUCAGACUAAUUCACGCUUGUAUUGUUGCCAAAGAUGCUUGGGAAAUCCUCAAGGUUGCUCAUGAGGGUACUGCUAGAGUUCGCAUGUCAAUACUUCAACUAUUAACUACUCAUUUGAGAACCUCAGGAUGAAGGAGGAUGAAACUAUCUCUGAGUUUCACAUGUGUGUACGUGACAUGGAAAAUGCAUCCUUUGCCUUAGGAGAACAUAUGUCAGAGGAAAAACUCAGCCUAAGAAAUUUGACAUGAAAGUCACAGCUAUUGAGGAGGCACAGGACAUCAGUAGCAUCAAGGUGGAUGAACUUAUUCGCUCGCUACAAACAUUUGAAAUGUCUUUCAAUGAUAGAACAGAGAAGAAGAGCAAGAGUAUAACAUUUGUGUCCAACACUGAUGAGAAUUAUCAAAGUGAGAAAGACACUGAGGAGAAUUUGACAGAGGCUUUAGCACUGCUUGGGAGAAAAUUCAACAAAGUCAUGAGGAGGUUUGAUAGAAGACCUAGGCCAAAUGGUUUAGACAAGCGGUCAGACAUUGCCAAGAACUCUGGAUAGGCUCACAAGAAUAAGGAGGAAGACAAAUCUAACAAAAGCAAAGGAUUUCAAUGCCAUGAAUGUGAAGGUUAUGGUCAUAUCAAAGCUGAAUGUGAAACUUAUCUGAAGAAGCAAAGGAAAGGAAUGUUGGCAACUUGGUCAGAUGAUGAUGAUUCUGAAGAUGAAGACGAGAGUCAAGUACUGGGUUUGACAGUAAAAUGCCAUUCUAACAGUGAGUCUAGUGAUGAAGAAAUUUCAGAGGAAGAACUUGCUGAAACCUACAAGUUACUUUUCAAGAAAUGGCAAGAAGCUUGUGACUAUGCAAAGAAGCUGGAAGGAACUGCCAAGGGACUUCAGAAGGAAAAACAAAGUUUCAAGACAUCAAUGACAACCUUCAAGAGGAAUUAUCAGUGAUGAAAUCCAGACUUGAAGGGAUGGUAAAAUCAGUACGUAUGCUGAACAAGGGCACUGAUACGUUUGACCAGAUUCUGAAAUCAGGAAAAACAGCCAAAGAUAUGAAGGGUCUGGGAUAUGAGAGUGACACCACACCAGAAGAAACCAAAAAGGCUACUCCUAAGUUUGUUGCUGCUGAAAAGAAAAGUGAAUUCAAGAUGUCGGACAACAUGUGUACCCACAAAUACCCUAUGUGUAUCCACAGGUUCAGAAGGCAAAAAGCACUAGCUGGAAAUGUCAUCAUUGUGGUAGAUAUAUAUGGACACAUAAGACCUUAUUGCUACAGGUUGUCUGGAUUUCCAAAAGGAAAAUCUUCUCAGUUAAUAACUCAUGAAGCAAGAAAGAAAGAGUGGAAGGUUAAAAGCAACAUGUCUACUUUAUUUGCUUACACCUCUCUAAGAGUAUCCUCUAAAGAGGAUUGAUAUUUUGACAGUGGUUGUUUAAGACACAUGACUGGAGUGAAGAGCUAUCUUGGUGACAUGAAGCCUCACUCUACCAGUUAUGUUACCUUUGGUGAUGAUGCUAAAGGAAAAAUAAAGGGAUCUGGAAAACUUGUCAGUAGUGGAUCUCCUGAGUUGAAUGAUGUGUUCCUAGUUAAAGGUUUAGCAGCCAACCUGAUCAGUAUAAGUCAGCUAUGUGAUUUAGAUCUCGAUGUUACCUUUUGUAAAACUGGUUGCAAAGUAUCUGAUGAGAAUGGUGAAGUGAUAAUGAGAGGAGCUAGAUCAAAGGAUAAUUGUUAUAUGUGGAUCUCUCAGUAUAAAUCCAUGUCUUCAAGAUGCUUGGUAACCAAGGAAGAGGAAGUUAAAAUGUGGCACCAAAAACUUGGGCAUCUGAAUCUCAAGAUCAUGAAGAAGUUCAUCUCCAACGAAGCUAUCAGAGGACUACCCAAACUAAAAAUAGAAGAAGGGAGAAUAUGUGGAGAAUGUCAGGUUGGAAAGCAAACCAAGGUUUCACAUAAGAAGUUACAACUUGUGGCUACAAACAGGAUUUUGGAACUUCUUCACAUGGAUCUCAUGGGACCAAUGCAGGUAGAAAGCAUUGGAGGAAAAAGGUAUGCUUUUGUUUGUGUAGAUGAUUUCUCUAGAUAUACCUGGGGAAAGUUUAUUGCAGAAAAAUCAGACACAUUUGAUGUGUUCAAGGAACUAAGUCAACAACUUCAGAGGGAGAAGGGAUCUAGAAUUGUGAGAAUUCGUAGUGAUCAUGGCAAAGAGUUUAAAAACAGCAGGUUUUCAGAUUAUUGCACUGAGAAUUCGUAGUGAUCAUGGCAAAGAGUUUAAAAACAGCAAAUCGUGUUACCAUCAAAUUUGGAACUACAUCAAAUCAGUAUGAGUUGUGGAAAGGAAGAAAGCCAACUGUGAAUUACUUCCAUGUCUUUGGUAGUAAAUGUUACAUUCUAGUUGAUCGUGAGCAGAGAAGGAAAAUGGAUCCAAAGAGUGAUGAAGAUAUUUUUCUGGGGUAUUCUACAAACAACAAAGCUUAUAGAGUAUACAACUCUCGUACCAAGAUAUUGAUGGAAUCUAUAAAUGUUGUAGUUGAAGACAACCUAGAAGACAUGAAAAUUGCAGAGGAGAUUGUUGAUGAUCCUUUACCUCAGUCAGAUGUUGACAGACCAAAUGUCUCAGACAUCUGGUCAGACAAUGAAUCUGAAGAAGAAAAUGAAAGCUUGACUCCUCAGAAUAAAGGACCCUCUAUUCGAAUACAGAAGAUUCAUCCUAGGGAAAACAUCAUAGGGGAUCUGAAUGAAGGUGUCAUUACUAGAUCCAGAGAAGUCAUCUCCAAUGGGUGUUGCAUUUCGAAAAUUGAUCCCAAGAACAUCAAGGAGGCUUUGACAGAUGAUUAGUGGAUAAAUGCUAUGCAAGAGGAAUUAGCUCAAUACAAGAGGAAUGAGGUUUGGAACUUAAUUCCUAGGCCUGAUGGGGUAAAUGUCAUAGGUACCAAGUGGAUUUUCAAGAACAAAUCUGAUGAGAAUGAUACUAUUACCAGAAAUAAGGCCAGAUUGGUAGCUCAGGGAUACACUCAGAUUGAAGGAGUGGACUUUGAUGAAACUUUUGCUCCAGUGGCUAGACUGGAAUCAAUCAGACUUUUGUUGGGAGUAGCAUGCCUAUUGAAGUUCAGACUGUUUCAAAUGGAUGUUAAAAGGGAUUUCUUGAAUGGGUAUCUGAAUGAAGAAGUGUACGUUGAACAACCAAAAGGUUACAUUGAUUCAACCUAUCCAGAACAUGUGUACAAGUUGAAGAAGGCUCUCUAUGGAUUGAAGCAAGCACCAAGGGCAUGGUAUGAAAGACUCACUGAAUUCUUGACAAAUAAUGGGUACAACAAAGGUGGAAUUGAUAAGACUUUAUUUGUGAAGAAUGUCAAAUGAAAGCUGAUGAUUGCUCAAAUAUAUGUUAAUGACAUUGUUUUUUGAGGGAUGUCAUACCACAUCGUAGAAAAUUUUGUCAAUCAAAUGAAGUUUGAGUUUGAGAUGAGCAUGGUUGGUGAACUGAACUACUUCUUAAGGCUACAAGUGAAGCCGAUGGAGGACUCAAUUUUUAUCUCUCAGAGCAAGUAUGCAAAAAAGUUAGUAAAAAAGUUUAGUCUUGAAAGCGCAGCACACAAAAGAACUCCUGCAUCAACUCAUAUCAAACUGACUAAAGAUGAGAGUGGAGCUGAUGUUGAUGAAAGCAUAUACAGAAGUAUGAUUGGCAGUCUGCUAUAUCUCACUACUAGUAGACCAGACAUUGCUUUUUCAGUUGGUGUGUGUGCUAGGUAUCAAGCUGCACCUAAGGAGAGUCAUCUCACUCAAGUAAAGAGGAUUAUAAAGUAUAUCAGUGGAACUAUUGACUACGGUAUCUUUUAUGCUCACAACACUAAUUCAAGUUUAAUAAGAUAUUGUGAUGCAGAUUGGGCAGGAAAUGCAGAUGAUAGAAAAAUCACUUCAAGAGGAUGUUUCUUUCUUGGGAAUAAUCUCAUAUAUUGGUUCAGCAAAAAGAAAAAUUUUGUUUCAUUAUCCACUGUUGAAGCUGAAUAUAUAGCUGCUGGAAGUGGAUGUACUCAACUAUUAUGGAUGAAGCAUAUGUUGAAAGAAUACAAUGUCGAACAAGAUGUCAUGACAUUGUACUGUGACAACAUGAGUGCUAUCAACAUUUCAAAAAAUCCAAUCCAACAUAGCAGAACCAAGCAUAUUGACAUUUGUCAUCACUUUAUUAGAGAUUUAGUUGAAGAGAAAAUAAUCAUUUUUGAGCAUGUGGAACCUGAGUUGUAGUUAGCAAAUAUUUUCAACAAGACAUUGGAUGUGGCUAAAUUUGAGAAUUUAAGAGGAAAAUUAGGGAUUUGCGUAAUAACUGACUUAUAGCAGUUAUUGACACAUGUCAAGGGCAACGACUAUAUUUCCUUCUAUUUAAUCUCCCUUGAUCGCUUGUUGGAAGUUAUCUAUUCUCAUUUCCUUGAUCGUGCAAAUUGAGAUUACUCUCUCUCGCUCAAAUCUCUAACCUCAAACGGUUAUCUUCAAACUUCUUUUAAUUUCUCCUACAUCAUGUCUCAAGAAUCAGGAAAGAAGAAUGUUGCUGGUCCCAAACCUGUCACAAAUGUUCAUGGUGUCAAGUUUCUUGGAAUGAAGUCUUCAUCGUCCACACCUUCUAGGGUGACUCGCUCCUCUGCUACAAUUGCAUCUCCAGAAUCUUCUGGACCUGCCAAGAGGGCAAGAAGUAUGAGAAUCAAGCAUGUUGCAACUAAGAAAGGAACUGGUAAAGCUUCUAAUGCUCAGAACAUUUCUGAUGACUCCGUGCCUGACAACAAUGUUGAUGUUGGUCAAGAAGACGAUGUUCCAAAUGUUGAAGUAAACAAAGUGACAAUGAUGUUCUGGAGACCCUUGCUGAUGCUGCAAUAGCACCAGAUGUUACACCACAUGUCGAGUCUCAAGAAAAACACGGUUCUGCCACUGGUUCUGAAGAGAGAUCUCGUCCUCUGUGGAGGUCACUCCAAAGAAGAAUCCUGAACCUUCUUCUAGAAAGGGAAAGGAAAAACAAACUGUUGUUCUAAUGAUGAGGAAUCUCAUGAGGUACUAAUCACAAAGGUUGUUGUUCCUGCUAGUGUUGUGAAGAAGGUUGCUGUCUCUGCAAGCAAGAAGAUUGCAGAUGGAAAGAAGAAAAAGAAGGAAGGGUCAUCUCUCAAGACCCCCAAGACGUCUAGAAGUUCUCAGGUCUAAGAGUGUGAGAAGAAGAAAAAGAAAGAAAAGAAGAAAGAGAAGGCUAAAGCCACUGCUGGAAGAAAAAGAAAGCAUGUCUCUGAAUCUGACUCUGACUCUGAGUCAGAUGUCGUGCCAGAUGUCCCAUACAUCUCAACCACUGCAAGGAAGAGAGUGAAAGGGAGGAGAAUUCCUACCAAUGUUCCUGAUGCUCUAGUGGAUAAUGUGUCGCUCCACUCUGCAAAUUUUGCACAGAGGUGGAAGUUUGUGGUUCAUAGGAGGCUGGCUGUUGAAAGAGAACUUCAUGAAGAUGCCUUGGAACUCAAGGAGAUUGUGGAUCUGUUGACUGAAGUUGGCUUGAUGAAGAUUGUCAAGGAUAUUGGCAGGUGUUUUGACCAAUUGGUCAGGGAGUUCAUUCUGAAUAUCCACACUGACUGUGAUGAUGAGGACAAUGCUGAGUACAAGAAGGACCACCCUUCUCAAGUAGGAAAAGCAACGUUACACAAAAUCAAAUUGCUACCAAAGUAGGAGACUCUCUAUUGCACUCUAUUUUAGCUAGAUAAUCUGAUAAUAAAUUUUCUUCUCUAUAGAUAUGAACUACUCCAACACAAUCAAGCCAUCCCACCCAACCUACAGCUAGCAAAAGAAUCACUUUUGACCAUAAUAUGUUUAUGAGAAAACUGUUUCCAAAAGAGUAGUGCUUUCAAGAUGACCUUCACUUCCACUUCGUAAGCCCAAAGGGCUCUCAAUAAAAGACAUUAAAGGCCAAGAAUUUUCCAAUCGUGAUUCCUCAGCCCUACUCACUCGCAUGGCCCAGCCUAUAUAAGGCCAAGAAUAGCCUUAUAACGGGCCAUGCGAGUGAGAGAGAGUGGUCGAAUGAUCAUCUAGGACUUGAUCUUGCACCGCUCAAAAUGCAUGCAAUAUGACAUAAAGCUUGGUUCUCUCUUCCAUGAAGCAUGAGAAAAUCGUAAACAUGUUAGUGAAUAGAGAAAUGAUGAGAACAUAGUUAUAUUGAAGGUAUGGUGAAGAGAAAUAGUAAAUAAUAUAGUGGGUUAAGGGUUUUGCUGGUGAAUAGUGAGAGCAGUGAUGGUGGUUGGUGAUUUAAAGAAAGAUUAGAUUUCUAACUCAAUUAAAUUUGAGAUAUCAAUUAACAAGAAUAUUUUUCAUUAAUUUCCUAUUUUUUAGAAAUUUACUUAUAUAAAAUAAUAAAAUGGAACUAUAAUGAAGUGUAAAUAAAUCAAUACUCAAUUUACAUUUUUUUUUUUUACAAAUACUCAAUUUGCUCACAAGUACAUUUAUGUUUUUUAUUUUUAGAAAAUAUGUUAAUAGCAAUGGUAAGUUUUGACCUUGAGCUAGACGUCGUUAUUGUUUUAUAAUUUAGGCAAUCGAACUAACUAUUAAGUUUCCUAUAUUUUUCUUUAAUUUCGAGAAAUUCAUCAGGACAAUCAUUAUUCUAAAUGUAAUUAUUGCAGUUGCAAAAAGAGGAUUUUCUCAUGUCUAUUAUUUUCUCAUAUAUGGUUUUUUUUUGUUACAAAUGGAACUACCUCAUAUAUGUUACUUCAACAUUAAAUAAUGCAAGUUCAAAAUAAAAACAUUAAAUAGUGCUAAAUUGUUUUAUAAAAAAUUGAAUUAAAUAAUGCUAAACAAAGACAAAAACACAAAUAAAUAAAAUAAUUGCACUUCUAUAAAAAAAAAAAAAAGCUUAUCAAAUUCAUGUGAUAAAAUAAAACGAAAAACCCAUAUGAAUUGCACAAGUCACAAUACUAGUGAGCAAUAAAGUAUAAAAGUAAAAAAAGGUAAAUUAUAAAUAAAAAAAACAUAAAAUAUAAAUUGAAUUUUUUUCUAUCAAAAACAUUCAUUUCCAUCUGCUGAAAUCUUCCAUGCCUUUUUUUUUGAAUUAAUAAUAAAAACAGAUAAACAUAUAUGGUGUUCAAGAGUAGCAAAGAAAAUAAAGAAACCUCAAAAUUAAAGGUAUAUCCAAAAACAUAUAGCGCAUAUCCAUCAACGAAGCCUAUCCGACAUAUUCGACAGUUCACUCAGCUUAUAUUCCGAAAGACUCAGUCUCAGGCACCAUUCUAUCAAUAAGCUUAGCAUACUUAUUUUCUUUCUUUCUAAAUUUCUUUAGAUACUUCUCAUGAUAUUUAGUUGCUACUUUGAUAGUUUCUUCAUUCCUCCUCAAGUCAGACUUCAAUUCUUCAAUCUGGGUCCAGAUUGCUCUAGUUUCUGGAGGUAGAUUCUUCUGGUUCACACAAGGGAAACAUAUAAAUGGAUCCCUAAAAAUUAAAUGAUUAGUGAGUUUUGAAUGAAAGAAAAAAUCAGUGACAAAAAUCACACAUAGGUAAAUAUGAAGGUUAAAAGAAACAAAACAAUCACAGAAAUUCUAAUAUGUCAUACAUGGCAGUUUUUAUAACAUUAUUUACAAUAUAUAUUUCAAAUAACUGAUGAAGUUAAUAAAAUUCCGACCAAUAACAGGGAGAAUCUUGUCAUAUGUCCGAGGGAGGGUAUAAUGAGAUAUACAAGACUUUCAUCUUAUAAUAAAACGUAUUGAAAAUAGGGUGUUGUAAUCGAGAGGGUUUUAAGAACACCGUUGUUACUUUUUAUUCUUCCAAUAUGUUUCAUCAUAUAUCUCUUCUUUUUCAUCACUGACGUUUAUAUGGAGUAAAUCAAGAGUAACAACAAUGACCGGUAAACUUAGAGAAAAAUAAUGAACAGAAGACAUUAUUUCUCUCAAAAGAGGAAUUUCAAAGAUGACCAUUUUUCCCUUCCAAAUUUUAAUUUGGUUUAAGAAUUUGGGUGUGGGUAUUAGACUUAGGGAGGCCGAACUCAACCCAAAAGUCCGAGGGAGGGUAUAAUGAGAUAUACAAGACUUUCAUCUUAUAAUAAAACGUAUUGAAAAUAGGGUGUUGUAAUCGAGAGGGUUUUAAGAACACCGUUGUUACUUUUUAUUCUUCCAAUAUGUUUCAUCAUAUAUCUCUUCUUUUUCAUCACUGACGUUUAUAUGGAGUAAAUCAAGAGUAACAACAAUGACCGGUAAACUUAGAGAAAAAUAAUGAACAGAAGACAUUAUUUCUCUCAAAAGAGGAAUUUCAAAGAUGACCAUUUUUCCCUUCCAAAUUUUAAUUUGGUUUAAGAAUUUGGGUGUGGGUAUUAGACUUAGGGAGGCCGAACUCAACCCAAAAGUUAGCUCAAGAGUUGAGGUUGUUCUACCCUUUAUAAGCACUUAUUUGGCCACAUCUCUAGCCAAUGUGGGACUUCUAACACACCCCCUCACGCCUAGGGCUGAAUAUCUGAAGCUUGGAAUUAACAUAAACGGGUGGCCCAAAUAUGGGAGGUCUCCACAACAAAUGGAUCUAGGAUAGGCUCUGAUACCAUAUUAGAAUUAAUGAAUCUAGUAUGGUAUAAUAUGUGGAGAAAAUGAGGUUAUCUUCUAUUUCAUUCACGGCAGCGGCGCAAGGACACAUGUUUUCCCUGGCGCACCGCAUAGAGAUCGCACCCUAAAGGGUUUCAACGAGUAUGAGCUCACCUACUACUCUCUCACUCACAACAACACUCUUUCUCUCAAUGGUCUGUCUUCUUUUCUCCAUUUCUAUAUGGCAAUGACAAUGUCUUCUUUUCUUUUUUCUAAAGGGAAGUUAAUUUACGCUUGAGUGUUAGAAUAUGCAAAAGAUAUCUCAUAAUAUCUCUAUCAUAUCAUUAGAGUAGCUUAUAAUAUCUUGGUCUUAGCUUAGAGUAAUUAAGGCAGUUUAGAUUAUUUCGUAGAUUGAUGGGCUUUUACUUAUUUAAUUAGGAUUAAGAGUAUUAAUAAGUUUCCUAAUUUAACAAAAAUCAAAAGUCUACUCAUUACUAUAAAUAUGGGUAAGUAGUUUAUCUUUUAAUAAAGCAGUUGUUCAUAAUGUAAACCCUAGCGGACUUUCACUUCCACUUCCCUUCUCUCUUCUUUUCUCCCUCAUUCCUUUGCAUUGUUUCUCUGAACAUGGUAUCAGAGCAUCUAUGAUCAAGUGGUCUAGAGUGCGACCUUUGCCUUUUUCAGCACAUGCUAUGUGGGCAUAUGCAUUGUCCACGCUUCACGCCCAAGUGGGCUCUUACGUGAAGAGAUGUGUUUGAAAUAUAAUAAAAAAUUAUGCAAAGUUAUUCACCCAAUAGCUUAAACUUUUUGGAUAAUUGGUUCCUAACAAUACCAAAAAGUAGUAAAAAAGAGUUGUCUAAAAGACCCUAAACAAAUUUGGUAACAAUCACCCUAAGUUCUAGGUGGACCAAUGAUAUUUAAGAUAUGUGGACCACCUAGGAUUACCAAUGGUCAUUUGACAAGCCCUAAUAAAAAGAAAACAGAGCCGAGUGAAUAUUGAAGAUGAAACAGAGCGAGAAAGAGAGAAUAUAAAUACCCAAAACCAAGUGAGUGAAUUCCAUUUUCCCUUAUAAUACCACCAUCUAACGAAACAGCACCAUCCUCUAUAGAAGCACGGGCAGCUUCCAUGCUCUUUUUUGUAUUGUAAACUUGAAGCUUCUUGAAAAGGCUAAACAGCACUGUCUCCCGAAGCCCAUGACCUGAAGCUGUCCUCGUCUGCAAGUGAUUGAUGUCGAGGUCAACCAUAUUAACUGCAUAGCCCAUGAAGCCUGGUGGAGUACUCCCAUUUGGUAACCUAGGAUUAGGCAACGCUAGCUUUCUCUGAGAGUCAUUUUCUUGCAAAUACCGCGUGUAAGGCCUGUCAAACCAAUGCAUGCACAUCUCAAGGAACUAAAAAGCAGCAAGCCACAAGGCCUUAUCAUAAAUAUUUGAUAAAAAUAUAUGAAAACUUAAUCAUAUAACAAUUAAAAUUACUGUCAUGGCUCAUUAAGCACCCUAUUACCUUAAUUCUUCAAAGCAUAUAACAAGGAAACGCUUGCUUAUAGCUCUUCCAAGAUCAGCUGCUUGAGCAUGCAAAGCUUGCUCAGAAUCGAUUUCGCCAUUUUGAAUAUGGUUCUGAAGAGAAGUUGCAGUGUCAAAAGAUCUACAGAUAACACCUAGCAUUCUAUCUUCACCAAGAUACUCUGCCAACAUUCUGCACAUAAAAGAUAUAAAUUCAGAAGUAAAAUAGAGCCGAAAUGCAAGAAAUUUCUGUUUCAUCUUUUAUCUUUUCUUUGGGAAGUAAAAGGGGGGUGGGGAUUAUACAAACCUACUAAGCUGAGGUCUCUGAACGGUACCCAGGAGGGCAACGACCCCAAUAAUAUCUUCCAUAAAAGGUUGCUUUUCUUGGGUAGAAAGAUCACAAAACACAGAAGAUGCCCAGUUUUCCACGCGUUUAAUUCUGGUCACAACUUCAUCUUUCGUAAACAAAGAGUCCAUAUUGCCCACUUGGUAAUGUUGAACCAUCUCUGUGAAAAAUUAAAACAGACAUAAAUCAAAUCAUUUCUGUCAAACAACCACAUAUCCCAAAAGGGGUAAGGGCCACAUCAAUGGUUUUAUAUUAUAUUCUAAUACGCCCCCUCACGCAAGAGCCAUUUGGGCUUGAAGCGUGGACGAAUGCACAGGCCCACCUACCAUGUGCUUAAAUUCCACUUUUUAAUUAGAACGUGAGGGGAGCAAAGAUCGAGCUCUAGACCGUUAAGUUAUAGAGGUUCUGAUACCAUGUCAAAUAACCACUUAUCCCAAAAGCUUAAGUUGUUGGGUAAGGUCCACAUCGAUGGUUUUAUAUUAAAUUCUAACAAUUUAUUUAUUUUGAUCAAUUUUUAGUUUAAGGCGUUAACAGGAAAAAACUAGCAUUCAUAAAUGCACAGUGGCAUCAACAGAUAUAACUCAAGACAUCAAGUGCCAAAAUUUCAUCCAAUAAACAUUAUAUUAAAUACUCUAUGCCCUAUCUAGCUUUAAUAACAACAGCUAAAAAUAGAGAGAGAAAAGAACCCAGUAGUUUGAACAUCUCUUGCUCAGCUUCGGCCUUUCCUUCAUUAUAAAGAUUAAGACGCUUUUCAAGUUUAGCAAUUUUCUCACCCAAUCUGAUGAGUUCACCAAGUUUCUGCAAACAACAUGCACAUGAAGACAGACGUUUUGAAGAAAAGAAUUUAUUGAAAGAGACUAAAAAGCGUAAACAAAUAGUUUUCUGUAACCAAACAAUGACUAUGUAAGAUGUAUAAAAACAACCGCAAAACUUUCAUACUUCACCUAAACAUAAACCCAAUCUCACACUAUCACCUAAACAUUUCAGGAGAUAGUCCAUGACUGACACUAUUCAACAAGUUCAGUGUAUCAUGAAUUACUACAAUUCAUGAUAAAAAAACACAAAGGACAUUCUUUAUUCACAGAUUAAACACUCAUAUCAAAGAACAAAGCAGAAUUCAACUUUGAUACCUUGUCAUCAUUAUCAUUAUUUACAACGGAAAGCAUUAAGUUACAUUCUUGGUUAAGUACUGGAUCAUCUUGCAGGAAUAUGAUACUCUUAUUGGGGGUUGGAGGUAGAUCGAACUUCUUGUUUGGUGUUUUAAAAACAGGAACCUGCACACAAAUCUUAACAAUUAUUAUUCGAAGCGAGGCCAAAAAUAGGUAAAGACAUAAAUGAUAUAACCUGAACAAUUAGACAGAGCUCUGAAUAUUGCGAAUGAGCAGCUUCAAAGCAAAAAAUCCCAUCGUUCACUGGAAUACGGAUUAAAGGGACAGUACAGCGUCCAUGCAUAAAAGUGUAGCGAACAGAUUCCUCUGCAUUUAACAAGUCCGACUUAAUUGUAAGCAUAUGAAACUGGCCAUCUUUAUCGCUGUGAUGAAUCUUUCUAUCUACUUCUCCAUCAGGAUUGACAAUUUCAAAAUCAAUGUUUUCCAAGUGACCACCAGCAGCACAAAAAUCAGGCACCUGAAUUCAUGUAAUAACCAUUGAAACAAACGGGAAAAAAAGCUAUUUACACUUUUACAAAGGUGAUGAAAAACCAACCCCUGAUGCAAUUCUCAAAAUCCUUCUCACAGUUGAAAAAUCCUGCUUGACCAUUGUUUUAUUUUCAAACGUAAUACAUAUGGACACUGCACCAUGAAGCAAACAAAUUAGACCAUGAGGUGGAAAUAAGAAAAAUCGAAAACAUUAAAACAACAUAGUGAAUCUGCAUAAAAUAGUUGUCAAGACAUGUCUUCACAGCUUUCAAAAAAGAAAACAACUUACAACAAUGUAGAAGAUUUAAAAGUUAGAGGGAAUAAUGAAAGUUACUAAGGGCAGCCAAUUAAGACCAGUAGCUUAGCUGAUAUCAAAACUAAAUACUACGUACCAUUUUCUCCAUAACCUGCUGUCAAUUUCAGUAGACCACUAAGAUUAAUUCUUCCUUCUUCAUCCACCUGUAUAUAAGAAUUUUGAUAGACCAAUUAUAUCUCAUAAGAUUAAAUCUAAGGGUUCCCAAGUCCCAACUAAGCUCGGUUACCAAAACAGUUAACAUAGUUCUGACAGAGUCCUAACAGUGUAAAAUAAUUAAAUAAAAAGAAGGAAAAAGGAUAAUCAGCGUCAUUAUAUUGAUACGAUGAUAUAAACAUAUAUACAUGUUUAUCACAGUACACCAUAGUUGGUACAAAAGCAUUACCUGGUGCACUGUACCUAAAUGAUUCAGUAGGAUGAAUCCAGUCAGAGUAAUAGUAACCUCCAAUCCUUUAGGAACAUGGUUUCCAUAACUAUCAAACAUCUGAAUGAUACACAUCAAUAUGUCAGCUAGAAAUUACCAUUAAUGCAAUUCCGAAUAAUACAUAAAAAUUACAAUAACUAAAAGCUUCUGAUUAACUCUUCAAGGAGAUUAAAAAUAAAUAAACAACCAAUUUUAUACAAAAAAAAACGUAUGAACUCAAGGUCCACUUGAUUGUUUGCAUGGUAUGAACUCAAGAUCCCCUUGAACAAGCGCUUAUUCCAUAAGCUAUGAGUCCAACUUUAAUAGUAAGCCAUCAAAACCAUUUGUUGGGUUGCCUUAUUGACUUUUUACAGUAGAAUAAUCACUAUUAAUGGCUGUGAUGACUUACUGGACCAUCUAAAGUAAACUAUCUUACUUUAGAGGAGCUAAAUCCAAACAUGUUAAAUAUAUAGAAAUUCAGAUACCAAUCAAAAAGAUACACUAUGAAACUCUUAACACAAGAUUUCAAUAUUGUUGUCUAUAGAUUGCUGUCACAUAGAUUCCAGAGGGUUUAGUUUUUAGUAGCUGUCACGGCAGCUAUAGAAAAAGAAAAUGUAGCGGUGUGGCAUCUGAUGGGACUUGUGAAAACUAAGAAAUUCCCCUCAACUGAUAAUGUUAGGCUUUUUUUACUUUAGAAUUAAUCCAAAAAAGGCCCUGUUUGAGAAAACCCUCACUCCUUUGUGCUUUUCAUCCUUUCGCCAUCCAAGUAGACCGACCAAUCGGGCGACCAAACUGUUGACCUGCUAAGGCUUUCAUCAGCUCAUACUCCAACAUGAAAGUGCUGAAUGUCUGCCUGCUGUCUUAGCUCUUGAUCUUGAAACAAAUGUUUACAAGUUGCAACUUAAGAAUCACCCUAUCUCCAGCCACUAGAUCAAGUGGUUUUUGCUGCAUAUUGCUUGUUUGCUUCAUCUACUCACCAUGAAAAGCAAUACUGUUUCGUAGAACCAAACAUAUGAUGAGCCCAAAAGAUCUUUUGUGAUAGAAAUAGUGGUCUCAGCACUGAAAAUCAACACUAUUUCAUGAGACCCAAGUUUUAAAGGAUACAUCGAAUGAUGCCUCAAGAUCUGUUCUUGCCUCAUUGUACAGGUCCAAGUCUUGGCGGGGCUUCGUGACAUUUUACCUUGGUUAUACUUUGUUUGUUUGAGGUGAUUUUAGAUGGAGAGAGGUUUCUAACAUUGUUAGGUAGAAGAGAGUGAUAGCGGGAAGAGAGAAAUAAUAUGUGGGACCCACCAACUUUUUGGGGUCUCUCUAAUUUGAAAAGUGCAGAAGAGAGUAAGUUUUUUUACACACUUUCCCAUUUUAUCCCUCCAUUAAUAUCAUAUUUAUUUAUAAAUGUUUAUUUAUUCAAGGUAAAAAUAUCAUUUCUUAAAAAAGUAUAAUCUCUUCUUCCAUUCUCUACCCAACCAAACAAAAAAAACGAAGACACGCCUCAUUCUUUCUCUUGUCUUUCAAUCAUACCAAACAACUACAAAAUCCUAUUUAAUGCACCUUGACAGUUGAGCGAAGCACCCAUCCAAGAAUAAGUAAAACCGGAGAAAUUAGAUAAUGCCAAAAUAUAUAACAUUCAACAUUAUAACAUUCAACAUUUAUACACAUUCUAAAAUACCUCCAACAUAAACUCUUCAAAAAUGUAACCUGGUACUAGUUGAUCUUCAGUUAUUUUUGGCUUCAGUUCAACAAGUUUAAGAACACCUGGAUAAACUGAAUAUGAAACAUAAAACAAAGAUGAGCAAACCAGAAAACAAACUCAUUUCCUGAUGAAGAAGAAGUCAACAUCAAUAAUGAGCACCUCGACAUGGAACUGAAAGCACAAAUGGGAUACUUUUUGAUUCAAUAAACAAAGAAGUUCUGUAGCUUGGCCGUAUCUUGUCAAGUUCAUUACUUAUGACCAUUGCAUCCUAUGACAUGUACCAAAACAAUUCAAUAGGCGUUUUCUUUCAAGCUAUAAGAAAAAAGAAUUACAUAACUAGCAUACCUCAAUUUUUAAAGUCAGUUUGUCAGAAGUAAUCGUAUUUUUCAUUCCACAAACAUCAAAGUGCAAGUUAUUAGCUGUCUUAAUUUUGAUUGUUACAUCCGAAAUUGAUUGAAAAGGUACUCGUUUAUCUUGGCUGUCAUAACCUGCAAUGGCUAAGGUUGGAAAAGGAGAACCAACCCUGUCCAGAAAUUAUAAUCAAUUCAACAAGGGCAUAUUAAUGUAAACAUAUGAUAGAUCAGAAGUUUAACAGUACAUGUGCAGGAAUGUAAAAUUACAGAAUAUAUUAGAAUAAGGAAAACAGCUAUGUCUGAACUAGUACAUCACUGGAAAAAACUAUAAAAGUUUUGCUGUGAAAAGACGUUAUCUAAAGUGAUCGUACCUCACAUCUAUUCGGUCACCAGUUUGAAGGCUAAACUUCACAGCAGCAAGAGAAGGCUUCACAAUCACGUUUCUCUCAUAACUUUGACAAUUUGAAUCAAUCUAGUAGACAAAUUACCAAGAAAACUUAAUGCAUGACGCUUCCAAAAAAAAAAGAGCAGAAGAGAAAAUCAGUUUGUGCUGCUAGACAACAGAACAUAGGAAUAAAUGAAAAUCAGCCCUGCAAAACAUAUUAGGCAAUUUGCAUGUAUAGAUAGAAAGAAAAGUCAACCACUAAAGGUAUGUUUGGGGGUAUUCGUUCAUUCAUCCCAGAGCAAACGGAUAAUAGCACACAUUUCAUGGUAAAUGUUUUUAUUGAUUUACCUAGUGACCAGAAUUUUUUAUUGAUUAAGAUAAAAGUAUAUUAGGGUAACGUGGAGAAGCUUGUGGAAAUCGGUUAAGGUGGUAUGGACAUAUACAAAGAAGACCUUUGGAGGCACCGGUGAGAAGGGUUGAUAACAUGGUAUUUAGUCCUGUGAAGAGAGGUAGAGGGAGGCCAAAAAGAACUUUGGGAAAUAUUGUUAAAAAUAAACUACUCCCUCCGUUCCUAAUUAUAAGCCCUAAUACAAAAAAUUGCGCUUAUUAAGAAAGCAUUAAAUGUGUCAUUUUCUCUCACUAAUUAAUGCUAGGUGAUAAUUAAAAGUUAAAACUUUGGAAUUGAAAACACACAAUUAAUGUGAGGGUUAUAAAUGGAAGAGUAGAAUACUUUUUGCUAGAUUAUUGUAGAAGGUCUUAUAUUUUGGAACAUGAAAAAUCUAAAACUAGGUCUUAUAAUUAGGAACGGAGGGAGUAACUAUCAAUAAUAUCUCUUAUACACUGGUUUUUAUGGAGUUCAAUGGUGUAGUGUGAUUCAUAUAGCCGACCUUAUUAAGUGGGACAAGGUUUUUUGUUGUGGUUAAAUAAGAUGAAAGUUUGUUAAUGUUGCACUCAACUGGUAUCCAAACAUACUAAACAAUUAACAUUUUUAUGAUAAUACCAAAUUUCAUUUAAUUUUUUGUACAUAUAGAAAUACCAAAUUUGAAAUAACAUCUCAGCCUACUUUUAACAAAAAUUUUGUAGCCACUUUAGCAUGUAAAUGGUUUUGCAGUAGGAAGUCUGAUGAACAUUGACCUCCAAUUAGGAAGGUUUAUGAGAGGAGAAAUAGGAGAAAGGCUAUAGCCUAGUUAAAUAGGGAUAACUAAAAUUGUAGGCAGUUAUUGCCAGCUGGAUCAGUUAGUUAGUUCAGUUACUGUUAAGUCAGUUGGGGAAGGGUAUAAAUAAAGGGAAAGGAGAAGUUAGAGUCAGUUAGAUAUUCAGUUGGAAAUAGGAGAGACUGGACUCUCGAAUAUUCCAGAGGGAAACUAGGGUUCUUCAUUCACCAUUAUUGUACUCUGAGCUUUGAUUCUCAGUUUCUGUGAAUCACAGUUCCAAUUCCAUCAAUAAAAUCUCAGUUCUUGUUCUUGAGUUCAUCAAAGUCUCAUAAACACUACAGGAUCAAUGCAAAAAGAGUAGCUUGAGAGUUUAAAAUUCUAGCAAUUUUAGAAGGUCAAUUUAGCUUCCAUAUAAAAAAGUCACUUCUCAAGGAAUGUGUUAACAUUCUGAAGGAAGGACCUAAAGAAAAAAAUGUAUUAGAGGAUGAGCAAAAAAGGUAUGUUGCUAGCUAUAUUCUUAGCUGGUAUAAUGCAAGCAAAGAGACAUUUCUACGACAGAAUUGCAGUUGCGGUUAGUGAUUUCUUUUGCAUACAGCAUACCCAACAUAACCCUUCACAAUGUUAUGGUAACAUAAACAUGUCCUUUAUAGAAAGAUGUUAAGUUUCUCAAAAUAUCCAUCUGAAAAUUGUUUAAUUUUUCUUAAAUUUUCCCUUUGUUGAGUCCAGAUUAUAUUCAAGUUAGUUGUGAAAAAUUUAUAUAAUGAAGUCAAUAUCAGCAGUGGCAUAAAUGUUAAAUAAAAAAUGUGCCUGCAUUACAGCUAAAACCAACACAGAUUCAGCGAUUUCUUGUUUUUACAGCAAGAUUAAAGACCUACCGUCAGCGGACAUAUAAACAGGAUCACAUAAAAAUAUAUAGUUUAACAGCUUAACUAAAGGAAUAUAGGCCAGAUCAGUUAUGAGCUCAAGAAACCUCUUUGACAAAAAGAAACAUGAAAAGCUAUAUAUGUGCAAUACAGGUGUUGAUUAAGAAGAACAUUUGUAAUCGAAUUUUUCGUAAACCAGUACAGUUCAAGAAUUGUAAUCAGUAUUUUUUUUGUAAAUUUGGCGAAUAAAUUAAAAACUAUGCAAAUGCCAAAACAAUUUACAGGAGAGAAGAAUGGAAAAAAAUAAUACUAAGCCCAAAAACUACAGAAUCUUUGUAAUGGUUUGAACACAGCAAAUCAAUCAAAGCAGGAGAUUUCUGCUGUUUCUUAUUAACUUGAUUAUCCCAUUUAGUACUUUUGACAGCUACGACUUGAUUAGAAAUCAUAUAUCUUUCCAACUGCAUAAUAUAAAAUUUAGGAUAUACAGCCAUUUUCUGAAAGCUUAAAUAAAUGAUUAGAAGAUUGUAAUUUUGAAGAAUAUAGUGAAAGAAACUUUCUAUCAGCAGAAUGGGAAGAAAUAAAUAUACCAACCCCAUCAACCUCCGAAUCUUGGUAAUGGUCUGAACCCAGCAAAUCAAUCGAAGCAGGAGAUUUCUGUUGUUUCCUAUUAACUCGAUUAUCCCAUUUAGUACUUUCGACAGCUACGAGCUGCUUAGAAAUCAUACGUCCUACCAACUGCAUAGUAAAAAAUUUAGGAUAUACAGUUAUUAUCUUAGAGUUUAAAUAAAUGAUUUGAAGAUUGUGCAAAAAAACGAUUGUUUGAAGAAUAUAGUGAAAGAUAAAUUCUAUCAGCAGAAUGGGACAAAAUAAUAAUACUAACCCCAUCAACCUCUGAAUCGUGGUAAUGGUCUGAACCCAGCAAGUCAAUCAAAGCAGGAGAUUUCUGUUGUUUCUUCUUAAGACGAUUUUCCCAUUCAAUACUUGCAACAGCUACGAGCUGUAACACGUUAAAAUGCUUAGAUAGCACAUAUCCUUCCAACUCCAUAAAACAAACUUCAGUAAAAAAAAAUUGUAGAUUGUGCAAUAAAGCAAUUAACAUUUUGAAGAAUUUAUAUAAAGGGAAAUAUAAUUUCUAUUCAAAUGAAAUUAUAAAAAAAAUUGAGAAACCAGAGAGAAAACUGAGAAGAAUUUUAUUGAUUCUCUCUGAAUCUGAAGAAGAAACAGAGGAAACUCACAAGCUCACAGAACAAGUCACUGGUUAUUUGAGACCGGUCUCUCCACAACUCUCAACAACCCAAAACUGACUCUAACUACCCUGCUAAUCAACCUUUAUAGUAGGUGGUUAACAGUUACAAUUUGCAAACAGAAUAUUACGCCUCCCUGGAGUUAGUUACAGAGUUAUUAUUCCCUGCUACUCCUCUCUCCCUCCUAACAUAGACCUUCCUACAAAGUAGUUUGGGUCCAAAAUGACUUGAAACUCUUGAUGAGACGAAGCAUAGUCUCUGCUGCUCCUCCUCUCUCCUCCGCUGCUUUCCUCACCGGUGCGGCUUGAAGAGGCGAAGCAUAGUUGCCGGCUCGCCGCUGCUCCUCCUCUCUCCCAUGUUGGAUGUUGGUUCUUCUUGUUUUCUUUGGUGGUGACUGCAAACAAGGCUGUGUUGUUCAAUUUUAGUCACCAUCCCCUCCAAAAGUCUAUCCUUUCCUUCUUCUUCCCUUGUUCACUUGUUACCCGUGAAAACCGACCAGUCCAACCCGUCCACCAACCCAACCCGCACCCGAGUUCCGAUUCUUGAUUCGGUCGAAAAUGGGUUAAGAUAUCCUUGAUUUAAAACCGUCCAAACCCGACAAGUCUGACCCGAACCCGCCCGAUGCUCAGCCCUAGUCCUUAUGAUGAAAUGGCUGCCAAAAAGAUCACGUCACCACCUCUGAAUAGCCCUUACCACAGCCAUCAAUUCCCUUUCAUAAACAGAUUUCCUCUGCCCUUGAUCAGAUAUGAUGGAACUCCAAAAUGCCAAGGGCCUUCACACCUGUAAAAGGACGACCCCAGUCUCUCAAUAACAAAAGUUAUUGAAAAUCAGGGACUGCCAAAGCUGGCAGGUCAAUCAUGGCAUGCUUGAGCUGGUCAAAAGCUAGUCGUGCCUCCUUACUCCACACAAAACUAUUCUUUUUCAGUAGCAAAGUCAGGGGUCUAGCAAUCUUCCCAUAUCCUUUCACAAACCUUCUAUAGUAGCCUGUGAGCCCCAAAAAUCCCCUUAACCCCUUGACAUCCUCAUGGGGCAGUUGCUGCCCCAUGAGAAAUAAUCCAAAUACUCUAAUUUCAAUUGGCCAAACAAACACUAAUAUUAUGGCCCAAAUACUCUAAUUUCAAUUUCAACCCAUUCUGAAACAGUAGUUCAAAGAUCUACCUCAAUUGAAUAAUGUGGUCUUCCAGAUACAAACUAUACACCAAAAUGUCAUAAAAAAAAAGACCAAAACAAAUUUCCUCAGUUGGGGCUUCAAAACCUCAUUCAUCAAAGCUUGAAAAGUGGAUGGGGCAAUAGUGAGCCCAAAAGGCAUCACUAAAAAUUCAGUGGCCUUCAUGGGUCCUAAAAGCUGUUUUUUCUAUGUCACAAGCGGUUUUUAGCCUCCCCCAAUUUAUAAAGCAACUCAUCAAUUAUAAGGAUGGGGAAUUUAUUGGGUAUGGUAAUCUUGUGAAAAGCCCGGUAGUCAAUGCAAAAUCUCCAGCUACCAUCCUUCUUUUUAACUAAGAUAACUAGACUAGAAAAUUGGCUAAUGCUAGGUCUGAAUAUUCCAACAUCUAACAUUUCCUUGACUAACUUCUCUAUUUCAGAUUUUUGGUAGUGGGGACACCGGUAUGGCCUGAUAUUUGGAAUUGCAGCUCCCUCUUGCAAGUGAAUGGCAUGAUCCUGCACUCUACUGGGAGGUAAAUCCCAUAUGGUAGAGAAUAACUCAGAGUAAUCCCCCAUCAACCCUUGCAACUGCUCAGGUACAGCUACCAACUCUUCUUGUACCUCAGCCAGAUGCUGAAAUUCCACCCAAAACCCCUCAGCCUGUUGCUGCAGAGCCUUAACCAAGGAAGAUAAAGAAGCAUUCUUCCUAAUGAGACCAAGUUCACCUCUCAGCAACACCUUCUCCCCCACAUGAAAUCUCAGACUCAGCUCCUCAAAAUUUGCUCUAAUGUGCCCCAAACUUGCAAACCAUUACAAACCUAGAACCACAUCUAGUCCCCCCAAAUUAAACAGAAAAAACUCUUGUUCAAUUGGGAUGUGUUGAAUACUUAAUUGAACAUCCCUGCACUUCCCUUGACAUUCCACCUUAUGUCCAUCUUCAAGCUCUACCAUAUAAGGAGUUUCCACCACUGGAAAAUGCGCAGAAGACAUUAAUUCUUGAGAAAUGAAAUUGUGUGAAACACCACAAUCCACCAGAACAAUCACUCUCAGUUGUCCCAAUUCCCCCCAAACUUUCAAGGACCUUCUAGAGGUAAACUCGGCUAUGCUCUUGAGAGACAAUUGGAACAUUUGGGCUUCUUAUUUGUCGACUUGGAAAAUACGCUUUUUCCAACUCCUCAACCUCCUCUUCUGCCCGCCGCAAUGGCGCGCUAUUGACAACCCUGCUCCAAACUCUUCUUGACCAUAGAAAUUCGAUACCACAUCUCCUGCAUGGAGCUCUGAUACCAAUUGAUAAACCAGAGAGAAAACUGAGAAGAAUUUUAUUGAUUCUCUCGGAACCUGAAGAAGAAACAGAGGAAACUGACAAGCUUACAGAACAAGCCACUGGUUAUUCGAGAGACCAGUCUCUCCACAACUCUCAACAACCCAAAACUGACGCUAUCUACCCUACUAAUCAACCUUUAUAGUAGGUAGUUAACAGUUACAAUUUGCUAACAGAAUAUUAACCCUCUCUAGAGAGUUAUUAUUCCCUGCUACUCCCUCUCCCUCCUAACACAGACCUUCCUACUAAGUAGAUUGGGUCCACGAUGACUUGAAACUCCUGCUUCUCCUUCAGGUCCACAAUGACUUGAAACUCCCUAAGCCUCAGGUCCACGAUGACUUGAAACUCCUGCUACUCCUCUCUUCCUCCUAACAUAGACCUUCCUAAUUAAAGGUCUACUUAUCAAAAGUGCAUUCAAUUUUAAAAAUCAAUUAUAAUAUUUUUAAUGUGUUAAUUUUAAUUUGAGAUGCACAAAAUAAGAAUAUAUAUAUAUAUAUAUAUAUUUCUGACUAUUUUCAAAAGGUAAUUUAAGUAACUUCGUGAAAUAAACUGCAAUUAUCCUUUAAAAUCAAAAGAUAAUUUAUAUAAAAUCUCUAAACAAAAUCAACUUUUUCUCACAACUUUAGAAUCACUUUUCAUUUAAAUUUUCACAUACAACUAAAAAAAUUCUAUUGUUCCCUGAAUCUAAUCAAAAUAGUUUCCCAAUUUCUUUUUUCAUAUUCAGACUUACUUAUAAUCUUAAACAGAUUAAAAAAGAUUAAAAAAACAUUUUUUUUCAAAAUAAAAGUAUCUUUUGUUGAUAAAAAACACGAAACAAUCAGACUCAUAGUUACGACCUUUCCAGAGUCGAUCACGCCGAUAGGUAUAGACAUAGAACCACGAAUUUCCAAACUUGCAUUUUCAUCAGUGACUGAGAGGAGACAUCCAUUUUUGUCUGGAAUAUCCAUUGACCUUUAAAAUCAAACAAGAAGCAGUGAUAAUUCUGGAGGUGCAACAAUUUUAGAGAAAACACUGGCUUAGAGAAGGUUUUGCAAAAAUGUGUACAACUAACCUGCAUAUGAUUCGGGAGUCUCCUAUUAACAAAACGAAAAUAAAAGUGGUCAGCUUUAAUCAUGUUAUCAUAACAUAAUUUCAAAUGUGAAGUUAAUAUCUUGGUUACAGCAUAUUAUUUUUUAUUUAUAUAGUUAAUAUAGUUCAGUUGAAAGGGAAUAAAGUGUUUAGCUUUUUGUUGCUUCUUCUUUAAUUUUAGUACAAUAGGACCAGUCCGCAGUUUAAAAUUAAACCACAGUAAUUGGAUGUAAUUAUAUUUCAAAGUAUGAACUAAACGACAUAAUUUCAGUUUCGCUACUUUUAGGUUUUAGAAUUUAAUAGUUAUAUAAACAAAUUUUAGACAAACUUCCAAUCAAAUUCCAUAACUUUACAUUCUUGGGUUAUUUUUAAUUUUAAUAUAAUUAUAAAAUGUAAAGAGGGUGAAAGAAGAAUGGACGUCCAUGUAAAACUUGUGCAGUUAUUAAAUUCUUUUUUUUAAUAGACAUAUAAACAUUACAGUUAAACAUUAAAAAUUAAAAUCAACCGACAAUUACAAAGACAGACAACUGAUGGGGAACUCGCCGCUGUCUGUUCGGAUAAAUCUCUAUCAAGAGUAAAAUUACAUGAGUUUGAAUUUCUGUUAGUUUUCAUGUACUUUCAACAAAGGUUUUAGGAGAUUGUAACGGAAAUUCAAACACAAAGUAAAAGUAACACAAUUAUUUGUAUGCAUAUAAAAUCAAUUCUAAUGUAGAUGGAAUUGGGUUUCAAAAACAAAAUGUAGAUGGAAUUGACUCUACAACUAAUAGUUGAAACUUUUACAUUUUCCGUUGACAAAAACAAUUUUAGAUAAGCAACCCACAAGAAAUAUCUACCUCAACACCUUAAAAGAGACUACAGUUGUUUAAACUUUAAAAUAUCAUAACAAAAGACAUCAAUUUUAUUAAACUUACUUGAUUUGAAAUUAAUUCUUUCGACAUCAAUUCUUUCAAAAUCAAUUCUACGAAAACCAUAGGCAAACAGACCCUAGGUAGGUUUCAGUGUUUCGUUGUUCAAAAUGAAAAGGGAGAUAAUAAAUUAGCAUAUCUUUCUUAUUUGACUACAAACCUACAAUAUUUAAAAUUUAUUCCAUGUUGAACAUUAAAGAUCAACAGAAGAUGAUGAGUUUGAUUAUUAUGUAAAAAUACUUUUUUACAUGACUCCUGAAAUAUAGGAUUUAAAUUUUAUUCCGUGCUUAUUGUUGAAGAUAAAUUCAAACGAUGAAAUAAACAAAUCUCACAUAAAAAAUGCAUUACAGUAUUCCACCAAUAAGACACUGUUUAAUCCCAUGACUUUUGCCAACCAUGUUUUUUUAAUGCCACAAUCAUGUUAACUUUCAGUGUAAUAUGGUACAUCGACUAAGAUUCUGACCCGUAAUUGUUCCUUUAGCAUAUGAAAUAAGAAGACUUAUCAUUAUCACCAAGCAGGACUGAAUUGCUUAUUAAAAAUAAAAGAAUUUAGUUCACAACACAGAAGAAAGGGUGAUAAGUCAAAAAUUAAUGCUUUACUUAUGUACUACAAUCGUCCCCGAAGGAUAGCUCAAGUGGUAAGAGCUAGGGACAUAAGGGUUAGGUGGGGUGAGGAUGAAGGGUCCCGGGUUCGAACCCGGAGGAGGGACUAAUUUACUAACAUUUGCCUAUCAAAAAAAAAACUUAUGUACUACAAUCAGAAAGCUUACCACCAGCGUCUCCUUCAAAUCCUUCGAGCAAAAAGUACUCUAUGGUUGCAAAAACAGUGUUCUUGUGACACCCAGCACAUGCGCCCUUUUGCACCUUAAUUCUUUCUCCGUGCUUCCAUAAUUUUUCCUUUCUCUUCAGAACCUUAUGAACUCUGAUAACUGCAUAUAAUAAGAAAGAUAAUCAGAUAAAAGACUAAAUUUUUUCAGUAGUAGCAUAUAUAAAACAUACACUGGUAUUUUCACUACCCUAGACUACAAUAGAAUGGUUUGUGUUCAUAUCACAAAAUUACUGUUUCAGGAAGAAUUGUUUUUUAUUUCAUGAGUUGGAAACUAUUUUUUUAACUAUGGUUUGAACACAUACCAUCUGAAGAGAUCCGAAGUUCCUUUUUGUUUGCAGGAUUAACAAUAAUAACUGCCUGAUCCUCACCAGAAUCAGCCUCUUCAUCAUACUGACCAUGCAUUUGCAAUAACCACUCCACAUACUCUUUUUCUAGCUGUAAAGGAGUUAACACUUUUCGAUCCUUAAAAAUUUCAAUAGCAACAUCUGCUGAUUUUAAAUAACUAGUUAGUUGGGUAUCUAAAAACCUUGACAAUAAAGUUGUAACAGUGUAAUAGGAAUUAAUAAGAAUACCCUUCUGAUUGUCUGAAAUUUUAUUGCCUAUGUUCUUCAGAGCAGUGGUCAAAGGACUGUGGUGAGCUAGAUCAGUCUGAAAAGGCAAUAACUUCUUGAUGAUCAUUAAAUCAGGAAGAAAAUAAAAUACAAGACGGGUUCAUUUUUGUAUAUAUUUGUAGUCAGACAUUAAAAACAAUGGAGCAAACCCAUUGCUUCUGUAUCCAAUGGUAAAUGCCUUUAUAUUGAUUUCCAAUUUACUCUACCAAGGUUUCAUCUCAUCGGCGUACAUGCAUAAGCAAAUAUAAAAAAAAUCCAUUACAAUUCAAGUUACGUAGCUAUGCUCUACUAUUUAUAAUGAAUUAUUUAGUCAUAUCUCUAGUCAAUCUAGGACCUCAACACACCCGCUCAUGUUAGCUCAGGGAUAAGGAUUGUUCUCCCCUUUAUAAGAAAUUAUUUAGCUAGCGUAUAUGAUACAAAGAAAGAUUCAAUUCAAGCAUGACAUAAUAGUUUAAAUAGCUCCAGUUAAUCAUUAAUUGGCAAUAAACUUCAAAAAAUUAGUUAGUCCUGGUACUAGCAAGGAUAUUACAACGAUGUUAUGUCUGGUAUAGAUCAUUACAUAGUCAGAAAAACUUAUAACUUACUUCAAAAGUAGUUCAAAAAAAGUGAAAUUACAUAACAGUUAGAGACAAAACAAGAACACAGGUCAGGUUAGUAAAGGACACAAAAUAGUAUAUUCAGUAAUAUUAUGCAAGUAUUGCAGGUCUAACCUUGGUCUGUGUUGGCUUAAAACCAGCAUCAGUUUCUGCAAAUUAAAAAGUUUGUCUUAGAUGGACAAGCAAAGAAACAAAAAGUAAAUACAAAGUAUUGGUGACGGAUCACUAAUACGAUAUACCAAUGAAGCAUUUCACCCUCAGCGAACAUCUUUUCAAUAUGUUAGCUCUAUUUCCCUUUUUGUUCCUAAUGUCCAUAAAAGGAAGUAAAGUCUGUAGACAAAAAUGAAAAUGCAAGUCAAUAGCACUCUAGGAAUUAAGAUUCAGUAUGAAUAAAAUGAAAACACGAGAGUCUACUAAAUGGAAAAACAUGUAAUCUAUAUGAACAAAAAGCAACAUUAGAAUUGUCAAAUUUCUUAUUUAUUUGAGUCCCGUUAUGAUUUAGCAUACUCCUAUUGAAGCCUGCUGGCAGUCAGUGUUGUGCUUGUUGCCCAAUUCUGAGAUGAAGUGGCUCAGAUAUGGUACAAAGGAAGAUUCUUCAAAAGCUCAAGCUCAAACCAACAAGUAGGUCUGAUUGUAUAAUGUCUAGUCAAUACUUCUCCUCAUGACAGCAGCAUGAUAAACCCAACAUACAAAAAUGGUUUGAAACAAGGCAUGAUUUCAACUUAGCGGCAACUACUUAAAAAGAAAAUUUGCUAAAACCAAACAAAAAAUGAGCCAAUGGAAAAAAAUUGAUGCAUAAUAUAUAAAAUAAACAAUAAAAAUGAAUCAACAUAGAAACACAUUUUAAAGUAUGCACGUGCUAAGGAAGGAUGGAAAAGAGAAAAGACAUUGCAGAAUAAAAUUAAUUGAAAUAAUGAGUUAGGAAUAGUACAAGUCCAGUCAUACGUAUAGUUGUGUUACAUAGGCAAAAAUUGAAAGGACAAGACGAAUAAGAAGUCUUGUUUGCACGACAAAGUAAAUCAUAUGGCUUUAAUAAGAAAACAGCUGCUGGAACCAAAGUACAGGGUAAAUUUUCACUGCAAGUUCAAAGCCAAGGUUGGAAGUUUACCCAGCGAGCAUCAGGAAGUAGACGGCCAAGCCGCCUCACAGAUACACGACUAAAGUUUAGGAAGUUUUCUCUGAUUACACAACCAUCAUCCGCUAAUUUUUCCAAAAUCCUCUCGAUAUUCUCCUUUCCCUGUAAUAUAGAAAUACUCAUUGAAUUGGUUAUGAAUUUCAGAUCUAAAUAGACAAAUACUAUAUGUUAUCUGUAUUACCUUUGUGAAGGGGAAAUACACAACCCUCAGCCGUGCAUUUGCUACUUGGAUUUCCCUUGAACCUGAAACACAGUUAUUCAAAUGGAACUUGAUAUCCAUAUUUCUUUACAGAUUUACAGAUAACUAAAUAAAAUGAUUAAACUGUACAAAUAUUAGGGAUACAGCUAAAGAAAUACAACAAUGAUUUUCUCAAAUCCUCUUUCUCUAUCACCACUUUUAUCGUUCAUAUUUUCUCUCUCGAAAAGAAUAAAUUAGCUGGAAGAGGUAGAAACUCUAAUUAAUUACUCAGCAGUGUUCUUGGAAUUUUUCUCCUUGGUUUAUGAGUUUUGUAGAGGGCUGGAAAUUGGGAAUUCAUCAAUACAGAAUUAAGUUUUUUAGCUUUCUAUUAAUGGUUCUUACUUCCUACUGGUAUCAGAGCUCCACCCUGGAACUGUAGUGUAACUAACUAACUAGUGAUAGCAAGAAAAUGAAGGAAAGGCAAGCGAUUGAGAAAAAGUUGGAGGCAUACAGAGGGAAGAAGAGGCGGGGAAGAAGGAGCAGGAGGCAUGGAAGAGAAAGAGAGGCAUGAUUCAAGAAGUUGGUAAGGAUGUUGGCGGAAGAGAGCUAAAGAAGUGGUGAGAAAAACUGAGGCGAGAAGGAGAAAACGACUAACUGUACGAGUAUCGAGAGGGCAUUGCGCGUAUCAAGGGUCUAUUAGAGUAUACUAUAUAGUCUGGUAUAGUUACUGUUAGUAGUGUUCUAAUUACAGUGUGUUACUGUUAAGUAGUUAGUUACCCUAGCAGUUAAGCCUAGCUGUCAAGUUAGUUAUCUUAGCUGUCAAGCUUAGCUGUCAUAACAGAAUUAGUUAGCUUCUUACGCAAGCUUUGUAAACUCUCUAUAAAUACAGAGAUCAACUCUUGUACUCUUUAGUUUUACAAUCAAUGAAAUUCGGUUAAACAUUUCAGCAUUUCUAACAGGGUCGACGAUGGAGGACGAAGGGUGACGAAGAACAAUGAGUGAGUCACGCAUCUCACGCGAGUCAGCAGGGCAGGAACUACAAGGAGUUGUUCAAGUCGUACUCGGCUCCAGACUCCACAGGCAGAGUUUGGAGGCGUGGAAAAGUGGAUGGAUGAUAACGAGUAUGUCAUCCCAUUCCACCAACCAUGGCGACCGUAACAACCCAAACCUGAGUCAUGUAUAAACCCGAGUCGUUCGACAACUCCUGAGCAUAGCAUGACUAAAAAGGCAACCAAGACACAUGUAAUGAGUUUCAAUGAAUUGGUUUAAAAGCUUUGAUCUUCAUAUUGUAGGUUCAGAUUUAUAUGGGACCAAUAAUUCUAACCCACGAGAUGAGUGCUGCUUUCACAAAUUGAUAGAAGCUCAUAUUAUUGAGUUCGAGAAAGUUCGAACAGAGCUGUCAACACACAAGAUAUGAGAGGCAUAGGAGCAUUGUCUGAACUUUUGGUACACUGAGUUGUCUCAACUAUGCAAACCUGAACAAACAGUUCGACCUUGCCCUCUUCUCCCCAUGUCAAUGAAGGUCACUCUGAUGAAGAUGAGGAUGAAGGGAAAGUGACCCAUUGUUGUCAGACUGCAGAGGAAGGAUUUGAUGGAGCCCUUUUGUAGAUAAGUGGAGAAAAGAGACAAUUUCUGAGAACAAAACAGUGCAUUCAUUUGGGUUUGAAAUUAUUGGUCAGAAUUUGAGGUGGAAGGAAAUUUCUGAGAAGAAACCAGUGGAUAGUUCUUAGAGUUGAAAUGGGAGUUUAAAUGAUCUCGGCCAAGAGAUUGGCUUGGAUUGUUAUUGACCGGAUAGUCCUAUGGAUAAUAGUUAUCAAUUUCUGAAGAUGAUAUAUGGUUUGAAAGAGUGGAUUUUGGUUUUUAAUGUUGUUUAUGGUUGGAGAUAAAGAUGAUGAGAUGAAGAAGCUGAAGAAGGAAAAUUUUAAAAAAUUAUAUUUGUGCAAAAAUAAGUAAAGAAUAUAUAAGCUUGGGCAUCCAAUGUCUUCAGAAUUUUAGUGAAAGGUGUGGUGUCCUUCACUAAUCUAGUUCAAUCUUUGUCUAAUGUGGUAUGCAGAAAUACAUCUAUGCCUCCCUCAUGACACAACUCGUUUUCAGAAGAAGACAGUCUUGGAAUAUUGUGUCUUCAGCUAUAAUGGUAUCUCUUAGUUCCCAGCAAUGAGACCCAGACAGGAGAUAGAAGCUGCUAUACUAGGUUCAGCAAACAGGUGGUAACAUAAGGUUGGCCUAGUACUUCCAAUGAACUUAGAUUUCCAAGCUUAAGAUUCCAAGUGUCAAGAGUUCAAUAUUCAAAAGUAGAGGCAUGAAGAGCCAUUUUCGGCUGCUAAGUUCAUAAGGAUCUUUUUUAUGUAGCAUUACUGCAGUGGUGAAUCCCACAUGUUGCUUGUCAAGUCACCAAGACAUCUCAGAAAGGGAACUCCGAAUCAAUUGUGCUUCUAUUGAGGGACAAUACAGUUGGAAAUGUGAAGCUGAAAAUUAUAGUUGCAGUCAUUUUAGACCUCAAAUGAUGGGAUCCAGGAAAAAGUCUUGUGGCUACCCAGUUGUGGACAUUUGGGAAGAAUCAAUAGGUAGCAACUCUGCCUUGAGUGAACAGCCAUCAGAGUGCAUUUGGUUGUAUAGUUCCUUGAAACAUAGUGGGACUAGAGUUCAUCAUGAACAGUGCAAACCCCUACAAUGACAGGGGAUUUCCAAGCCACUACAAAAGAUAAUGAAGGAGUAUUUCCAAGCUUCAGCUGAAAAUAUGAAGUCAACUGCUAUUGGAGUCUUUGAAGAAGACUAAUGGAACCAUGAAGGACACUACUAUUUCCUAUUUGUACCCUGGUUCACUUGUUUCAAACAGUUGGACCAAGGUAGAACAUUGUUUCAGGUAACGGUUCUGGUAAGCUCAAAUGGCCACUUAGCCAACCAUCAUCAUGGUUGGCCCAAAUAACUACAAGGAUGGUCAAGCUGGUUAGCCAGGACGACCAAAUUUGGAGCACCUAUUUGUUAACCAAUUGGCCCAACAUAACGUUAAGGUGAUAAAGCUGAUCGAGUGAUUCAACUUAGCAAGGUUAAAAAUCCUCGACACCGUUCACUCCAGCCUCUAUAUAUACAGGUUUGUCAUUUCAAAAAAAAAAAUUGAUCAAAUUGUAAGAUUUAAGCAUAGCUCAAAAUUGUUUUCUCAUUGCUCUUCUAGACUCUAUGUGAGUUCUCUCUCUGGUCCAUCGUUGACUUAAACGUCAAAGUGUCUUUUGCAAUUACCUCCGCCGUGGCCCAUCCUUUACCACCAUGCCCUCAGCCGCACUUUUCACCGUGCACUGCCAUACAUGAUCAGAGGACCAUCUCACCAAAUUUUCUCGAAGAAUACAGGUCCUCCUGUAUGAUGGGAAGAACCACAAAUUCGAGGACAACAAGCAGAGGUGUGGCAGAUCUUGAGAACAGGAUGAUCACUUUUGGUAUUGAAAGGAAUAAACCUCCAAUAAGGAAUGUCUAUUAGAAGGCGAGAGGAUGACAAGCAGGGAGAGAAUCAAAACCGUUUGAGGGUUAGUUGGUUAUAGAGAUUGGGAAGGGUGAGUUAAUGGUUACGACAUAGGAGGUUAGGAAAGACAUUGAGCGGGGGACACAGUGUAAUCGAGUCUCGGAUUAUUCAGCAAUGUUCUUCUAUUCUUUUCAUCAUCCGUCUCUCGCUCUCUUACGUACACCAGUCUCACACUUGUAGAUGUGAUGUGAAUUCAAGGAAAUAUUACAUAUCUCACACACAAAAAAUUGCUAGAGAUCAAGAAAUUCACACUUGUUGAUGUGAUGUGAAUUCAAGGAAAUAUUACAUAUCUCACACACAAAAAAUUGCUAGAGAUCAAGAAAUCAUAGAGAUAGAAAUGGUUACUUGCAGUUUUGAUGCCAUCACUGUCAGGUGAAAAGGAAAGACGAAGCUGAAACUGAAAUUCAGGACCAUUGCAAGAAUGCAAAUUGGUGAUUGCAACCUCCCCACCUUGAAUCUCAGUCAAAUCAACACUAUUGACCUGUAAAAUUACCAAAUUUGAUGUGCUUGUCCAUAGCUACUAGUAACCAUUCAAUGGGGGAAAAAUUCAAAUAUCAAAACUAAAACUUGUAAAAUUGACUAUAGCGUAAACAUUUUUUUCAUCUAUUGAAACUGAUAAGAAUAAACCUCCUUUGAUCCAUGUUUAUCGCCGGAAAAAGAAGAAUUUCAGGUCUGGAACCACCAUGGGAGGUGGCGCAGCCACUACUGUGGCCAUGGAGACUGCUGAGCAGCCAAAACAGCAAGGAGAAAGGGGAAAUUCAAAUUUGGCAGAUGGUUUAGAAGCAGUUACCAGUCAGUAGUUAUUAGGAGUUAGCAGUUAUUAAGUGUGUAAGUUGGUUAUUAUGUGUGUAUGUCAGUUUGUAUUCAAAAUAAAAACUGCACUAUGCAGUUGUAUAAAUAAUAGGCGCAGCCUAUUAGAUGGUUGUCCAGAAAAUUAAAAGUGUGGUAGUAGGGAGAGAUCAGGCUCUCGAAUUCCUGCUGUAUUGUACUAUUUCCGGUAGAGAUUCUUCAUCUCUGCAGUAUCAAUAAUAAUUAUCCAUUACUCUAUUUCCUUAUCUUAUCAGAAACAGUGAAAAUAUGCUCUAACGUGAAAACUGCUAAGCUCAUAGUCUCAUAUAAAAGAAAAAUAUAUUUAGAAGAGAGAAAUAAAAAAUAAAGAGUUCAAUAUCUGCAUUAUGAUCUUGUCAUCUUUCUUCUCAUUAAGAUUUGACAUGGGCUUGACAAGACUGCCACCAAAAGAAUAACAGAAUCCUUGUACAGAUUUAGAAAAUUAGGUUUUCAAUAUAUUUGGAAAAAAUUUCUUGGAUAGUCGAGAGUAUAAACAUGACUCCAGAUUAAUCAUAACAGUAUAAGUAAGCAGCUCACGAAAAUGAUGGUAGAACAAGAACCUGAAACUUGAUUGGGGUAAUAGUCUUCCCUCUUUCAGAUAAUUCAUCGCACUGAAUGAAUACAACAAUUAGAAACAUACACCUCAAGUUAGUGAAGAACAAUAUGUUUCCCACAAAAUUCUAAGAAAAAAUAUUCUGAGCACUUGAACAUUAAAAGCAAAUUUCUCUAACAUUAAUGUAAAAUUUAACCCCUUAGAAACAUGAAAAACUAAUUAAAAUAUUUGGAAAAUCCAAUUCUACACAGUUGCAAUAUAAUAUAAGGAAUAAACAGACACAUUGAAUGUAUUCAAACAUAUACUUAGUGUGUAUUUUAGAUACCAGUUGAAUGCAAUGUGAAUGGACUUUCAUGUCUGUCCAUUCAAAAUUGUUUUUUUUUAGUUGGUGCUAACAUCUUUCGUUUGAAGUAUUUAUUUUCCUUUAAAACUGAUGAAUUCUGAAACCAUUUUUACUGACAGGCAUUACUCUCAUUUCAAAAAGUUUCCCCAACGAGCUCUACUAAGUAUAAGCAUCCCUAUGACAAUAUCGGAAUGAACAGAAACAUGAAUUCAUAAAAUCUGAUAAGAAAAUAUAUCAUCUCAUCUGAAUCAUGAAUUUUAUUCACUAGCGGGUUAAUCAAACCUGAAUGUAGGGAAAAUAAAUAUCUUUCAGGUGGCACUGAAGUCUGUUUAUGUCAAAAUCUUUUACUUUAGGGUCGAAAAUUUCAACCUGCAACAGGACCAUAUAAUGUUUAUAUGACUAAAAAAUGACAAGAUAACCAUUUGCGCACGUAAGUAUAACAUAAAGAAGAAACUAGAAAGUGAGAGAAUUUUGCUGGUUGUGCUUGUACACCUCAAUAUAGAAUUCCAUUAACAAGACAAACACAAACUUAUCCAAUAGCAUCAAUGAAUUAAGAGAAUACAAAACAAGUGGAGCUAGCAAAAUGGCAUCUCAAAAAUAAUGAAUUGUCCUAACAAUUUAGAAUAUUCAUGAACAUCUCUUUACAAAUGACAUUAUCUCUUUGUGAAAAAAUAAAAAUGUUAAUAGUUGUGGUUAACUACAUAAUGCACUUUAAAUUAUAUAACAGGUGAAUACAACUUUACUUGCUCAUUUUAGAGGAGCGUAGAGUACUAUAAACAAGUGAUCAUCUUUAAAUCUGCCUUGCAUCAUGGCUACGGAAAAUUUUCGACUUACAGAAGCAAAGAAAGUUUGAGGAUUCUCAUAAAACUCAAGAAUAAAUAAAUGAUAGCCAAAAGAAAAAAAAAAGAUAAGAGAUACUUUGCCAGGAAGAAACAUCAGGGGAAAUGGAAGGAAAGGAAGCUUACCGUAAAUACAUGAUUAAGUAAUAUCAUAUAUGAUUAAGAGGUUAAUUAACAACUAAGGUCAUAUCCACAAUGCCUAAAAUGGAUAAAAGGACGACAAUAUGCAAAUGAUAGAUAUAAUGAUAUACCAUUGUAAAGCUUCCAUGACAGUCCUUGAUUUCGUCCUUUGAGGGAUCUCUGAUGCCACCAUCAGUCUGAAUGAGAAAACAAAAAUCUAUCACUACACAGAAUAUUUGAUUUCUCAUUCUCAUUUAUUAUGAAGUCAUGUUAUCAUUUCAAUUCUCAAUUAUUCUUAUAAAAUCAUGCAAUCAUUUUCAAUUCUCAGAGAACUAAAAAGUUAAAUAAAUUGAACAUAAAAUCUAGACAUUUGAAAUUAAGUUUUUGAAUAAGAUCAUACAAUUUUAAAUACAAAAGAUACAUAAAAAGAUUUUCUUAAUUUAAAUUUAAAAUUCCUGUUGAGAUAGUAAACAAAGGAAUUUGUUUUUGUUUAAAGAAAUGACAGAUGAUGAGUGAUUUUUAGGGGAAAAUAACAAUACCAAGAGAAAGUAUGUUAAAAUGGAUUGGACGAGAAACUGGGUGUGAAUCUAUCAAAACCCAUAAAUAAAUAAAUUAAUAAGAGAGAAGAAAAAAUACAUGCAUUGAUAGGGAAACAUGAAUACCUUCCAUUUGACUUCAGAGCAUGUAUUUAACAAAGCUUCCCUCUCAAGAUGUAACAUGUAGACUUUCUUCACAUGUUUUGUUUUGGAGGAAACUGAAGCACGCCUGUUAUGUGAUAAAACAUGAGAAGGAGCUAUGAAGAGAUAAAUAUAAUUUUGGGGAAGUGCUUGAACAGAAGUAGGAAAACUGUGUUAUUACCUCCCCAAAUGCAUAGAUGCUAUAGGUCCACCGUAUCCAAACAUUCCAAAGUAAGGCUGCACAAUCACUAAAAUAAAUCAUUUUAAAUAACAGAGCUGAAAUUAACCUGCCCCCCUCUGAUUAACAUAUUGCAUAAAGAAAAUAAUUCCAGUUACCAGUACAUGUCUUAUAUAUGUACGCUCUUGAAGCUUAAAAAUACUUGUACUUGUUUAAGCACGUUACAACAAACAGACACAACAAAUAUUGAAAUGCAAAAGUGAACAAAAAAUUAAGAGCACCAUCAAGUAUGGAGGUUUUCCUCCAAUAGCCUGCAAUUUUGAAUUUCUGUGAAGUGAAGCACCCAGCUUUCCCCUGUCAAAGAGAAAAAAAAGUAUAUAUAAUCAAGAGAAGACAGUGCAGCUGACAGAUGUCCUGACUGAAGUAUUCUAUAAUUUGAUUGAAAGUGGUUGCAACUGAAUCUUUCCAAACCAUCAAGUGUAUCAUGUAUUCAUGUAUGAUGAAAGUAUAAACAAAGAUAAACAUGCAAUUACUCUUGUACUAUGAUUGAAAACGAGGUGUCAUUUAGAAAACAACUAAUGUGUGAGCACUGAGCACUAGCAGAAUUGAGACUUCAGAGCUGUUUCCUUCGAGUUUUGGGUAAACGCUUCUGUCUACAUUUCAUGUUUCGUUAAGAAUAGUAAAAAGUCUACUUUGUUUCCUGUUUUAAAGAAAUUGUAAUAAGAUGUGGUGAAAACAAAAAAUAGACAAAAAUUAAAGUGAUAUUUUUGAAAAUUACAACAAAAAGCUGAAAAGGAAAUAUUUUUUCCAAACAUUUACUCAAACAACUUAAUAUGAUCAUGUAAUUUGGAACUUUCAGAAAAUUCAAGAAAAAAUAUAUACAAUCAGAUAGCUACCACUUCACUAGGGAAUUAUCAUCAGUGUCAUCCAUGCCAGGGCCAUUGUCGAAAAUUGAAAUCUUAUCUGGACCAACAUUUACUCUGCCAAUCAAAAAAUACACAUAAGCAGGUGAUGAUUAGACCGGGGUGUGAGAAACCAGCCAAGCAAACAGGAGAAAACCAGAUAAUUAAUAUACCUAUGUACUUUUAAUACUAAAAGGAAAGUUGAGAUCCUAAACGAACUGAACUGAACGGUCAUACCUAAUUAGCUUUCUACUAUUUCCCCCAUUAGACCACACAGCUUGCAAGGAAUUAUCCUGUAAAUGAUCAGCAGUUUUAGUGUCUGAAUGAGAAAAAUAUUUAUAAUUAUGAGAUUAUAGUCUCUGUUCUGUUUUGUUAAUGUUCUCACAAUCAAGUCUGCAAGGGCUGUUUGGAAAGAAUAUUCCUCAGGAAGCUCCAGAAGCAGAUCAAUAUCUGGCGUCAAAUCCCACAUAUUCUGCAUUGCAUUUCAAACAGAAUCAAAAUAUCCCUAAAAAACAAAAGAAUAGUAGGCUAGUAGCAAGGACAAAGAAACUACGAUAGGAAAUCCUAACCUCAAAAGAUUUGGCAAUUUCAGUUCUCCCAUCCUGAUUCAGAAGAAACAAGAGUAUAAAAAACUGAGCAGAGGAAAAAAACCUAACUCAAAAUUAAAGAAAUAACUAACAUGAAGCUGUAAAAUGUGACAUUUGUGAGGCUUAUAGUUGUGGAAAUCAAUAACGUUCUUAAUCUUAGCGUCAGUGGAAUCGUGCAGAAACAGAGGAGCACCAAUCCAGUUAAUGUCCUUUUUCCUUUUCAUUGAUUGAUUGUGCUCUCGAGCUCCAUUGUAAGCAUCUUCCACCAAUUGUAAAAAAUCCGGCAACGGCAUUUGAGGUUGAGGAUCCCGCAAUGUGAGUUCCACACUAGUCCCGUUAGGUAACAAGAUUUUGAACCUAUAUGCCUUUCCAGUAUCAUCAUCGUCCUUCCUCAGCACCAGUUUCCUCUUUGCAUUGCCAUCCAUGUCUGUUUCCAAUACAUAUGGCGGAGGUGAAACGAGGGUUUGUGAGGGAGAAUUUGCUAAAAUUGGGAAGAGAGAAGAAAGAGUGAGUGAGAGAGAAAGAAAGAAAGAAGGGAAAAUAAAACGACGAUGGAGGGAGGAGUUAAAGAGCCUGCGGUGAAGUACUGUUGGCCAAUAAAAGGUUGACACGUAGCAUCAUGGUUAGAGAGUGCUGGACUGCGUGCUAUAGUACUACUAUUUAUUAUUUAUUAUGCGCUCGUCGUUUGGACUCAUUGAGAAAAACAACGAUUAUAAAAAAUAAAAAUAAUAAAAAAUAAAGAGUAAGAGGAAGACCAGUAGUCGUGAUUUCGGUGACUUGCGAAGGAAGUCAAAGUGGAGCCUUCUAUAUCUAUCUACUGCAUAUAAUUAGCAUGUUGAAGUUAAUUGUAUUGUUAUUCGGAGUGAAUGCUAAUACUUAGGUAGCGUUUGGCCCAGUUUUUUUAGAGCUUAAAAGUUACUUAUAAGUCAAAGUUAAAAAUAAGAGCUUUAAAAUUAAAGCUUUAGUUGUUUGGUAGUUUACAUAUUUUUACAUUGUAAUUGUAACUUUUAAGCUAAAAAUUGUUUGAUAAAUCAUCUAUAUUUUCUCAUAUACUGGUCUUAACAUUUUAUCAAAUGGUUGGUAUGCACUACAUUUUCCAUCUGAGUGGCCUUCUUUAUACACCAAACCAUCAAGCUUACAUAAGAAACAAAAAGCAAACCCAGAUUAUCAGAGACCCUGAACGGUUAUCUUAAUACACCCCUAAGGAUUCCCUAAAUCAUUAAAAUUGACAACCCAACUCACUAAAAACAUACUUCUAAUUGUUACUGUCUGCAUCUUUCCAAGCAUAAACAAUAAUUGGUUCCCAAUUGCUACCGUUUGGGAUUACCUCGCACACUCUCCCAAUAGAAAAAGGCUCGUGUCCAAUUUGGAUCUAAUUUGCCAUCAGCAAAUACAGUGAUGAUUGGAUCUAAUUUGAUACCGUCUGCAUCUUUCCAAGCGGACGAAUUGGAUCUAAUUUGCGAUCAGCAAAUACAGGAUUUAUUAUUCUGCAGAGCAAUGGCACGCCAAGGAUCGACCAAACAGGGAAGGGAACAAGAACGAGAUGGAAAUUUUUAGAGGAAAGUUUGUGAGUUACUUUUAAGUAAAAACUCCUCUCAUUAACUUAUUCUAAUAAUAACUUUUCUUUAUUUUACACUAUAAAAAAUAAGCUCCUUAAAAUUUAAGACCUUUUUUAAAAUUGUGUUUGGCCCAACUUUAACUUAUGAGUUACUUAAAAGUAAAAAAAAAAGCUGGGUCAAACACUACCUUAAUUAGAAAUAUGAGAGAGAAAGUUAGAGAGAGAGAGAGAGUGGGAGUGGGAGAGGAAUCGUUGAGGGGAAAGGAGGCAAUGCAAUCCGCGACAGAGAAGGAGAAGGCUGGACUAAGGUACAUGGCAGAAAGAAUGGGCGUGAAACCCUGGUCACCGGCGAUAGCCCCGACCAGUAGGGUAACCUGGGUGCGGUGUUCAGGCAUCCCGUUACAUAUGUGGUCACUAGAUUGUUUCAAGUAUAUAGUGCUACAACUUGGUGAUGUGGUUAAGGUUGAUGAUAAGACGAGUACUCUCUCCAUCCUGGAGUUUGCGAGACUGCAGAUUAGAACUACGGCACUUGAUUUCAUCACCCUGUCAAGGAAGAUUAUGCUAAAUGGCACCAGUUACACGGUCAGGAUUAUGGAGGAAGUGGGCAUAUCUGACCAUCAAGGUUGUUGUAGCAUCGAUGAAUCAGAGGAUGAGGAGGAUGAUGACUACUCAUAAUGGUCCCUGAACGGCGGUGCAAUUUCACCAGAAGGCUCGGAGGUUGGCGGUGGUAACGGCGAGAAAAACCUAGAGGAGGACGACGGUCAGCGCAAACCACAAGAGAAUCCUAAUCAUUCCCUUGGGGACAGAAACAAUCAUAGUCCCAAGGGAGGUGCAAUCACUCCUACCACAGUUGUCGAGAAAGCCAAUUAUGAGGGAAUUAUCAGUGGAGGAAAAUGUGGAAACUAGGAAUGAAGCGGUGGGACCGACAAGAGGGGGAAAAGAGAAUGAAGAACUGUUUCAAACUGAAUUACAGGAGGAGGGUAAUAUGGGUAAUGCACAGGGGGAGAGGUAAUUCUCAUUCCUACCCUGAAUAAAAAUGGAGUGGGCCCGAGUCAGUCAAAUAUUUGGGCCCCGGGUGUGGAGGUGGGUUAGGAGAACCCGAUCCAAAAAGGAACAACCCAAGUGCUAGAGGGUGUGGAGGAUAACGCACGUGAAACAACUACAGAUAAGGCCAUAGCUAUUGUUGGUGCUCGCAAGAAAAAUAGAGCAAAGCCAAUGUUGAAUCUGAAUCACUCCUUCUAGGGAUCCUCGAUGGACUCGGUUAGAAAUCCUCAAGCAUCUCAUCUUCCGUUCACUCUGCUUCGACAGACAUCGACGAACUCAGGGAGACGGAGCGAUGAUCUUCAAAUUGUUGCAACAGUGUCGGGAAUUCAGAGGAACGAUGGUGGAUUCAGAAGUUCACUGUUGUCCGUUAGUAAUUCUAAUUCAGGAACUGACUUUCAUAAUUGUAAUAAGGAUGUAUGGUUGAGAGGAGUGGAGGAGGAAGCUAAGAGGAUCUGGGAACUUGGGAAAGAAUUUGGGGUUACUGCAACAGGUGAUGAAGGGGUAGUAGUCUCAAAAUUAGUAGAUAUGGAGCAUAGAGAUGCCAAGGAAGUAGGCGACUUGGUGAAUGUGGAGCCAAGGAGGGGUGAAGAUGGUGAACAAUGAAGAUUAUGUCAUACAAUGUUAGAGGGCUGAGGAGCACUGCUAAAAGGCGAAUAAUCAGGGAACUAGUGGCAAAAGAAGGAAUUGAUAUGUUGCUCAUCUAGGAGACCAAACUUGAGGAUGUGGACUUACAAACAUGUUCUCAGGUUUGGGGGGACGCGGAUUAUGAAUGGCAGGCUACAUCGGCAGUGAAUAGGGGAGGCGGGCUAUUGUGUAUUUGGAAGCGGGGUGUAUCUCUCCUUCAGAAUUGCGUGAGAGGACAAGGCUUUCUUGGACUGAUUGGCACUUGGGGAGAUAUGUCAGAUGUGUCUGUGAUUGUGAAUGUUUACUCUUCUUGCAGGCUUGAGGAAAAGAGGAACUUAUGGCGUCAACUAGUUGAUUGGAGGAACAACAGCGACGAGGUCACGUGGUGCUUAGGAGGAGAUUUUAAUGCAGUAAGAUCAUAAGGGGAACGCAAGGGAGUUGCAACAAAGGUGGGUUCACAGAGACGUGAGAUAGCUGAAUUUAAUAAUUUUGUAGAGACAAUGGAGGUCUUGGAUUUACCAUUGGUAGGACGUAAAUUUACAUGGUAUAGGCCGAAUGGACAAGCCCAAAGCAGAAUUGAUCGGUUUCUGAUUUCUCAUGAAUGGCUAUUACAAUGGCCAGGAUGUCAACAAGUGGGUCUUUGUAGAGAUAUCUCUGAUCACUGCCCACUUGUAUUGAGAUCUGUUUUGCAGGACUGGGGACCGAAGCCAUUCAGGGUACUAAACUGUUGGUUGAAACGUCCUGGAAUUUCUGGGUGUGUGGAGAAAACAUGGGCGGAAACACAGGCAGUAGGAUGGGGAGCUUUCGUGCUCAAGGAGCGCUUAAAAGAGCUAAAAUUGAAAUUGAAGGAGUGGAAUAAGGAGGUUUUUGGGGACUUGACAACCAAGAGGAAUGACUUGGUGCAGAAAAUCAAUGAUCUGGACCGCAAGGAGGAAGAGGGUGGGCUGACUACGACAGAAGUGGAUGCAAGAAAGGUUCUGAUUGGUGAAUUCUGGUCAGCCAUUAAACACCAGGAAUCUCUUCUACAUCAAAAAUCCAGGUCCCAGUGGUUGAAAGAAGGAGACUAAAAUACAAGGUACUUUCAUUCUUUGAUUAAUUGGCAGCGAAGAUCUAACUCGAUAGUAGGACUUAUGAUUGAUGGCAAAUGGGAGGAGAAUCCGCAGAAUGUGAAGGAGGAGGUAAAAAAGUACUUUGAGAGGCGAUUUGUAGCUGAAAAGUGGGCGAGCCCGGUGUUGAAUGGAUUGUCUUUCCAAACACUGUCUCAGGCUGAUAAUGAGCUACUUACUAGUAGGUUUGGUGAGGAAGAAAUUAAGGAGGCUGUUUGGGACUGUGGUGGGGAUAAAAGCCCGGGACCGGAUGGAUUUAAUUUUAAAUUCAUUCAGCAAUUCUGGGAACUAAUGAAGACUGAUUUUCAGAAGGUAUUGGAUGAGUUUUGGAGUAGGGGGUGUGGUCGAAAGGUAGUAAUGCAUCUUUCAUUGCAUUGAUUCCUAAAGUGAGCUCUCCGCUUGGCUUAAAUGAUUUUCGACCCAUUUCCUUGAUUGGGUGUAUGUAUAAGGUGGUCUCAAAGGUGUUGGCAUUAAGACUGAGGAGAGUACUACCAAAGGUUAUUAGUAGUAAUCAAUUUGCUUUUCUUGGGGGCCGGAAUAUGCUUGACAAUGUGGUGAUGGUUAAUGAAGCUCUACAUGCAGCAAAGAAAUUAAAGAAAGCAACUUUGUUCUUCAAAGUGGACUACGAGAAGGCUUAUGACUCAGUGAGCUGGGAAUUCUUAGCAUACAUGAUGAGGAGAAUGCAGUUCAGUAAAAAGUGGAUUAAAUGGAUUAUGAAUUGCAUCAAAUCAGCCUCUGUCUUUGUAUUAGUUAAUGGGAGUCCAUGUCAGGAGUUCUCAAUGAACAAAGGCCUUCGUCAAGGUGAUCCACUAGCUCCUUUUUUAUUUUUGAUUGUGGCUGAGGGUCUUAAUAAAUUCUUUGCGAAGGCAGUGAGUAUGGGCAGAUUUCAGGAGUUCAACUUUGGAGGAGACGCAGGGAUUAGUAUCUCUAUGUUGCAGUUUGCAGAUGAUACUGUUUUUAUGGGUGAUGCAACAAUCCAAAAUGUGUAAGUUGUCAAAUGUAUAUUGCGGUGCUUUGAACUUAUUUUUGGUCUUAAAAGUUAAUUUUCAUAAGAGUAAAUUAGCAGGGGUGGCAGUGGAUCGGGACUUUUUAGGGAGGUUUGCAGCUAUUCUUCAUUGCAAAAUAAUGACUAUACUCUUUGUAUACCUGGGAAUUCCGGUAGGAGGUAGAUUAAAGAGCUUGGAAUUGUGGGAUCCGGUUAUAAAAAAGCUGCGGGGGAGACUCUCAUCAUGGAAACAAAAAUAUAUCUCUUUUGGAGGACGGGUAUGUCUUAUUCAGAGUGUAUUAUCUGCAUUACCAUUAUUCUUCCUCUCCUUUUUUAAAAUUCCAGUUGGUGUGCUUGAGAUUUGUACUGGAAUUAUGAGGAGAUUUCUUAGGGGGGGUGUCGCUGCGGAGAGCAAAAUUAACUGGGUUAAAUGGUCGGAGGUUUGCAAACCAAAGGACCAUGGUGGGCUUGGUAUCAAGGAUUGGAGGCUGUUCAAUAUGGCACUAUUAGGAAAGUGGCACUGGCGAUCUUUGACGGAGCCUUAUAGUUUAUGGUGUCGUGUAGUUAAGGCCAAUUGCAAUAGUUGUGGUGAAUCCUCAUGGUGGAAGGCAGUUCAAUCAAUCAGCCAAGAAGAUGGUUGGAAUUGGCUCCAAGACAGCUUACAAAAAACUGUUUUUGAAGGUAAUGAGACAAAAUUUUGGGAUGAAAAUUGGCUGGGCUUAGGAAGCUUGGGUCUCCGCUUCAAACGAUUAUAUAAUUUAUCCUGUCAGAAGCGUGAAUGUGUAAAGGACAUGGGACAGUGGGAGAAUUGGGUAUGGAUAUGGACAUUUCGGUGGAGGAGGAAAUUGCAAGGAAGGGAACUAGUUUGGCUAGCAGAGCUGAAGGAGGCGUUGUGUAGUGCACAACUAGUAGAGGACAAGAAGGAUCGCUGGGUAUGGAAGCUGGAGGAGGGUGGAAUUUAUUCAGUUAAUUCCUCUUAUGUUUUUUGCAGGAACGAUUUUUAGAGGAACCUGAUUCUGUUUUCCACUAGAUUUGGGCAGCACCAGUUCCGUCAAAUAUCAAGGCGUUUGCAUGGCGAGCUAUGCUGGGGAGGCUUCAAACUUGUGAUAAUUUACGCAAGAGACAAGCCAUUCAUGAUGCAGAGGAAGCCUUAUGCGCAUUUUGUAGAUUGGAGGAGGAAUCAUGCUCUCACCUACUCCUAUCUUGCUCUGAAUCUUUGACAAUCUGGUAUGAAUGUUGUGCUUGGUUGGGGGUGUCUACUGCCCAAGUUCCAGUUCCAAGGACUCACCUACUACAAUUCCCUGUGGUUGGGAGAAGUAAAGCUCAAAGGUUAUGCGAAACAACAAUUUGAUUGGCAACUGUAUGGUCGAUCUGGUGUGUGCGUAACAGGGUAAUAUUUAAUGGAGGUGGGCUGGAUAAAGGUCAAGUGUUGGAUCAGAUUCAAGUGAAGUCCUGGCAAUGGUUAAAGGCAUGGCUGGACAAUUUUUCUUAUUCCUGGUAUGAGUGGAAAUUAAACCCCCGUGUGUGCAUCUUGUCCUUAUAGCAAACAGGGGCGUGAAUGGAGGAUAUGUGGAUUGUGCUACUGGUAGAUGUGGUGUUUAGUCCAUUAUGCUAAUACAAAGGCGUUGACAGAAUGUAGCUGCUAAUGUUUCAUAUUUGAAGUGGCUGAAGUUGGUUAUGUUGUUGACUGAACCGAGAAGGAGUACCUUAUGAUCUCUUGGAUAAGGGUUGGGGAGAUGGAUCUCUUGUGGCUUCAUUAUUGACUUUAAAAACCUUGUACUCUUUUUCCUUACUAGGUUUUCCCAAGGGGGUUUUCCCUAGUAAGAUUUUAAUGAGGCAUUGUUUUAAAGUCUUGCUCACAAGAGAUUACUCUAGGCAAUGUUAGAGGGUUUUUUCUUUGUAAUUGUCUUUACUUUUCUUGCUUUUAUCUUUCCUCACUUUGUAUUGGGUUGAAGUACCCAUUGUACUUCAUUUCAAUAUAAUUUUUGCUUACCAAAAAAAAAAACUACUCUUAAUUUCUUUCCUCCUCUUACCUUAUUUGUAUUGGGUUGAGGUACCUGUUGUACUUCAUUUAAUAUAAUUCAUAUUGCUUAUAAAAAAAAAUUAGCAUGUUGAAGUAUUUACUGUGAAUCACUGUUAAUUUGAGUUUGCUUGCCAUUUGUUUUUUUUUUAAAACUUCCUCCCUUCUUUCCGGUUUGACAAAGAUUGUUAAAGAAAAACUAAAAAGAGAUUGAAUAACACAAGUUCCAGUUCAGUAGAUGAAACGUUGUGAAUAAAUAUAUCAUAUGAAUUUCAUGAAUCACACUUAUACCCCUCACGACACGGGUGUAUCCAGGAUUUUCUUGUUGGGGGGCGAAAUAUAAGAUUAAAAAAAUCAUUAGGGAAUUGUUAUUCAGACCCCCCUGAUAGCUAUUCAGACCCCUCAAAAUUGGCGAAUUGUCCAAAAUGCCCCUGUUUAAAAAAAAACUUCCCACUUUCCCCACUAAUUCCCCCCCCCCUCCCACUUCUCCCACUUCUUCAAACUUCUGAAACCCCCCUCCCCCAAACACAUUUCACUCAUUCAAAAUCUCUCUCCCUCUCUCACGCAUCUCCUCCACUGCCUCCGCCUGCCACCGCCAUCGCCAGCGACACCGCAACCGAGUGGAGUCGCUGCCACCCCCAUUGCCACCUUCUGCUGCAACAUUCUUCCCGAAACCCAGGUUUGUUACGCGACCCGACCCAUUCUGUUAUGGUUUUGAUCGCACCUUGUAGAUGCGUCUGUGUCGCAGCUUGAAGGUGCGUGUUCAGAAUGCACGCACCUUAAGGGUCCGCUUGAGACGCACCUUUAAGGGGCGACACAGACGCACCCUGAGAGUGCGUCAUAGACCCUUAUAUGUCAAAGCUUCAAUGCCUUUAUGUUUUUGUUCUGUUUUGAGUCUUAUGUUUCCAAUGUUGGUUCAGAUAUGGCAAGAACAAAGAAUUUGAAUGUGCCCCCGGCCAACGAAAGGAGAAUCCCCCCCCCACGGCAUCGGUACGUAAGGAGCGUGAAGCCGCCGCCCUACGAAAGAAAGAAGAAGCACGUAAAAGGCGUGACGAGGCAACCCGUAAAAGGUGUGCAGGUAGUGCAACGACUGCUGCCACUGUAUUGCAUAAACAACUUGGUGUUACACAAGCAGCUGCUGAAGAGGAGAUCCGGAAGUCCUUAGGACCUUAUGCUCGUUAUACAUGGUUGUUGAAGGUGGCUGAGGACAUGGCUAACGAAGGGAAGACCAAGAAAGUUGCUAGAGCCUUCUUGCUGCGUUUGGUGGGGAUGACGAUCUUCUGUGGGAAGACAAACAACAAGGUGGAUGUUGCAUAUUUGGGGAUGUUCAUGGACUUGGAAAAGGUUGGGGAGUAUGCAUGGGGCGCCAUGGCAUUGGCUUUCCUUUAUGACCAGCUGAAGGAUGCCACCAGGUCUGCACCACUAGCCUUGAAGGAUUGGGAAGCCUUUUUAUAGAGCUGCGGUGACCUAGGUUGUAACGACGCACUUAAUGACUUAUUUAAUGAGUUUUACCGGUUGUUGACUCAUGGUCAAUGGCUGGUGCGUUUUUAAUUCACUCUCAAAGUGCGUCAACAACGCACUCUUAGUGUGCGUUAGUGUCGCACUCGGAAAAUGAGGUUUGUAACACCCCGAUUUCGGUGGCGUCACUUUAGUAACCGAAAGUAAACUUAAUGCGGAAAAACAUGAAUAUUUUUUUUUUGAUAAUAACUAAUACAAGAUUGAAAUAGAUAAAACCCAAAAGCGAAAAGCAACAGAACUAAUGUACAUUAUAUAAUACAGCCCCCGCUGUAAGUAACAACCUCGUCACGAGUAACCUCCAGUGACGGAAAGAAAAGUGUAGCGCCCGAAGGCAAUAUGUACAGACUGAAAGUAAAGGUGAAGUGUCCGCAACACCAUCCCUCAAAACUGAGAAUAAGCUGGCCCAUCGGCCUGAAACGAGACCUCCUAAGUCCAACCAACUCUCUGUGAUUCCUGUAAAGAAACCACACAAAAAGCUAUAGGUGGGAAACUACCCUGUCCCCAAUGAAAACAAUUGAUGUUCAGAGCUAAGACUCUACUCCUACACUAAUCCCAUCUCGAGGAGCUCACACCAGCACUAAAACCUACAUGCUAGCAUGAUCGUCGUCCGAAUCUGAAUUCCAGAACGACCUAGUCUAUGUACACCAUCCGUCCUCCUCUCGCGAUCGCGAUGCGCUCCUAUUCCCGCAUCUCAACUCUAGUCCCCCCCGAAGGGUGAACCGUCGUGAACCAGCCCGCCAAAGACAUCUGACAAUGGGCGUUUGUCCGCCAAAGCACACACAGAAGACGCGAGGGUCAACUCCAAAGAAUUAUAUAAAUAAUACCACCAAUAGAUAACGAUAAAAAAAUAGCCACUUAGGCUUAUAGCUAGGGAUAACAUCCUAGGGUUGCAUAUUCCACAAAACAUAACAACAAUAAUAACACUUAACAUGUUCCAAGUAAGGUUAUCAAAUAGCAAUCACACUCAUCAACUAAGUCAGUAUGCAUGUUGCAUGAAAUGAUAUGCAGGUUAACCCAGUCAACCAAUAUGCAAUCCGGAACGGAUGGACAUCAACGGAUCAGCCCUAACACCAGCCACGGUGGAGCCAUUUCGGCCCGCGUGCCUCUUACUCCAACAACAGCGGUAGUCAGAUCAGCAGUAAACCCGUAGGUCUGCCAUUUCGGUCUGCUACAAGAGACGUCUACAAACGCUCUUACACGGCAUUCCGGGUCUUAUGACCAUUUUGGAAACCGACGAGGUCCAGAGUACGUCCUGUGUUAAUACCUCAUUAAUGUUGCAUGAAUGCAGGAUGAUUAGUCAAACAACGUCUCCGAUCUCACUCGACACGUCGCCACGUGUUCUAGCUACAUUAAAGUCUCUAAAAGCUUACCCUAAGGUAAAGUCGAUUCUGCGACAAAAGACACUUCUUCACAACAACACAUAACCCACGAUGAUCUCCAAAUCAUCCGACUCAUCUCAAUCCGAUGGUCACAACUGCUCAACGAGCACAGAGUAUCAACAUACUCGGGAACUAUCAAUUCCCCGGACUUAUCCCCAGGAUAGCCCAACAACAUAGCUGCUCCAACAGCACAACAACAAUAGCUGCUCCAACAGCACAACAACAAACGCUGCUCCAGCAGCACCACAACAUCUACAUACUCGAAGCCUCUCAACUUUCUCAACACUGGGAUCCGACGACACUUCUCGUUUUCCAAAACUAAGAUUUGACUUCCACGCCUUCCUUUCGAGUUUAUUAUCAUUAAUUAAAGAUUUAGAGGUUGUUUAAUGUCUUAUGAGUUUUCUUUACAAAAUACUAUCCUUUUAGUCUUAUCGCAAAUCCUAUAAGUUCUCGGGAUCUCCAAAUCCCCAAAUGACUCCAGAGAAUGUCUCGAUCCAUAAACAUCAUAACAAGGCCCGAAUCUCAUUCGUCCUAUCAAGCUUUCUCAAAACUCUCAAAAUAAAAUCGGCAUGACCUGCCCGCUAUUCUCACCAUUCAGAAACUCAGAUUCCAGUGCAAAGCAUAUUUAAAUCAUCACAAUCAACAACAUGUCAUAUAUCAAUAAAUCUCAUCAUAAACACUUAGCACUUAGCAUAUAAAGCAUGCACCACACAUCCUAGAUUACCCACAUAGCACAUAGCAUGUAAGUCAAUCUCAAAAAUAUUCAGUAGAUGAAUCAUCUACAUUGUCAGUCGAAGCCUCAGAAAACAUUUUCCAAUCACACACAAUCCAGUGCAUAAACAGUAAACAAUGUCGAAAGCAUCGACCCUAAGCAUUAACUAGAGAUUCAGUGAGAAGCCCUCACCUGUAGAUUCUCCAGGACGAUCUCCUAACACUUGUCACAAUCAAAGGCUUGCUCCUAUGGGAAUUCCUCAAAAUCACCUUUAGAGCAAAACCACAGAAAUACUAUCAGAAUCUAUCGGAAACUAAGCUAUCAAUACAUCACUAAGGUUACACGAAGUAGUACAUACUCCGAGGUACGAUAAUCUAGCGCGAAAGGACAAGUUUUCGAAAAAGGAAUUUUCCUCCUCCUCCCCUAUAGGGCUCGGCCACUUUUCACAAUUGUGGGAUUCGAUUUUUCUUCGAUCAAACUUGGUUCCUAUGCUUUCAUUAGCCGUAACUAAGGGUAUUCUGAACUCGGAAAAAUUAUCGGAUCGAAAACUGCCGCAGGGGUAUUUUGGUCAUGAUUUUUAACUUAGAAUUUUCAAAACUAAAAUCCCAAAAACCAAAUUUGACAGGGACGUCACCAACGACGUUUAUGACAACUAAUCCUACUAGCACUAAGCUAAGGCGAUAGUUUUCAGCCUAAAGGUUGAAGCUUUACUUCAAAAACUCCAAAAAUGGGUAUUUAAGGCUAAAAUUGAUUCCGGCAGAAUUCCGGCGACAUAACGGAAAAUCUAACCCGGCAGAAGUGAUCUUGGGCAUGUAAGGAAGAAGUUUAGAAUCAGAAAUGAAAUAUUCAGGAUAGUUUUGCAAAAACCUCAAAACUAUCAGCUCAGAAAAGUCUACAGAAAAGCUAUGGAAAAAGCGAUCAGAGGUAAGGAUUAGCGACUAUACCUCGGCACCUUGAAGUAGCAACUGUUGGAUCGACGAUCAAGCAAGAAAUGAAGAAAAUCUUCUCCUCCUCCUCUCCUCUCAAACUCGCGGCCUUGGUGGGGAAAAUGGGUAUGGUUUUGUGUUUUUUCUCAUUUCUUGGCUAUAUAUAGAGGUUGGCAAAACGCGGUAAAAUGAAAGUUUCGCGAAUCUGAUUUUUCCGGCGACAUUCUCCGUGAAUUCUAAGAUAAGUUUUGGCGAAAGAAUUCCAAAACUAAAAUGAGGUCUCCUUGUAUUUUUGGCAACUAAUGCAAAGUCGGUGUAAAACUAUUUUACCCGAUAAGUUGCUUUUUGCAUCGAAUGUCGGAAUAGAAAACUUCCUUCUGCAGAAAGAUUGAAAUCAUCAAGAGAAAUGGGUGUACGCGUGUAGAAUCUUCAUUUGAAGCUCUGAAUAGAAAAAUUCUUCAUUGUCGGAUGAUUCUAGGGUUUUGAAAUACCAGGGAUUCGGUUUCGGCAAACUUCCGAUGAUUGGAAUCGGACGUCCGUAGAUCCUAGAGUUUCCCCUCAAAACUAUUUUGAUAUAUGGAAAAAGAGAAGUUCUAACAUUUCUCUGAAGAUUUUUGGAAUUAACUUCCAUCGUGCCUAAAAGUGAAAACUAGCUAUAUACUAGGGUUUCUGACCUAAGUUUAAGCGUAUAACGAUCGUGCUAUAACUUUUAUCGAUCAUGAUGCAAUCCUUAAACUUUCUCCUUCAUAAAUUUAUUUCAUUUAGUAACUCUAGUUCAGGUUUUCCCUUCACGAUACAUCAACCCUAAUCGUGAAUAGGAUUCUAUUCACUUAGCAUAAGUUUAAAAAAACUUGGGCCUUACAAGGUUCAAACUGCGACCAUCACGCAAUUUAAAGGUGCGUUCGAAAUGGGUAAUUUCGGGUUUCAGAAAAUUCCGUCGGUCUGAAUAGCUGUGGGGGGGAGGGUCUUAAUAACAAUUCUCAAAUCAUUAUUGAAUAAUAUAUAAAUUUUAAAUAAUAAAAAAUUAUUUAAAUACAACUUUUUGUUCUUUCAUAGUGCUAAAUUUAUCUAUUAUUGUAUCAAUAGAGAUUUUUUCAGCAAUUUCUCUUUCGAUAGAUACAACUAAUAAAUUUCUGAGAAGAUCAUCUUCAAUUUUGUUGCGAAGCCGAGUCUUAAAAAUUUUCAUUGCAGAAAAAGAUCGCUCUGUAGAUGCUGUCGAAACAGGGAAUGUCAAAACAAGACGUAUCAAUAUAUUAACAAGUGGAAAUAUUGUUACUUUUUCAGUUUCAACUAACUUCUGGUAAAACUCGGAUAAACUAGAAAUUUUUCCUAAAUUAGGAUCUCGGGAAACAUUUGAAUGAUAAUGUCUCAAUUGGAACGGAAAAUUCCUUCUUUCUAGCUCGGAAAAAUACUUAUAGUCGGUGAACAUUUCAAAAUUCUUGGGAGGCGAUGGCCCCUGCCAGCCCUGCCCUAGAUAUGCCCCUGCCCUCACGUUGUAUAGUCUAAAGGAGCAACGCAUGAAGAUGACAAGAAGACGACAUCUCCAAAGAAGAAGACUGGCUAAAGCAUACAAGGCUAUACAAGAAGUUAACUCAAUCAUGAACGAGUAAGAGCAAAGCUACAAAGGCAGACGACACAGUUAAAAGAAGUCAAACAUGUCACAUCGUCUGAGCAUCAACAACGAAGAGAUUGACCAAAGCGUCAAGACAAGAUGAACAAUGAAAGGAAUGCUGAGUAUGCUAAAUGGAUCAACCAGAAGAAUCAAAGCAUCAAGGCAUCAUGAGCCAGCAAAGGAAUGCUACAUGUGCAAGCUAAUUAAGCAAAGAAAAGCGAUAUCUGUCAGAUCGUCCAUCCAUAGAAAGAAGAAGAAGAGAUCAAGAUACAGGAAAAGUCAAAUCAACAAGAUCGUCUUCAGAAGGAAAAGUCAAUGCAUCAAGGCUCAUCUACAUAAGAAGAAUCAAAGCUUCAAGGACACUACAUGCAAAAACAGUCCAAGCCAUAUGGUCGUCUAAAAAGACUGUACUUGAAAUUCUGGCAACCGUUGGACAGAUAUUAUACCAAGUUUCUAAGACAUUGCAUACGUCUUCUUGCACAUAAAACAUUUAAAUUAACAAGUAGAGAAACAAAACAGAAAAGGUAAACACAAGAAGUUGGCAACCUAGUUCAGUGCAACAUCACCUACGUCUGGAGCGUUUUCACCCGAGAAAGCAAAUCCAUUAUUAGUGUAUAGGUACAAUGAGUGUAUUAUUAUUAUUAUUAUUUUUUUUUUUGGAAACGGAAAUGAUAUUAUUAAUAAUAAAGCAACCAUGAGCCAAGAUCCUCAAGGCUGAGACAAAAUACAAGCACACUGCUACACAAAACAUGGAUAGCUAAACAAACGAAGCUAUUGAGCUCUCCCCUGGCAGCUUCCCCGCAAAACGGCUAAGAACAGAAACCUAAGCAUUAGCCUCAAUAAAAUCUUACUAGCAAACGAAGCUAUUAAACCAUCCUCUGGAAACUUCCCCACAAAACAGCUAAGAACAGAAUCCUAAGCAUGAGUCUCAUUAAAACUUUGCUAAGAAAAACCCAGUGGGAAAAAACCUAGCAAAGAAAAAGAGUACCACAUCCCUAGGAUAGCCAAUUUUGCCCCCCUUACAAAUAAACAGAACAUUAAGUCGCCAGUACCCUGAAAGCACUUGAAAAUACUCCUCACGACACCUAGAAAAAAAUGUUGAAACGCCACCAAUAGCAACAACUGCAAAUUUCACACAACUCCAGCCCCCAAACACCAGCCAUUUCGUGACAGUAAAUUUCCGGCAGCAAUAAACGUAAUUUUCGUAACAGCAACAGCAGCCCAAAUUAACAAUAAUUUCUGCCAACAGCAACAGCAAAUUCGUGACAACAGCAACAACAGCAAAAAAUGGCAGCAACAACAACAACACCAUAUCAGCAACAAUUAAACCAAACGCACCAUCAACAGUAAACCUACAGCACCAGCAAACAUAACAACAUCAUGUGUUUGAUAGCAACAUCCGCAGCAGCACCAACGUUAUCCCCACAUGCCUGCAUUAGAACCAAAAAACAAAACUACACAAACUUGAUAUUUUUUCCAAUGCAAGAUAGCCUUCUUUACUACCUCCCACCUUGUCAAACCUCCUAAACCACAUACGUUCCAAGUAAUUCACAGCACAGGCAUCUCAACGGAGAUGAGGAUGGUUUUGUCGUAUCUGAGCUUCUAAACUUCUAAGCAUCAAAGCUUCUGAACCUCUUGGCUUCAAACCCAGUUGUUUACCAAUCAACCACGUUCGCUGUGCACGUGUCGUGACGCCGUCUUCUCCCGGAACUGGUUCCAAGAAAUCAACUGGCAUCGGCUGAGUCUUGUUCUUACUACCUUUAGGGCGACCCCGUUGAGAGCUGCUUUUUCGUGAAGAAUUUGUAUCCCAGUCCAAUCCAAAAUAAAGCUCCCGAACUCAGCAAGUUCCUCGGGCGUCGUACUCAGUUGUGAAACCUCACCAAUUGCUCCAAAGUCUCUUUCCUCAGCUCAACUCGUUCCAAACCUUAAGCAAAGUAUCAUUGCUUAGUCGCUAAGAAACAAUACAACUAAUAACACUAUCAAAACCCGAAAAGAAGCUGCAACAUUUUGUUAUGGGUAGUACAAUCAAAUCAUAUAUGCCCUCCUCAACUGUAUAGUCCAUCCCUACACAGUCUCAGAAUACCUCUUGUUCGGGUGUGAGAUCGGUUCAGUCAUGUGCCCCUCCGCCUAGAAGCCUUCCAGGAGCCGCUACUUGUCCGUGCCUCACUGCACCGGCAAUCACUCCCCGCCCUCGUCGGCCUCGAGUGUCACAGGCCCACCAACUUCCGCUUGGUUCGUCCCUGAACCGCACCGUACUGGGAGAGGUCGGCUCAGAUACCACAAUUGUAACGCCCCGAAUUUCGGGUGUCACUUUAGUAACCUAUUAAAGUAAAUAUGCAAUAUUUUCCAAACGAAUGUAUAAAUAAACACGAGUAUAUUUUUUUUUCUUCUUUUCAAAUGUAUUUCCAAAACAUGUCAUGCAUACUCCCAACUACAAAACCUAACCAAUAGAAACAACUCAACAAAAACUAUUCUGCAAUGUCAUCAUGAAUCCGACAUACUCCCUACGAUCUCCACAUCGGGGAACCGCAGGAAAGCAAUGCAUCGAAACCUACCCGAAACCUCAAAUAUAAAUUCCUAAAACCUUUAUACAAGCUUAAACCAAUAACGGUAAGCUCUCUAACCUAAGGCUCUAGCCUUAAACCCGACUCUACUCGUCGAGUACUCCACUGUCCUGCAAGUCCUCAUCUCUACUUGCACCAAGGUUAAGCUCCUUCGAAGAUUCUCCAUCGCCUAAUAGCGUUAAACGCCCAAACAACAAGUAGCAAAUAGAAAGGGUUAACUCCAUACAACUACCACGUAUAAAAGAGAAAAACAUGUUAUUCAAAUUUAAGUGCAUAUCAUGGCACAUAAACUAGCAACUUAUUUCAAGAUAAAUGACAACAUAUAUCCAACAACAUGAGAUCAAAUCAUAUAUCAGCAAAAAUCAACGAUAUGAAUUUAACUCAGAUAUCAACAACUUAACAAUGUAACAUUUAUUCAGACAUCAACUUAACAGCAUAUAACAACAAAUCAGACAUCAAUAAUCCUCAACAAUAUAACAUCAAAUCAGAUAUCAACAAUCCUCAACAAUAUAACAACAAAUCAGAUAUCAAUAAUCCUCAACAAUAUAACAUCAAAUCAUAUAUCGACAAACCUCAACAAUAUAACAACAAAUCAGAUCUCAAUAAUCCUCAACAAUAUAACAUCAAAUCAUAUAUCGACAAUCCUCAACAAUAUCAAUCAAACAAUAACGUCUCGCAAGACGGGACAAUCACGUGGGACCAACCCACCUCAUCGCCACUUUAGCGUCUCAAAAGACGGGACAAUCACGCGGGACAAACCCACCUCAUCGCCACUUUAUAACGUCUCGACAGACGGGACAAUCCCGUGGGACAAACUCACCUCAUCGCCACUUUAGCGUCUCAAAAGACGGGACAAUCACGCGGGACAAACCCACCUCAUCGCCACUUUAUAACGUCUCGAAAAGACGGGACAAUCCCGUGGGACAAACCAGGGGCGUAGCCAGGAUUUUAACAUCGGGGUGGCCAAAGAUCAAAUAAAAAAUUAAUUUUGGUUUCUUAUAUCUAAACAAUAUAUUUUGAAAUUACUUUUACGUAUAAUUUAUAUACACACAUUCAAUAUUUUAUCCUUAAAUUAAUCAAAUUUCAUUAUAUCAAAAAUAAUUUUAUCGAACAAUAAUCCAAACGACUCUACAUGUGUAAAUCAAUUAGAAAUUGAUAUUUUUUAAAAGUAGAAAAAUAUAUAAUUAGUUUGACUAUAAUAAAUACUAACCAAUCAUUUUUUUUCUCCAUCGGGAAACCGAUACUAACUAAUCAUAAGUUUGUUAAAACUGAAAGUGAGAAAAAAUAUUUUGUUUAGAUAUUAUUUAUAUGUAUGAAUAUGAUAUAUCAUCAAAUGUAACUCUAUAGCCGUGCCUAGCUUAGUGGUAAGACAAGUAGAGGAAUCCAAAGUGUUCGGGGUUCGAUUCCUAUAAGUAGUUUUUUAAAAUUAUGACAGCGUUUUUUUCCAAAAAAAUGAAAAUUUAAUGGCAUAAGUAAGAUUCGAACUCGGGACUGCAGGGAAAAUCAUUGGUGCGCCUACCACUGGGUGCUAAUUUAAUUAAAAUUACAUGAUAAUAUAUAAAUAUAAUGACUGGUGCCAUAAGAAAAAUAUGCCUAGUGUCCUACUGAAAAUCGAAAAGAUGGGGGGCGCGGAGGCACCGGUGAGCCACCCCGGUCCCUCCGCCCCUGGGACAAACCCACCUCAUCGCCACUUUAACGUCUCAAAAGACGGGACAAUCGCGUGGGACAAAUCCACCUCAUUGCCACUUUAUAACGCCUCGAAAGACGGGACAAUCCCGUGGGACAAACCCACCUCAUCACCACUUUAACGUCUCAAAAGACGGGACAAUCGCGUGGGACAAAUCCACCUCAUUGCCACUUUAUAACGCCUCGAAAGACGGGACAAUCCCGUGGGACAAACCCACCUCAUCGCCACUUCAACCAAACCAAAACAUCUCAUCCAACUCAGUAGUCACUCAAACAACAGUCUCAAAUCCAACAAUCAAAUCAAGGUAACAACAUGUUAUUCAUAACCUCAACGAACAUAAAUCAAUUCAAUGCAUACCAACUCAGUUCAAUGACAGAAACCUGUAAACGGUCGAAGCCUCUCAGAAAACGGAGACACACGUCUCAAUAAGUUUACUCGUCCGAAGCCUUCAGAAAACAUUUGGCACAAGCCUCAGAAACAGUCAACAUAAGCAAGCAUACAACAUUGCAAGCAUAAUAAUCAUAAUCCAAUGCCAGUCAAUAUAAACAUCUUCAUCUCAAACGCAUGCAGUGCGAUAAAAGCAGACAGGACUCAAAGACGCUCUAAAACUGAGUUACCCUUACCUUAGCCAAUUUCUCCACCCAAGCUCAACAUCCCAGUCCAAUCCAAAAUAAAGCUCCCGAACUCAGCAAGUUCCUCGGGCGUCCUACUCAGUUGUGAAACCUCACCAAUUGCUCCAAAGUCUCUUUCCUCAGAUCAACUCGUUCCAAACCUUAAGCAAAGUAUCAUUGCUUAGUCGCUAAGAAACAAUACAACUAAUGACACUAUCAAAACCCGAAAAGAAGCUGCAACUUGUUGUUAUGGGUAGUACAAUCAAAUCAUAUAUGCCCUCCUCAAAUGUAUAGUCCAUCCCUACACAGUCUCGGAAUACCUCUUGUUCGGGUGUGAGAUCGGUUCAGUCAUGUGCCCCUCCGCCUAGAAGCCUGCCAGUAGCCGCUCCUUGUCCGUGCCUCACUGCACCGACGAUCACUCUCCGCCCUCGUCGGCCCCGAGUGUCACAGGUCCCAUGGCUGCCAAUUAAAAUUUGAAGUCAGAAUCAUAUCUUGAGUAUUGAAAGAGUAACCAGUAACAACAGAAUUUUGGGCAAAAUCUUUGGCAUAAUUUUGUUGCUCUUUACUCAAGAUUUGAAUAUCCUCAUCAGUUUUUUCCUGAGUCAUUAAUGAAUUUUUCCAUUCCUCAAUUUUCCUGAGUCUUUUAACUGUUUCCCCUCUUCCUCUCCUGCUUUCAUGUCAGAGUUCAAACGUUGUAACUCCUCUAUUGCUGAGAACGUAAGAGGCUCCUCCUCCCCCACACGCGUUUUUUUCUGAAUUUAUCCCCUCCAUCAAUUGCAUCUGGUCUUUUGUUCCUGGAUUGAUGGUUGUUAAUCCUACGUUUAAAGUUUCCAGACUCGGUUGCCAAAAAUCCGCCACCGACUCAGCCUGAAUCUACGCCACCCCGAGAACAUUCACGUGAGAAUUCAAAUUUUGAAACUCAUGUGAUGGUACUAGCAUGACACGCGUGAAACUUGUAAUAACCACCUUCUCUAACAGUUCCUGGUCUUUCAUCCCUGAAUUGAUGGCAGACGUAUCUGAAACAAAUGAUUUCCGGAUCACAUGCGAAAAUUCUGGCUUGCCGUGGUCACUCGCCGGCGACCCAGCCAGCUUCACCACCUCCACGUGACCUUCCUCUGAUACACCACCAGUCGCCCCUGCACGAAGACAGCCAAGGCCCUCUAUUCUAUCAUCCUUGUACAUUUCAUCUUCCUCCUCUGAAUCGACGUCAACGGCAGACUCAUAAUCUUUGUCAUGACCAAAUUCCGGGGCGGUAAGCACACCAACAUUCACGGUGUCAACAUCUAAACCACCAUCUGCAUCGUCUUCAUCUGACACAUAAUUCUUUACCAGCGUUGACGGCAUAUCCUCGACGCUCCCAUAAUCAUAAAUCGCGUCUUCCUUCUCAACCAAAAUAAUACAUGAAGUCCCGCCGACGUCGACAGACAUAGUAAAACAUUGCAAUAACAGAUGAUUCAUACGAACUAAAAUUCUGGAAAAAUCAACACGAUGCCGCGACGAAGUUGCAAUAUCAGACGACAGAUAGGUCCCCAACCUAUUUCCCACUGCCGUAAAGAAGGAAUCAGUCCACAAUCCCAACGGAACUUGCCAUAACCGAAUCCAAACAAGGUGUGCAGCCCCAAAAGUAUGCACUGUACACGGUCUAAUAUCAGAUAGCUUUUGCUCCAAACAAUAAUGACACUCUAUAAUCGUGACCUACAUCUCAUCGUUAUUUUCAAAUUCCAAAAUCGCUUCAUUUGCCCCUAAUGGGAUGAAGCAAAAAUUAAACAAACCGAUCUUACUGAAUUCCUCCUGCAACUCAUCUAACGGCAUAGCUACAAGAGUAUGUGCUUGAGCAUAUCUUUGAACCCACUUCUCAUCCAAAUCCAACGCCAUGAAACUCAACUGACUACUUUCAGACUUGUGAUUAACCUCCUUUGGCUUAUCUGGGAUGUCUUUUUUCUUCAUAUCUGGGAUUGUGAUUAACCUCCUUUGGCUUAUCUGGGACGAAGUUGCAAUAUCAGGCGACAGAUAGGUCCCCAACCUAUUUCCCACUGCCGUAAAGAAGGAAUCAGUCCACAAUCCCAACGGAACUUGCCAUAACCGAAUCCAAACAAGGUGUGCAACCCCAAAAGUAAGCACUGUACACGGUCUAAUAUCAGAUAGCUUUUGCUCCAAAAAAUAAUGACACUCUGUAAUCGUGACCUGAAACUCAUCUAACGGCAUAGCUACAAGAGUAUGUGCUUGAGCACAUCUUUGAACCCACUCCUCAUCCAAAUCCAACACCAUGAAACUCAACUGACUGCUUUCAGACUUGUGAUUAACCUCCUUUGGCUUAUCUGGGAUGUCUUUUUUCUUCAUAGCUGCAACCGGUCCAUCCGGAGGAUGUUGAGCUUUUGGACUACGAUUUCUCCCCUUGAUUUCAUAUUGAUACCGGUCCGGAGACGGAACCUUGAAACUCCGAGAAGGUUGUUGAUACUUUGCUUUUUGUACCAUUAGAAAGUUCCCUUCCAAAUGUAAUCCAUUAAACAUCUUGAUCGCCCUCCAAGCUUCAUCAUCAUGCUGAAAGCGCACAAAACCGAAGCGAAAGCGUCGUUGGAGUUUGUUUUUCUGUUGAAUAAAAACAUCACACAAUCUCCCCGCUUUGCCAAAAAUUGAACGAAGUUUUGCCAACGUAAUUCAAUCACCCAAGCCAUCCACAAACACAGAGAAGGAUACUUGCUGCUCCUUGGAAACAUGCUGCUGAUUCGAAACUUGUCGUACACCUCUAUUAUGGACUGGUUUCCUUUGCUGCCUUUGCAUUGAAUUCGCAAAAAAAGCUCCUGGCCUUGAGGUGCGUUGAGAUCCCCCAUAACCAGCAAAGUUUUGAUUCCAGUUCUGCGUAUCCCAACGCUGCUGUGGGCGCCAGCUUCCUAAGACCUCCGCUGAUCGUCGACAUGGCAGAAACCACCGUGCCGGAGGCUCCCUUCCAGAGCCUCUCUCUCUAAACUCUCUUAUUAUUAUUAUUAUUAUUAUUAUUAUUAUUAUUAUUAUUAUUAUUAUUAUUAUUAUUAUUAUUAUAUCUCAAUUUACUCUAGGAGUAACUCAUUAAAGCCACUCCGAAUCUGAACCGUUUAUUAUUUUAAAAUCUAAUGGCUUAUAUUCAUCUCUAACUCACCUCACGUGCUCUCAAAAUACAGAGUUUGUAGCAUCGCAGGAACAUCGACAGAUUUUUUUGUAUUUGGAUUUCAUUUAAUCGAUUUGAUUAUUCCUUUGGCAGAUCUCAAUUGCGAUGUUGACAAUUGCAGUUUCGGUGGAAGAGAAGCGAGGUUCGCGUUGUACAAUGAGAUUAAGGCAAGAUGGGUUGUGAUAAUUUGAGUUGUUGGGUACGAUCCUUCAAUUUAAGGCGAAAUGAGAGAGAGAGCGAGAGAGGGAGAGAGUAGCAAUCGUCGAUGCCGAAGAGGAAGAGGAGAAAGCAGCAACAUUGGUGUGGUUGGGAGCGAGGAACGACGGCGAGGCGGCGAUGUAUGAAGACGAGAGAAUUGUUGUUGUUAUUCGUCUUCGCUCGUCAGGUGCGCUUUCUCAUUAAAAUUUGUAUAUUCUAACAUUCACAACUGAAACCAUGAUAAAAAAACCCCAAUACAAAGAACCCAAAUCAAUAUAAUAAUUAGAUCAAAUCCAAAUUGUUGAAAUUAUAAUUUUUAUUGCUAACUAUUAAAUUUGAGUAUCAUUAAUUGUGUACUCUAAUAUUGUUUAGGCAGAGACUAUUUGCGCCUCCCUGUUUUGCUAAGUCCGCCAUCUCCUUUUUUAAAAAUUCCAACAAUGCCCUUAGUAAAAAAACAUAAAAAGGUAAUAUUUAAUUUUUACUUCCCACACACCAUCUCCUUCUUCCUCCUCACCCUCCUCCUCACUCUCCUCUUAAUCCUCCACUCCUCCACCCCCAAGCUCUUUUGGGUGAUCUCAAGUCAAGAAUAGAAGCUUACCCAUGUAAGUUUUUACCUUUUUCCGAGCUUUUUUUCAGCUUUUUUUAGCUUCCAUCGCGAUUUCGCGACUUUCUGACGUAACUGGAUAGUCCCGCCCUUAAAACUGCGGGAAUGAAACAAAUUACACGCUCCCGUUAACAUACGUGCGGACGUGUUAAAUUUAUACCUUCCGCUAACUUGUUAGCGGAAGUCAAAAAAACUUAGUCAUUUCAAUCGUCUUAAGUUCUGGUACUGCUACUAUCUAAAUAAAAGAUUUGACAGGCGUACCGCACUUAAACAUGCGGUAGGUAUAAAAGAUUUGACAGGCGUACCGCACUUAAACAUGCGGUAGCCAUAAAACCUGUCCGCGGUUUAGAGUGCGGGAAAGUCACGAAACCUCCUCCCAUUGCAGAAUCAAAUCGAGGGACUGAAAUUUAACACGAAAUACAACCUAAGCCUCGAAAACUUGUAAGAAAUAACUUACAUUGUUGUUCUUCUUGUGGGUUAUGGGUUGUUGUUGUAUUUUGUGGGUUACUCCUUCUUGACUUGGUCUCCUUCUUCCUCUUCUACUUCAACUUCUUCUUCUUACUUCUUCUUCUUACUGGUUGUCCUCCUUUCUCUUCCUCUUCUUGACUUGGUUGUGGGUUUGAGAGACUUGAUUUUGUGAGGGUUGAAACUUUUGAAAUUGGGUGGGAGAGGAAGAUGGUAUACGGUUGAAAGAGGGGGGAGGGUUUGUAGAGAUAAGGUAGUUUUUUUUUUUUUAAUUUAAAUUACUGAAGGGUAUUUUAGUCUUUUCGCGUGUUUGGGGAUGGCGGACUUAGCAAAAAAGGGGGCGCAAAUAGUCUCUGCCUAUUGUUUAUUCGAACAAAGUAUUUUUUAUUAUAUUUAUAAUAUCAUUUCAAAAAAAACUAAUAAUUGUUUUAGGCUAUUUGUUGAAGUUUCUCAUUUGGUUUGAUUUUCCUAGUCCUUUGUUUCUAGAUUUUGUUUGCCGUAGAUGCUUUAGUUUCUUGUCUUAGUCUUUUUUUUUUGUCCUUUGACCACCAGUCUCCACGGGGGAAAGGGGCCCCACGUGACUAAUCUGGCUCAAGAUACGGUAGUGAUAUUCCUGACCACAAAUGUAUUAUUUUUUUCCUCAGAGGGGAUCGGACCCGGGCCAAAAGCCUAGGCAAAAUCCAUUGAGGAAAUGCACAUUCACCACUUAUGCCACCCCUUAUGGUUUUCUUGUCUUAGUCUGCUAUGCUUUUAUAUUUUUGACUUCUGGUUGCUUUUCUUGUUCUUAAAGCUCACUUAGAAAAGCAUGUUUUCAAGACUACCUUAUUAUCAAUUUGAUUCUCUUUUCUAAAAAAAUUUAUUUAUUUAUUUACAAUAUAAUCAUUUUUAUACAAUAUUUAAAAAAUAUUUUAAAUAAAUUCAUGCAACACAUAUACUAUAUCUACUAAUUUUUUUUUUGAUAAGCACUAUAUCUACUAAAUGAAGUAAUGGAAGCAUGAAUCACAAUUUACAAGAUUUUUUUUUGAUAGGCCACAAUUUACAAGAUAAGGAGAUAACAUAAAGGUCUAAGUGUCCCUCCGAUGAAAUAUCGUGAUUUUUUUCAUUUUUUUGUACAUUAUUAUUUUUCUGAAUUAGAUUCUAUAACUUUUUUCAUUUAUUAGAUGAUGUUAAGGAUAUAUUUACCUGCUAUAAAUUGUUGUGCUUUUGGUUGGUUUUUCUUUCAUCUAAUUAAAAUAUUUUCACAAUUUACUCCCCCCCACACACAUAUUAGUUGCGGUGCAAUAAGAUAACUCAAGUAGUAGGAGCUGGGGAACAUAUGGAUUGGAUAGGGGGAGAUCCAAUAUUCGAUUCCUAGCGGGAGCAAUUUAUAUUUCCGAUGUAUCAAAAAAAAGUUGUGGCGCUAUUAUUAAAGUUGUCAAUACAGGCCACCACCCUGAUAGGUUGGAAAAAAACUAGUUGGGUAAGUUCGAAUCGCGUUUAAACAAGUCAUAAAUUGUUGAACUCGACUCGACCCGUCGCGGGUAGGCAAGUUCGUGAGGUGGCUUGUUUGUUUUAGGACAAAAAGUAAAAAUAAAAACUAAAAAAUGGAAAAACUAAAGACGUCAUCAUGAAGAAUAUGGCGACACAUUGAAAGGAUGUUCCUUCUUAUAUUUUCACGAACCCUGAGAGAUGAUUGUCUUCCUUUUUCGGACGAGAUACACGAACAUUUUCGCUAGCCUUAUUUGAGCAAUUCGAUCUUGAACCUGUAAGACCCGGAUUUUCGGAACAAGUUAAUUUCCGACUCACGCGUGGAAUCAGUGUAAGCGUGACAGGAGUUUGAUAUUUGAGAAAGAUUAAUGAAAAAGAAAGUUCAGGAAUUGCUCGAGGAAUGUGGCGUUGUUUCUUUCGGAGCUAGUGCGAGUCGUCUGCACACCUGCCUUAUGGCGAGCGUGUCCAGAAUAGGCUAUUUCGCUCUUAAAGCAACGUUUUGAGUGAGAUUUCGAACUCUCGGAAAAUUUAAAGUUUCUCUUUAUUUUUCCAUCGACCAGCGUUUCAUUUCGGAACUUUGGACUGUACGCACGAUAGGUUUCACUUUUCGGAUGUCCGCCGACGCUAAUUUCUUUGCUUCGAAACCCUAUUUUCGAGCAAUGGAUGAAGACUUUUUCUAUUCGAGACUUCUAACGAAGAUUCCGUCCGCGUUGCCAGAUUUUUUUCGACGUUUCCAAUCUUUCUUCAGAUGGAAGUUUUGUCGUCCGGCGAUCACAGCAAAAAGUAGUUUUUCGGGACAGAUUUAACUUACACCGCUUUUGAGAUUUUCGAUAUCGUUUUUCCCAUAUCAUAGAUAUUUGUUUUGAGUUCUGGAUUUCUGACGCCAGAAUCUCUCUUAGAAUUUCUCGGUGAUCGUGCUGCAAAAAUUGGAAUCGCGAAAUUUUCAUUUUCCCGCGAUUUCACCCGCCUAUAAAUAGCGCGAAAAAGCAAAAAUCCUCUCAUUUUCACCAUUGGAGGCCCAAAUUCGUGGAGAGCAAGGGGGGAGGAGAUUUUCGCGAAAACUUGACCAAUCUUCGUGCAGUUCGUCCCUACUUCUAGGUAUCAAGGUAACUAACACGAUUCCUACCUCUAAUUGUUGUUUCUGUUGCGUUUCUGAAGUCGUUUCUGUGCUCUAAGUUUUGAGCUUUUUCUAAAAUUGUCCGAUUUCUCUGAUUUCUCGCUUGGGUUAUGUUCCUUAUGUUCCCCUGAGUCUAAAACCUCUGUCAGUAAACUCUGAUUGCGAUUCAGUUGUCCAGGAUCUGAAAAAUUGACUCAAAACUCUUUUUGUCUCACAUUUCGAAACUUUAUUGUCGUAAAGCUAUAAUCUGACUUCGUGCCUUUAGGAUUUGUUGUCACGGAUGUCAUGAGGAUCGUUGCUGUCAAAUCUGUUUUCAGAACGGAUAACUUUGAAGUUUUGAGCCUUUAUUUUGGACCAAAAUGCCCCUGCGUAGUCGUAUUUCGGCCCGAUUGUCCGAAAAUUGUUCUGACAGUUUCUUUGCCUUAGUUUUACCCUAAAACUACCUUGUGAAUUGAUUUGAUCAAAGAAAAAGAGCCGAAGCCCUUUUUCCUUUGAGGCCGUGGACUAUUUCCUUUAGGGGGGAGUUUUUCGGUUUCGAAAACUUGUCUUUUCGUACCUGAUUGUCCUAUUCUGAAGCUUUAAUGCUUUGUCUAUCGUUUAUGUAUUGUUUUGCGAUUGAACUAAUCGAUAUUGUUUGGAUUCUGCUUUGUUUUCUCCGAGGUUCAGUUGAAGGAACUUUGGAAGGUUCAGAGCACUUGAGUGAAGGAGCUUGUGAUUUCGAAGCUAGAUCAGCUCGAGGUUAGGGCAACUUGCUAUAUUUAGCUAUGAUUGCAUGAUAGGCGUCGAUAAAUUCGACUUAUGCUUUAUCUGAUGUUGUUUAUGAUGAUUGUUUUCAUAACUUAUGAUAUUGAUGAUGUGUUGAAUUGAGCGUUUCGACGCAACUUCGGAGUGGAGGUUCAUUGAUCUGGUGAUCUUUGACAUUUCGGGUUGGAUGAACAACCCUAGGCAAGUCCAAAUGUGGUUUUGAGACUUAGCCAUUUGUUGGGAUUCGUUGGAAUUCCUAGACUUUCCCCGAGAAGUGUAUUUUGGGUGGUUGAUUUUUUGGAAACUUAGAAUGAUAGAGCUUUCGAAGAAUAAAGACUUGGGAAACUUAGACUUUGAGAAAUAAACUCAUAACUUGGAUAAUUCGAAUUGAAACAAUUUUUAUUAACGUUUAAGCAUAGGAGAACUGAAGGGGAAAAUAUUUACGAAAGGCGGGGAAAAGUCGACUUAUGUUGUGGGUUUGGAGAGUUUGGAAUUGGGGAAAGCCACUGAGGUGAGCUAUGGUGAUGAUUGAAAGUCACCGAGUACUCUAGUACUCCUGGUAGUGUUGUUCGAGUCGUGUUGUAUUGACCGGCAUAGACUCUGGGUUUUGUUUGUGGGUUUUGUGGUGGGAGUUGUGUUGUAUUGACCGACACUAACUCCGAGUCGUGUUGUAUUGACCGACACUGACUCUGGUUUUGAUAAUCAUAUUGCACACGUGCAUAUACGCGAUGAAGUGCCAAGCAGAGUACUUCGGUAUAACAGGAAGUAACGAUCAGCCAUGCAGAGUUGAAUCGGUCCUGACUAUAUCUGGCACAACAGGAGGUAACGAUCAUCCAUGCAGAGUUGCAUCGUGCCUGUUGAUGUUCGGCAUAGCAAGCAGAAAUGGUCAAACCAUGUAGAGUUUGUACCGUCUUGACUAUAGCCAAAGGUGAUAAGCGACGCCCGAGCAGAAAUGGUUAAACACGAGGCCAGUGUUACGACCGUCUCGAGGUGCCCAGCCUAUAAGUGGCAAUACCGUUGGUUUGUCCCGUCGCCAAGCAGAGUGACGUCGUUGAUUUGUUCCGUCGCCAAGCAGAGUGACGUUGUUGAUUUGUUCCGUCGCCAAGCAGAGUGACGUUGUUGUUUUGUCCCGUCGCCAAGCAGAGUGACGUUAUUCGGAUUUGUGUCAGCAUAUUCUGCACUGGCACGCAAUGCAUCUUAUUAUGAUUGAAUUGUGUAAGAGAUUUGAUAACAUGCUAUGUAUAAACCUUAGGGUAAGCAGUGCAUAACUUAUAUGUAUAUAUACAACAUAUAUAUAUAUACCCCUUUUAUCGCAUGUUGAUUGUAUAUCUAUUGUAUUCUGUAAGUUGACCCUAGCGCCUUGGCUUUGUUUGUAUGUUUGUGCUUGGGCGGUCGGCCUGCUGCCAGGCGUCCGUCAGCCGGUUCGUGAUGACUCGUUGUGCGGGAAAGACCCGGAGCGGAACGACUAUUACUGAAGCUUUCGACGAGGACCCGGACUUCAUGACUGAUCGAGGGAGGGUCGAUGAUAGUAGUGUGGGUUAUGGGUGGUUAGAGUCUUUUGAGUUGGUUGUUACUGUAAUAGCUCUGAUUCGUCAUUCAUAUUUUGGGACAGGGUAGGUUCCCGACGCAUGGCUUUUGUGUGGUUCUCUUACUGAGGGAUCACAGUGAGUCAGUCGGACCAUAGGGGUCUUUGCUUAGGCCAUUUUGAGGCCGACUUCCUCCUAGUGGUUUGUAAUUAUAAUUUUCUCACUCACACAUCUGGAUCUGUAACUAUUUGCCUACGGGCACACUACUUUGGAGUCACUGCGAGUGCGCGUGACGGGAGAGUGCAGCUGAGGUUGUACAUGUGUAUAUAUUUGUAUAUUGGUUAGUUAGUGUUGGGGUUAUGUCUUUAUUUCUCUUUUGCUUGAUUUAAAAGGAAUCAAACGAAAAAAAAAUUACCUGUUUUCCGCAUAAAGUUUACUUUUGGUUACUAAAGUGACACCUGGAAAUCGGGGUGUUACAGAACCAUUCAUAGGGAAAGAGGAUACCGUGAAGUACAUGAAUAUUUACUUGUUGAACUUUGUAUUCAUUGGAGAAUCGAGCAAGAUAUCUUGUAGAAUUUAUCCUUUCUUCCCACAAGGGAAAGCCUUGUCCUGGUUCAUGUCUUUACUGCCUAAAACAAUCCAUAACUAGAACGAGCCAUAUUGCAUGUAUUUUUGGUACCAGGCGAUGGGUGAACGAGAAGAGAGAGAAGACAACUGCUGAGAAUAUGAGUUAUUUUUUUUGUAGGAGAAAUCAAAGGUACGAACUUUGAAGGGGAAGCUUUGAAAGGGAGAAAGGAUCGGGUGGGUGGUAGCUUCGGGUUUGGUAGGAACUGUAGAGGCCAUGGCCAAGGAUGAUAGCUGGUGAAGCCUCCUCAACGUUAGUGCCGCCAUUACCUAGAGCUUAAUUGCGAUAACCUUCACUAGAAGGACUGUCAAAACUAAAUGUAGGUUCUCUUUUGGGUGUUUUCUUGACUAGUGUCAUGUAUACUUUAGCAUGCUAUUUUGCAGCAUGUUUCUCAAUGUAUCAACUAAAUUGAAAUAAAUUUUUUUACUUAAAGAUCUGAUAGAAAAUGAAUAAAAUGUUGGAAAAAAACUUUGAUACACAAACUACAAACGAUUAUAAUCUUCAGUGUAGAAUACAGAUUCCCUUGAUUGGUGUAUGAAUAUUACAUUCAAUUCUAUUUAUAAAGAUCAUGAUUGGAAAGUCGAGGGGUGGGGAUGGCAACCAGAGGUGUUUCCUUUUUUAGAACAAUACCAAAUUUUUCAGACACAUCUAACUUUUCUCCUUCUGGUACUGUCCAAUCAAACAAGUGCACUAGUGUUGCUAGAAAGUACAAAACGGACCUCUCUGCCAUAGCAAUUCCUGCACAAAUUCUUCUUCCAGACCCAAAGGGAAAGUAAUUAAAGUCAUUCCCACUAAAAUCCCAUUUAGCAUCCAAAAACCUUGUAGGAUCAAAUUCUAGAGGGUUCUCCCAAAUGGAAGGGUCCCUAUGAAUAGCCCACACAUUCACAAACACCCUAGAACCCUUUGGGAUCGUGUAGCCUCCUGCAGAAGUGGUUUCACUUGGGCAGUGUGGAACUAAAAGUGGAAGCACAGGGUGCAACCGAAGAGUUUCCUUCAUCACAGCCAACAAAUAGGGAAGCUUAUGAAUAUGAGACUCUUCUACCAUGUUAUCUCUCCCAACUACACCUUCUAAUUCUUCUUGAACUCUCUUCAUUACCUCUGGCUUCUGCAUCAUUUCCGCCAUCGCAAACUCAACUGUGUUGGAGGAUGUGUCACUUCCACCUGCAAGCAUGUCCUGUUUAUGCUCAUCCAACAAUUUCCAACAGUGUUAGAUACAUUCAAUCUCUUUCAAUUUUUCUUUUCCCAUUGGUAAAAGCUUUAAAAUAGUGACACCAAAAGUUUCAGAAUUUAAAAAGAAAUUCACACCAAACAAAAUUGGAAAGUGAAAUCAAUCAAUGGAAACAAACGUACCAUGAGAAGGGCCUUAACAUGGGUGAUGGAAAGUGGGGUCUUGGAAUCACCCUCUUCCUUCAAAUUCAACAAAAACUGCAGAAAAUCCUUGCUUUCACUCCUCUUCCCCUCCGACUCCAUCUUCACCCGUUCACCGAUCAUCUUCUCAAAUAUUCUAUCAAAACGCGGCACCACCUUAUGCAUCUGUUUCUCCACUCCUUGCAAAUCAAACCGGGCCAACCCGGGAAAGAAAUCCGACAAGUUCGGUUUCCCGAGAAGAGCCGUCAUAUCCGCCACCGCCUCCCUGAACUCCGCCCCCAAGGUCUCCCUCUCCGCCCCUUCCACCGACCCUCCCCACAUCAUGUUCGUAAUCACGUUCAGCACCGUCAGAAAUACCUGCUCCCCCACGUUCACCGGCGACCCGGCCCGGCUCCGCAGGUACCCGACCGUCUUCCGAACCUCGUUGCGGCGGAGAUCGUACACGGAGUCCAGCGUGGUGUUGCUGAGCAUCUUGAGCACGCAAACUUUCCUCAGCAUCCGCCACUCUGGUCCGUACGGGUUCCACACGAUGUCGGCGCCGCCGUAGGUUGCCGCUCUCCCGGCGGCGGGGACAUCACGGUUGGCGAAGACGGUGUCGUGGUCCUUGAGCACGUGACGCGCCAUGGAAGGUGAGGUGACGACGAUUCCAAGCUUGCUCCCAAGCCAGAGCUUGAAAAUGGGGCCAUGGGUACGGGCUAACCCGGCGAAGUAAGUGUGAAGUUCCGGGUCGAGGGAGAGAAGGUUUCCGAAGAUGGGGAGGCCCGGUGGGCCUGGUGGCAGUGGUGGGGUCUGGGCUUUGGGUUUGAGGAAGAAGAGCCAUGUGUACCAAGUGAUGGCUGAAAUGGCUAAGGUUGCUAUGAUCAGGUUUGUGGUGUCACUGUACCAA
This 96047-nucleotide long non-coding RNA is filed under the name Lotus japonicus. RNAcentral describes it as "long non-coding RNA (LJAP_LNC001816)". Lineage: Eukaryota; Viridiplantae; Streptophyta; Magnoliopsida; Fabales; Fabaceae. The record is from RNAcentral.